RNAcentral lists this long non-coding RNA (120961 nucleotides) under Medicago truncatula (barrel medic). RNAcentral describes it as "long non-coding RNA (MTRU_LNC006564)". The stretch from base 64413 to 64510 matches the Rfam family "Small nucleolar RNA Z43". Lineage: Eukaryota; Viridiplantae; Streptophyta; Magnoliopsida; Fabales; Fabaceae. The record is from RNAcentral.
AAAAAAAAAAAAAAAAAACACAAGUUGUAGUUAAUUUUCUUUUGAAUAUGGAUAUGUGCAGAGUAUCCUGAGGCAGCUAGUUAUACAAAGACCCACAUUUGAUGUCCAGAGAUGAUGUAGACCUAGCGUAUUCUUAGUAUCUAGAUCAAUCAUGUGUUAGGAGAGGAGGAUUGAGGCGUUUGUGUCGUCAACCUAUGGGAUACUGCACUUAGAUAUAUGCCUUGGUAUUUCAAAUACAUUAUUUCACUUAUUUAUUGGAGGGCCUGGGUUACACAUGAGAGAAAAAAACUGGAGACAAUCUCCUCCCUUACCUAUUAUCCAUACUUGAAGGAGGGCAAAUGAAGCCAUCUGAAGAAGGUUGCAGUGGCAGCACCACAUGAGCAUAGAGGUACUCCCGCAGACUUGAUCCCAAGAUAUAGAUGUAUGAUACACUUAGCCUUUAUGAUGCUUUUGCUGGGAGUGGGGGGUGAGGGGAACAAGAGGUCACUCCUGCUUGGGAUUCUAUGCAUUAUAUUCUCAUGGAAGCAAGUGAUGUCUUCCACUACCAAGGAAGCAUGAGGAGAGGUGUGCAUAAGUCAAAGUAGAAUACAUUAUGGGUGUAUUUUUAUUUUUUUUUGACAUAUUUGGUCAUGAGAUACAUGUAUUUUGUAACUUCUGACUUCUAUGAUUUUGGUAAAGAUAUUUGGUUGGUCGUAUUUUAAAUCUCAUUUAAUUUAAAAUAAACGAGAUGGAGAAGUUUGAUGAUCCUUGAGAUUAAAAUGCUAAGUGACUGUAAAAAAAUCUUUUUGGUGAGACCUACAUUACCCCUUGAUGAACUGACGGUAAUUAACUCCUAAUGAAAAGUAGGAUUCGAUUGUGGAACGAAGAAGAUCAAGAUCACAUGUCGAAUGAAGAAGAUGAAGAGGUUUGAUGUUCUUGAGAUGAAAAUUAACUAAUUGUAAGAAUAAAGAUGAAAAAAAUUAGAUUUUUCUUUGAUAGAAAUAAAUUAUCCCCAAUUAAACAAAGGAUAAUGUAUAAAAAACCUAAUGUUACACUCUCUAAAUUGAAGAGCCAACUUAAUGGUCAUCUCAAAUUUGGUGAUACUAGAUUGGCAUGUGUUGAGUAUUGUUCCCCAUCAAUUGGUUCAUAUGGAUGUGUUCUGUUCAAAGAAAAUAACAUUUCAAAAAGACAACAAUGUGAGAAUCAUGUUCUCUAUACGCGCACAAUAUCAUUCAAAGACAUCAACCAAAUUAUACAUUACAUUGGUUAUAUUUGUUUCAUGCUUUUGAAUCUUCCUCGGUUCGACCUAGGACAAUCGAAGAAAUCAUUCCAUGCGUUAUUUAACCCGAUUGAAAAACCACAUCAUCUUGCAAGAGGAGUGCUACAAACUUAACUCAUGUAUGAUCUUUUUGUGUCUAAUUCAUGUCUUAAAUUUGGUAAGGAACAAAAAAAAUCCAAGAGCCUAUAUAAGAGGAGAAAUUCACUUGAUUUAAUAUUUUAUUAUGGCCCAAGCCCAUAAUAAAACACACGCUUAACCCUAAAUCAACUAUUUAUCAUUAUAGAAGCUGCGCCGUAUCUUUCUUCCAAGUUCCAUCUGCUUCAUUUUCCCAUUCUUCUUCUUCCAUCAUGACAUGGAAAACAUGAAUUAUGUUAGUGUUGAGUCGUUCAAUCUGAACGGUGUUUCCAUCAAUACCACUGUUGUAUAUGAUCAUGAUGUAUAUGGGGAUGAGCCGCAUGAGGUUGAUGACUAUAUCUCGCGUUUCUUGAGCCCAGCUUAUGACACGACAAAGGUUUUUUGGGUCUGGUGCCGAGUGGCAUGUGCCUCCUUAUUCACCAUCGUCUAAAUGCAGCUCUGUGCACCUCUGCGAUGGAGUUUCGUAUCUCAUUAUUAUGUUUAGUGGUGCUUAUGAAAGGGUUCCCCAAUCACCGGUUAGUUUUCUUAAUCUUCCAAAUUACACCUUCGUUGGUUUUGGUAUCAAAGAUAAUGUGGCUAAGUUGGAGUCAAAUUAUGGUUGUGGAAUCAUAAAUGCUGUUGAACUUGGACCCUUGGCUGCUACUGCCAUGAAGAAACCUCGUUUGGCUUAUAUCGGUGUUGAUGAGCUGCUUUCUGUGGUCACUGGGCUUUCUCUUCGAAACCAAAGGCCUGUACGCAUCUUCUAUGAUUGGGAAAACCGUAAACAUUUCACAGAACUUGUUAAAACCGCUACUAUUAAUGUUUACUCUUAUCAAAAGAUUGGGAGAAAAUUGCUUGCUUAUGAUUGGGAGUAGUAGUGGUUUUCUAGAGGAGCUUAUGAUUGUUUUUUUGUUUGUAAAGCUCAUGGUAUUUUUUCUCUUUGUUUGCUGGUUUACUUGCACAUCAAGGUAUUAUUAGGGUAUUCAUAAUUCACCAAUAAAUCAUUGCUCCACAACUAUGUUUUAGGUUAUUUAUUAAUCAAAUUUCUUUUAAUGGAAUUUCUAUAGCUGCUGAUAGAUCUUCUUUUAUUCUAGUAAUCGUUUCAUUACUGUUUCAAGAAGUUGAAAACCUUUUUACCUUUCUAGAUCUUUUCUUUUAUUCUAAUUGGUUCAUAAUUGUUUUGAAAAUUGUUCUGUAGCCCCGUUGAAUUUACCAAGCCCAAAUUCUGAUUCAUUAAUGAAAAUCUAAGUUAUCUUACUUGUAGUGAAGUCUAGACAUGGCUAUAAACAAAAAGUAGAGGAAACUACUUGCUUAAGGCUUUACCAUAAUAAAAAUAAAAAUAUAUGAAUGUAAUUUAAGGGUUUGUUUGAGGAUUUCUAAUUUAAGAGAGAUAAUAAUGGAAUUUUGAUACAAGCAAGGCGGGAUCGGAGAUAGGUAUUAGUGUCCCUAGUUUCCCCCAACUCCCGUCUUUUGAAAUCGGGGAAAACCCAAAUCCAAUCAAUUUGUGUUUUGCCCGUCAAAGACAGGGUGGAUUCGGGAGGGUACCUGCGAGUAGCCGUGUACAAGUUCCGAUGUCAUGUCUGAUGAGGUCCCACAUAUUACAUAUGGUCACGAUCUGAUGGCAUGUUCCAGUUUUCUGUACUAAUUACACUUUAGUAAACUUAUGUCAGAAUGUGCAAGUAAAAUUAAUUAAAAGACGAUUUAUUAUGUUAACUAUUUGUACUGGUUUUGUUCCCUUCGAUGUUUAGUAUAUCAAUUAAAAACCAUUAGUAAUUUCCCUCAUUUUUUUCCCAUAGUGAACAAUUAGAAACUUCUAUGUUUAAGAGAAAUGAGUAAAUGUCCAACUCAUCCCCUCAUUUUAUAGGGUGUAUCAAUUUCAGAAUCAUAUUGGUGUCUUAGAAACGUUGUCAUGACAUAUUGGUCCCUUAAAUUGGUGUCUGAAAUUACAUGGUAUCAAUGAGGUACCAUGAUUAACAAAUACAUGAUGAAAGGACUAACUUGACAAGCUUUAUGCAAAAUGAGGUACUAACUUAACAUUUUUUAAUUGAAGGGGGACCAAUGUGAGGGUUGGGUAUUUACUUUUAAAGAAACAGAUUUAAGUUUUCACAUCGAAAAUGUUGAAACUAUAAAACAAUUAGAAUAAUUGGACUUUUUGUAAUUAUUAUAGUAAGUUUGUGCAUUGAGGAUGUUUAUGUUUUGCCACUUCUUGCAAAUGAUCAGUUUUUGCUUCUUGAGCCUUGCUUAAAGUAUGACUCUAUCACACUCUAUCACUUUUUUUAUAAACAAAAUGUAAAAUCUAAUUUAAUUUUAUAUAUGGUUUAUCCAAUGUAAAAGUAUUUAUAUAUCAAUGAUUAAUUACACAUGAAUAGAAAGCAAGUGGGCAACAAACUACUACGUCGUUAGGCCUUUUUAGGUAGCAAAAUCAAUCCUCGUAACCACAACAUUCAUUGACUUAUGAGCUUAACAUGAUGCAACUAUACAGGAAAUGAGGAAACAAAUCUUGUUCAUGGCCACGGGCUGUCAAAAACAAAUCAUGUUGUUUUGACAAAAGACAAGUUUAGUUUUGACAAAACAAAUCUGUUGGUCUUAUGAAAUUCCAAAUUGUUUACAAUUACUAUCAUUGAAGUUAAGACCUUCUAAAUUGCUACUGAAUUAGUCUGAUAAUAGUUUAUUAUGUUUAUUGCAUUGCUUUACUUCCUUUCAGAAGACUACUCUGCCACCAACUGAGUGAGAAAAAAACUCAAAUUUGAUUUUUGUGGUGAUAAUUUAUUUUUAAAUGGUAAUGUUAAUAGUUUUUUUUUAAAAGACAAACUAAUCCAUUAAAAAUGGUAUCGGCGAGAAUCACUUAGACCUUCUCCAAAGUUUUAAACCAACAUCAUCAGACCAACCCAAAUAAGCUGAUAAAUAUUAAUAGUUAACUAUAUUUUUACUCCAUCAUCCAGGUUUAAACUCAAAAUCUCUAAAUUCUUUUUAAUUAGUUCAAACAAGUUGAGCCUCUGUUUGGUUUGGCUUUUGCAAAGCCAGAAUCAAUUCUGGAGCAUUUCAAAAGCAAUUCUGCAAUAUUUAACAUGUUUGGUUUGGCUUUUCAAAAUAGCUUUUAUCCUCCAAAAGCAAUUCUAGUUGAAGCUACAAUUCCUAGCUUCUUACUUUCCUAGAAUCAAUUCUACACCCUCAAUUCUAUUAAUUCCAUCCCUGCCCUCAUUAAUUUUUCUAACCCUUCUCCAACCGAAUUUUUUCUUUCUGCAGUCUUAUUAAAAUAAAUGUUGGUGAAGAGAAUAACAUUUAUUUUCUGCAGUCUUAACUCUCAAUUCUAUUAAUUCCAUUCCCCCUUCACAGUCCACUUUUCUCAACCAUAAUUCAACCACCCUUCCCAAAUUUAAUCCAAAAAUUUAUUACCAUCAGCUUAUAUAACAACAUCAUCUCCUACAAGGAAAAAUUGUGGUGAAGAGAACAACAAGAAGAAAAAAUUCUGCAAUGAAAUUAUUGAGCACAGGCAAAAUAAUUAGUAUUGUACUUUAAAUUAUUAUAUCAAUAUUUUAGUACUAUAAUACACAUUAUGUUAGUUUUGUAAUAAUAUUUUAAUACUCUAUUGCACUUUAAAUUCUAUUAUCUAUUUGUAAUUUUUAUUUUCAUGAUGUUAGUAUUGUAAUACCUUAUAUUUUAGGACUAUAUUGCACUUAAUUAUCUUAAUUUAGUAAUUUCUAUUUAUUUGUAUUUAACUAUGUCUAUUUUGGUAAUUAUACAUUCAAAAGUAAUUUUGAUCAAAACUAUCCGAACAACAAUCAUUCUGUUUAAUCAAUUCUGCAUUAUUGCAUCCAAACAUAAAUCAAUUCUGUCAGAAUCAAUUCUACACACCUCAGAACCAAACACACACUGAAUUACUCGACCCUUUUAUGGUAAUAUUUAGAUAACCAGGUUUUUGUUUUUGGUGCAGGGUUCUGCUCUAUUGAGGAUUCACCCUUUUAGUCAUGACGUGUGUAACGUAAAUCACUCCUUACUUUUCAAUUUGGCGUUUAGUGUGUGGAAUUUUCUUAGGAAUCAUGGCUUGUGAGAAUCAUGGUUCAAUGUAUCUUUGAUUUUCACCCUUUUGUGGAUAUUUUUGCUAGAAAAUCCAAUCAUAAAAUUCUUGUAAAAUGUUACCUUUUUAGGAUUUUUAAAAAUUCAUAUCAAACAUCAAACAUACUUAAAAUUUCUAAAUCAAGAUUUCUGUGAAACUUAAAAUAUACUACAAGACAUGAUAAAAAAAACUAUAUGGAAUUUUUUAGGCACUAUACAACUUUUUCACAUAUUUUUGUCUAUUAAUUUUUUAAAUGAACUAGUUACAAACCCGUGUUUCGUACGGGUUCAAUAACGUAUUCGAUAAAAAAAUUCUUCGAAAGAAGAGAUGUUAAAAUGAUGGAACAUUGUGAUUCAUCAUAAAAUAUGUAUGGGCUGAUUAAGAGAGCAUAUAAUCAGUUUAUGAGAUUAGGAAUUGACAUAAUAUUUAGGAUGAAAACAAUUGGAACCAAUAAAGGAACCAAUGAUCUGUGAAUUUACGUAUUAUCCAAAAUUAUAAAAAAAAAAAAAAAAAGUGUUGUUGUUAUAGAGUUACCAAAAAAAUGAUUGAUACCCAUAUUUACAUCAAAUGAAAUCAAGCAAAGAAGUAGAAUCGGUGACUGAAGAUAAUCUAGUCUAGGAUUAGAGUUAAGGUGAUCUGUUGAAAGUGCGGAUCAUGAACACCAAAUCUUUAUUUGAAAACGACUUGAACGUGCAUAUUUUUAGGUGGCUUCUCUAGAUCAAAAAUUAAAUUAUCACCUACCUCAAACAUAUGUUCUCGGAAAAAUUUGAACCAUUGGCCGCCUAAGUAUUUUUUGUAACUUGCUCUCUGUGCCGUUAUCAAGCGACACUUAUACCUUUUUUGAGCUUGUUUGUCGAUGAGUGUGAUCGUUUUCCGUGUUCCUUUUAGAAAUGUCAUUGAUAUCUCAUUUGAGAAGUGCUAGGUAUAAAACAAAUUGCAUUGUUAAUUAGAAGUUAUAUAUAUAUAUAUAUAUAUAUAUAUAUAUAUAUAUAUAUAUAUAUAUAUACAUUUUUAAAAUAUUUACCAAAGCAUUAUAAAGAUUUACUGUAGGAAAAGAGCAUGUUUUAUUUUGUUCAAGAUAUUAGGAAAACAAUAGUACAAUUAACAUGAUACUAAUUGGAACUAACAAUCAGAUUAACGUUACAUAAUAGUUAGGUUUAUAAAAGAGAUUGCAAGCUUCAUAGACUAACCAAAAAGGGAUUUUUGCCAAUAUUUACACCUGACAAAAUGAAAAGAACAAAUGACAUCCCAAAAUCAAGAUGGUUUGUCCAAAGCGAUACGUCAAAAUAGUAGAAGUUCAAAUAGUUCAACAACAAAGAUCUACUUUGGAAUAACUCGAAUUUGCAAGUUCUUCUGUGACUUUUCGAGAUCAGAGAUGAGCUUACCACCUUCUUCCAUCACUCGCUAUCUGCAGAAAUUGAACCACUUCCCACCCAAGUAAUUUUUAUAGCUUGCUCUAUCGGCGGUAAUGAGGUGACAGUUAUACAGUCUCUGUGUCUGGUCAUCAAUGAGAGUGAUUGUUUUGCGCUUUCCUUUCAGAAUUAUUCUUGACACCUCGUUUGGGAAAUGCUAAACAGGAAAAUAACUGCAAUAUUAGUCUAAUGCAUAUUUACAUGGAUAAGAUGUAUUUGAAUAUAUUUACAUAUAAUUUAUAAAAUAAAGGUAGCAUGACUGAUUUUAAGCUAAAGAAAAUGUAGCAUGACUUCUAAUUUAUCUUCCUAUUAUCUUCCUAUAAAGUCUAGAUAAACGCAUGCAUGUACAUUAUAUGUACCCCGUUGACCAAUUAACAUUGUUGAAACAAAUGAAAAUUAAGCAUCACUUCCGCACGUGCAUAUAUAGCUAGCACCAUUUGACAUUGAUGUCUUCGAACAUUUGGUGCAACUCUCAUAAUACAAUCCAAACUGGUUAGGGUUGAAUUUAGUUGUUUUCCAAAUAGUGAUGCAGUAUGUUUCCUAACACAAAUUAUGCACAUGAAAUAAAGAAUAAUGCAAUAUGUAUUUUUAAUUUGUGCGUAAAAAAACUCAAAGCAUGUUUGUGCAUAAAAAAAGCAGACAUUGACUAAGUUUAUAAAUUCAGCAAUUGGCCUAACCUGAGACAGUUUGAAAAAUCGUUGUACGAAGUACGUUGAGAAGAAGUCAAACUCUGACUUAAGUUCUAACUGAAGCUUUGACUCUGAGCUUAAGAAGUGUUAAGGUCACAACAACAAUUCAAGAAACAUGGUCAAAAAACAAUCAAAUCGGAUUGUGAAAUAAUAAGUUACUCUAACACUGUAUUGUGAAAUCAUAAUGCAAACUUACUAAGUCUUAAACUUCUCAACAACCGGAUGAUGUAGGUUGAUGAGAAGCCUCGAACCUGACCAAUUGUUACAUAUAUUUGGAUUGCCGUUGACUACAAAAUGGAAGCAAAGAACUCAAGGUAUCUAGAUGGUAAAUGAUAAAGCUACAUAGUAUUUUUCCCAUAGUGUUACAUCAACUAUAUUCCCACUACAUAAAGAAAGACAUCUUUCGGGUCAUUAUCAAACUUAUACAAAAUUCUAUCGUCUAAUGCUGACAAAAUAGAAAAUAAUACAUUUUAUAUUUAGCAAUGUUUAGUUUUUUUGAAUAAGAAAAAGAUAUGCAUAAUUUAUAUGCCUUUUUUUUGAAGAAAAGACAUCUACAAUUUUACUUUUAAUUAAAAUCAAAAUUUUAUAAAAAUUAUAUGCAUUAACAAAAAAACAGACAUACAUGAAGUAUUACUCUAAAUGCUAAUAUGUGUGACUGUAUAUUUGCGAGGUUGAAGAAAGAAAAUAAAAAUAUUUUGUAUCAUUAAAUGAUAGCGUGAAUAAAAAUAUAUGUGAGGUUGUUAUGAUUAAACGAUAUUUAAAUUAAAUAUAUAAGUGAUAAAAAGAUAAUCAAAUUUCUUUGAAAAAAAUGUAUUAAAAUUAAAUGGAACCUCCUUAAAAAAUUUAAAUGAAACGGCUAAAAAAAAAUUAAAUGGAAGAAAAAAACAUAUUGAAAUAUAAUAUUAUAAAAUAAAAUAAAAGGUUCCCAACGUGAUCAUAGAUGCUUGUGAAAUAAAUUGUCGAGAAGUAGUUUUUUGAAGUACUCCCUCCGUUUUUAAAUAUAAGCAAAAAUAAUUUUUUAAGUUCAUUCAUUUAAUGAUGUAUGUGGUCUAUAUUAUAAACCACAUACAUCAUUAAAUGAAUGAACCUAAAAAGUCAAUUUUGCUUAUAUUUAAAAACGGAGAGAGUAGCAUUCAACAAUGUUUGGCCAAAGCUCAUUCCAUUCAAUUUUAUGCAUUAAAAAAAGUACAUUUUUUAGUAAGUACUUAAUUGAUAUUGUACUUGGUUUAACUUCUCCUUAAAAAUGUAGAAAAGUUGAAAAAGAACCGGGUCAAACGGUAUCUUAAUCUCCCACAACGGCAGUGUAGAAGCAACUGAAUUUGGGAGGAAAAAUUAGAAUAUAGUUAAAAAUAAAAAAAUUGGAAAAUAGUCAAAAGUUAUAUGCAUUAGCGUAACAAAAACACAGACAAAUGGACAUAAAAUAUUACUCUAAACGUUAAUGUGUAUGUGUAAAUAUUUGCGAGGUUGAAGAAAGGAAAUAAAAGUAUUUGGUAUCAUUAAAUGACAUUGUGAAUAAAAAUAUUUAUGAGGUUAUGAUGAUUAAACAAUAUUGAAAUUAAAAUAAUUGAUAGUGUGUUUGACCUAACUUCUCCUUAAAAAUGUAGAGAAGUUGGAAAAAAGUCGGGUCAAAUGAUACCUUAAUCUCCCACAACGGCAAUGUAGAAGCAACUGAAUUUGGGUGAAAAAAUUGAAAAAUAGUUAAAAGUUAUUAAAAAUAUAAAAAUUAUAAAAGUUAUUAAAAAUAUUAAAAUUAUAAAAUAAUUAAAAAAAAUGGCGAGGGGCAAAAUGAGAAAUGCACCCUAAAAAUGAUGAGGUGGCACUAAGCACACCUCAUCAAUAGGAAAUUAUUAAAAUGCCCCUUCUAAAGAUAAAAUGGUAAAAUCAUAGGCAUUUAUCUUUAUAAUAUAGUAAGAAGAUGCACUUAAUUUCAAGUUUGAUACAUUGGUGUAUUAAAAAAAUAAGUUUGAUAUAUAUUGCUUAGUUAGUACUUGAUCAAGUGAGCAGGUUUGUAACAGGGGCAGCAUUUACUUGCCACUGACCACGUACAGAGGAAUAGAAGAAUAUUGACAAAUUUUAAAACACAAUUUUGGCAUUGGAACAAAAACAACUAGGUUACUGAUUGUUCUCUGCUUUAUGCUAAACAAGUGAAUGAUUUUUAUUCGAUACAAUGUAUCUGCCAUUUACCAUUUAAGAGAAAUAAAACCAAAGCGUAUAAUAAAAGAAUGAAAGAGACCAAGCCAAAGUGGUCCUUCUUAACGGUGGCGUGUCGUAUAUAAUAUAACCUCUACCAAUGUGUUAACUUAGCAUAUACCUAUCCGUGAACGACCAUAUAAUUUGAAUUAUUUCAAUUAUAUUCUUUCACAAAGAUAUACUCUCACACACAUGUUCAAAUAAAACCAAAAUUAUAAACAAGCACGGGUUGUCUUUAUUCCUUCAUAAAGAAAGAUACAUGUGUCCUUUAUCAGAUCUAUUACAUCAUAUAUAUGACCAUAUCACACAUAUCCUUAUAGCUUGUAUAGCUUUUUCUCCUUUUGUUUAUGUUCUUCUUUUAUCAAUGGAUUGCAAUUGCAUAGCGUGCAGGAUAUAAAGAAGCAUUUAAACUUCUAACUCAAAAUAGAUAGGAGUGGUUGAAUUGUUCUUCCCUAUUUAUAACCUUGCUUCCAUAUUACAAAACUUUCACCAAAAAUUCUUCUAAUUGAAACUAUAAUUUGUUUUACAAGAACAAAAUUGAAACUAUAAUUUGUUUUACAAGAACAAAACAUAGUAAGACUUCUACACCAGUGGUUCCCUUUUUAAAAACCUUAACCUAACAACUAUACAUCAGUGAAAUCAAUGCACAUUCCUUCAUCAAAAAGAAACAAAAAUACAAGACAAAUGAGAAGUCAAAAUCAUAUGGUUAAAAAUAGAUAUAGAAGAAAACUCUUCACUAUUUUUUUACCAUUUCAAUUUCCCUCACGGCACAACCCCACCAAUGACAUAACUUUGUUCCUUUUUUCUUUCAAUUCUAUACUAAGAUACUAAUAUUAAAGUAGAACAACAACCAGACCCUGCAUUGGAUCAUGAUCCAUCAUGGUACAGUACAAUAAUCAUGAUUAUGUGGGCUACAUGGAAAAAGAUAAAGUGGACUUUACAAGUAUGAUCAUCACCAAUAUCACCACCUAUCAGUCAUAUUAGGAAGAAAAAUUACAUAGUUGUUACCUAAGUCUUAUAGAAAAAGUCAGCAACAAAAUAUACUACUAAAAAAAGAAAUAAAUAACAUAGAAAGCAAUAAUGAAGUUAUUUAUCAAAUCAUAUAUAGUUAUCUACUUUUCUUUCAACAUAUGUGAAGGAACAACAUCUUGAAGUAACCCAUUAUCCCUAAGAAAUGCAGUUGUUCCUGGAUUACAAAGCUGUACUCUCUCUUGAGUAGUAAAAGGUGAAUUCUUGAAUGAUGAAGAAUUGUUAUAAGGGUGACUCAAAGAGGACAAUGUAUUAACAAGUAGUUGUUGAUGUUGAUAGGGUUGUUGAUGAUAUUGUGAUAAGUAGUUCCCUUGCAAAACUGAACCAAAGUUAGUGGUUGAAAAUCCACCCGAGACUACACCGGCGGGUUGUGGUAUUUGAACUCCGGCAAAGGCGGAACGGGACAUAGUUGGACUUGGAUGUGUAUGUUGGCCUUCAUAAGUUGUGACUACAAUGCUUGGAUCAGUAUAAGAACGUUCCACACGUUUCUUGACAUUACAUGAAGCAGUGGUGCAACGAUAGUAGCUCCUACACAAACAUAAACACAUAGCAUAUUCCAAAUGUUACUAGUUUACUAAAUGUUUUUGGGUCUAAAAUCUAAAUUAAUUAAACCAAAAAGAGUGUGAACUCAAAGAAUUUUUAUGAGUGGUACCUUGGAAAAGGGCUAUUUUUGACAGCUUUUUGACCGUACUUUCUCCAUCGGUAUCCAUCUUCCAGAUGAUCAACCUCGCUUUUCGUCAUGAAAGCAAAUCUUGGUUCUCUCUGUCUCUUUAGAUUUGUCUUCUUCGUUUUCAACCUAAUCACAUAUAUACAACCAGAUCCCAUAAUCCAUCAAAUCUUGAUUAGAACCAUCCUAAUUUAAUUAAUCAAUCUGAUCAAAACAAAAUCAAAAAGCAAGUCCGCACCAACAUAUUCAUUUGCUAAUUAAUCUAAUCUAAUUAGAUUAUAUAAAAGCACAUACGUACUUUAUACCAUACCACCUCAAAUUAUAAAUGUUUGAAGUGAGAUUCCAACAACCAUUCACUUUUUUUGAAGUUAUUUGUACUAACAAAAAAAACACUAGAGAGAAAUGAAAUGAAACUCAAGAAAACCAUAACCCCACCAAAAAAAAAAAAUGUUUAAAUAUUUGUCUUCUUCAACACAGCUGAAAUAAAAAUGUUCACGAGUAAACACCAAAAAAAAGAGAAAAUUAGAAGAAGAAAAAAACCCACUGUUUAUUUGUCUUUUGCUUUUCUUCUUCUUCAUCUUCUUCUGCUUGGUCAACAAGAGUUUUAUUAUCAUUGACUGCUUCACUAGAUGCUGAUGAAAUCGAACAAGAAUUAGGAGUUGCAGGUUGUUGCUGGUUCAAAACCUCAGAACACUCUUUUCCAGUGGUGUCAGAUGAAGCCUUAACAGUAGACAUGGUUGAUAGUUGUGGUACAUCAAGGAGAGGACUAUAGUCAUGACCACCAAGUAACUCCAUAAACCCUAAAGAAGAACUCCUUUCAACCUCACAGAAAUCAAACACGCUUGAAAAUUGAUAACCAUUAUUUAGCAAAGAUGAGGAGGAAUCAACAACAUCCUCACUCUUCACACUUAGACCCAUGUCUUUCUUCUCCAUAUGAUAUCUCAAAUGCACAAAUCCAAAUCCUUCAUUUGUAGACAACACGCUCUUGUGGUAAUAGUAAGUAGUAAAAGUUGAAGAGAGAGAAAAAAGAGAGUUUUGGGUUUGCAAGAAAAAAGAGUGAGAGAGGUGUGUGAAAGGAACAAAGGUAUAGAAAAUGAAAGGGGAUAGUUGACCGGCAAUUGUAGGUCACCAAAUUGUACUCCCUCCUCUCAAUUUAAUUGUCACAUUUGGAUUGUUGGCAGCUCUAGAAGAAAGAAAUUGUUAGUUUAGUUGAUUUUAAUGUGAAAUGAAAUUUGAUAAAUAAAAAUAUACUAUGAAUAGAAAAAUAUAAUAAUUGUUUCAUUAGUAUUUUAAAGAUACAUUUAUUUUGAGAAAGAGAAAAAAUACAAAAUAACAAAAAAGGAUUUGUUAACUCUCUUGUUAACAUGAAAAAUAGGUAAUCUGAAGUUCCACAAGUACCAAGUAACUACGUACCAUUCAUCUACUUGCGCCGUGAGAAUAGCUCAGUUGGUAGGACAAUGCAUUAUUAUAUGUAGGUGUCGGGGUUCAAAUCCCAGACACCUCACUUGUUCACCUUAUAAAGUCAAUUCUAACCACUAAGCUACCUGAUAAAAACAAAAUUGUUCCAUCCAAAGAUUAAACUCUUGUUAUUCUAAUCAAUUUUUCUCUUUCAUAAAGCUUCUCAAUCAUUUAAGUUCAAUUAGUUGGUUUAAAAGUGACAAUUAUUAUGAGAGGAAUGAAGUAUAUACUCUCUAUCCUAAAUUAUAAGUCAUGAUUUUUUUUCCCCCAAAUUAUAAGUCAUUGUAUAGUACUAAUGAGACAUUAAUGCUUUUUUUUGUCAAGUAGCCUAGUGGCUAGAACUCACACAAUUAAAUGUGGAGAAGUGAGUGUUUGGGGUUCGAAUAUCGGCUCCUGCAUAAAAUAUCCAUUGUCUCUACCAAUAAUGAAGCUAAAUUUAUGGGGACUUAAUGUUGUUUUUUCUAAUAUAUCAUUAACUAUUUAUUAAUUUUUUUUAUUAUCUUGAAUGGAGAAUAAUUUUGUAAUACAACUCCUAUUUUUUUUUCAUACAAAAUUUAUUGUACCUUUUUAAUUUGUGUGAUAUAAUUUGUCAAUAAAAUUUUGUGUGAUAUAAUAUGGGACUAAUGAAAUAAAAGGUUAUCAUGUACUCGAAUCGGCAUCUAAUAUCGCAUUUCCUGAUCUUUCAAAACAAAAACAAAAAACAUAGUAUUUCUUGUAUUUUAAAGUGCAUUUUUAUUGAAAUAAAAUUAUAUUUUUGCUUCUUAAAGAAAAAUGAAAUAAAAGAAAAGGUUGAGCCGGUGGCAUUCAUUGAAUGCAUAAGGAGGGAGAGAGUUGAGUCGAUGCAUUCAUACGUGAUGUUUGACUGCUUAACAGGUUUUGUGUGUGAACGGGGUUCCGCAUACACUGCCACGUUCUGGAUUCUAACGCCGUUUAAUCAAUUUUUCUUAUUCAAAUCAAUAUUUUAAUUUAUUUUAUAUUCUCAAAAUGGCUUAUUGAAAUAGUUUUCGGUCGUGUGCAUGUGAACCACAAAAUCUGAUCAAUCCUUGGUCCACUUUCUUUUGUUUUCUUUCAUUUUUUUGUUUUGUUUUUGUACUCGAAACUUUUGCAGCACGUAUCAAUUCGGUAUUUCACCAUGUUUUUUAAAUAGAGAAAUGCUGAUAAGAAGUUUUUAAAAAAAAUAAAAAAUUAGAAAAUGGUGCAUUUGUUAUCUUUAAAUUUUAGAAAGUGAUUUUUUUUUUACGUUGAUUUUAUCAUUUAUUUUCAUUUUUAGUUUCUUUUUUGACAAGUGACAUUAGGGCACUUGUCAAUAAGAUUUUUUUUGUUCUACGCGUGGCAAAAUGGGUUACGUUGGUCGGAUUGAUCCGUUUAAUGCAUACCGGUUAAAUUGAAAUUUUAAAUUCAGCCUUGUAAGUUAAUGUCUCUUUUAAUCCGUCGAAGAAAUGGGAUCACGGGGCAGUUCUCAAGUUGGUUUUAAAAAUAAAUUGUCGUUUUUAUUGAGAAAUUAUGUGAAUUCACAUAAUUUCUCUAAUGAGAUCUCACCACUCAAAAUGUUGUUUCUCAACUCAAGAAUCUCACUCAAAGAAGUUUCCAAUUUUCAUAAUAGUUUCCUCAUUUGGUUUUCAAGAUUACCCAAAGAAAUGAUGAAUGAAAAGCUUAUAUGGUACACAAAUGCCGAAGAAAACGUGUUGUGUUUGCCCUGAAUUGUAUCGCGAUUUGCAGUAAGUACACAAUAUGGUUGUUGCCGACUUGCUCAAUCGCACCGCCUUAUCCAAUCGUGUCGCAAUUUUUAUGAAUCAAAACAUCAUCCAGGCACCACCAAUCUUGUCGCAAUUCAGAACCUUCAUAGCAAAGUAAUUUUGGGAUGAUGGUUUGAGGUUCUCAUGUAUACGGUAGUGAUUUUCACCUUUGGAUAUACAACAUAUAUACGACACCUUGUAUUUAUCAUUUAAAAAAUUUAAAUAGAACACUGUUCUUUUAAAAAAAAAAUACAUUUUUAUUUUAUUAUGUGCCUCAUUUCACUUAUAGAGCCGAGUCUCUGAUUUCGUAGAAACGACCCUGCAUAAAUGUAUUAAAAAAUAAAUCAUUUUACGAUUAACUCACUUUUCACAAUCGAACCAAACAUACACAAUAUUAUUUCAUUAAUAUUUUCAAAACUACUUGGUGCAGAAGUUAUUGGUGUACGUCCUUUUUAUGUGUCACCUAUAUAUACGUACUAGGUCGAUUAUUUCCCAGAGCAUUUUUUGUAAUGAUACAAAGCUUCUAGAGUUUCUUAUUUACAAGAUAAGAUGAAAGACAAUGCUCUGCAACCGCAUUCACAGCCAAGAAGAAGCUUUUAAAAUGUUUUGGCACUUGUACAUCACAAGUCACAACCAAUAUUUGGCCUGGCAUCGACUUUAUUCGGACAUUUUUUUUUCGAAAAAAUGUAGCAGAAAAUCUCACAUACAAGUAGGUAUUAAAAAAUUCGUGAAUUAUGAGUUAGAAAUGUUCAUAUCGUUAACAUCUUAGUUGUACUUACAAAUUCUUCAUACAUGCGUUUCUACAUUUUUGAAGAAACUUAAAGGAAAAUAUAUAGUGAUACUGAAACAACCAAAAGAAAAUCCAAAGUUUUGAAAUAAAAUUGUAUGACGUACCAUAACUGUUCUUAUAAGAAAUCUACAUUUUAGAUUCACGAAAAGUUAAGUUGUCGGUAAAACAAAAGGCAAGUUAAUCUGCAUGUGUGUUUGUUCACAUUAUAAAUCACAAAAGGAGAAAAAGUGAUGGGAUUCAUUCAACAAAAGCAAAGGAUGUUCACAACACAAGCAUGCAAAAGAAUUUGGGAAUCCUUUUACGUUCGUGCGUUUCUAUUUGCAAAGAACUGAUCCAAUUUUAGAUUGCCGCAAAAGGAUUGAUGUACACUUUUUAUUGGUGAGUGAGUGUGUUGAAGUUUUUUUUUUUUAACCGUAUCCUUUACAUGCGCAAUUACGGAAACUAAUCAGUCAAGCCUGAGAUUCAAAUGGAUUACAAACACACGCUUAAGAGUUUUAAAGUUGCUGCAUCUUAAAGUUGAAUUUAAACUGAGUACAGUUAGAAGAAAUUUGUGUCAUCUUAUCUAAAUGUUUUUGUUACGUUGAAAUGAAGUCUGAUCCAAACAUUUAGGAUUUUAUUUAUUUUUUGACCAAGCAUUUACGGAAUAAAAGGUCCUCUACAAAUUUUUUAUUUUAAAAUUAAGAUGAAAAAUGAACAAUUUUGACCUGACACGUUUUUUUUUUUGGUAGUGUACUUGACACGUUUGCUUUUGUGGUCUAUUUUAAAAUUUUCAGUUUUACGGGAUUUAGGGAUGUUUUACAUAAAAUACUUAAUAGAUUAUUGCUAAUAUGUACAUAGGGAUAUAAAAGUAUCAAUUUGUUGCUGUGAUUGGGGGUUGCUUAACUUGCUUGUCAGAUACGUUUGGGGAGCUCAAUAAAUAGACAAAAUAAAAUAACUCAUCAAACAAAUAAAAUAAGAUAAAGUUAUUAAUAAUACAAAUAAUAUUUUAUCUUGUCGUCUACAUAAAAUAGUUUUCAACUAAUUACUGCAUCACUAAAUUUGUAAAUAUGUACACCUCAUAUUUUUCUAACUUAUUCAAUAUUUCAUUCUAUAUUACUUUGUAAAAAAUAUAUUAAUUUGGAUUUGUGUAUACGGUAACAAAGUAACCGCGUACGCAUGUAUUAUUGCCGGCCUAUAAAAUGAAAAUGAAUGGUUUAAUUGGCAGCAUUAGAUGUUUUCCAUUGCCUCAUGAAUCAUGAUUUCAUGUAUAUUUGAUCCUAGAUUUCUUACCCCACCUAACCGUUACUUUUGAUCACUAAUGACCCACUUGGUGUGUUGAGCUUUAUCCUUUUCACGAUCAACUUAAAUAAUCAUAUCUUCUCUCUCAAUCUGUGGGAAGACCUUCUAGAAGAUUGACAUAAUUUAAGGCAUCAUUUAGCUAAAUCCAAUUUGUGAUGGUGUUGUGAAGCUUCUCGUUGUAGAUUUUUUUUAAAAGUUCACUGUAGUAAUCAACAGUGGUAUAUCAUUAUUUUAAAUUAAGAAUCUAUUCAGCGUUUGAAUGAGUUUGCGUGCGUAAUAUAAGGUCAAUGUCUCCGGUCUUCAGCGCACAGAGAUGGAUUGGUACAAAAAUAUUGGUUGAGUUUCAUACUAAGACAAUUCUCAUAAUUAAUUCUUUUUGAAUAAAAAUACUCUAUAAAAGUUCUGUCCUUGCAAGCACACUUUAAUUUGUAUGAACAAUGCAUAUAUACUCCCUCGGUUUUAUAUAUAAUGUUGCUUGUUGGUUUUGCAUAUUAUAUAUUGCACAAAUUUAAUCUACAUUAUUUCUUACUUUAUAUGUUUCAAAAAUAAUUGAUUAUUUUCAUAUUGUAAUUUUAAUUUUUUUAAUAUAUUUUACAUGAAACCUAUUAUUUUACUGUGUUUGCGUAAUAUUAAUAUUAAUAAAAAUAUUAUAUUCUUAAAAAAGUAAUUAAAAAAUAUAUAUUUUACAUUUUGGUAUCCAAAAACCGAUCAAAAUUAAACCGUAUAUAAUUGAAUCGGAUCAGUUUAAAAUUUUUAAUAUAGUCAUCCAAAUCGAAUUGAACCACAUGUGAUUAUCCAAUCAAACCGCACCGCGAGCACCCCUAUUUACUUAGUACUAUGUAUUCUCUUUAAUCUCAAAUAUAAGCAACAUAGGUGUGUUUGUUGAUAUUAAAUAUAAACAAAAAACAUUAUUCUUUAAAAAUGCAUUACUUUUUUUUUUAUCAAUUAUAAAACAUUAAAUGAUAUAUAUAUUUCUCACUCAUAUUCCCCCCCUCUCUCUAUCAUAUUUCCCCUCGCUCCAUCAUUUCCCUCUCUCUUCUCUUUUCGCCCUGCCUUCUAUAUAUUUUGGAGUUUCGGAGAAUUGGAUGCGACAAUAUGUCAAUGUUCUACGGCCGUAAAAGAGGACGACACAACAUCUCCAUCUAAAAAUUUAAGACGUUAAGAUACAAAUCGACUCUUUUAUAUUUACCUUUUUACAAACCAAAUGAAAGCUAAGACAUAUUUAUACCAUAAAUUUUGCUUCUACAUAUAUUUAUCAAAGAAAACUAAUAAUAGGAUAUAUGUGGAGUCAGUGUACACUUUUUCGAUUUUUCAAUCAUCAUUAAACAACACCAACAUAUAUAUAUACAUAAAAUAAUAUUUUCCUGAAUAAAUUAUUGUUAUUUUCUCUUUCAAAAAAUAUUAUUUUUUUCAUCCCCGAAUUUUAUAUAUUCAUGUAACUAUUUAGUAUGUGGAAUCCAACCAACAUAGCCCCACCGUUAACUGUCUCCUUCCAACAAGGGUGGGGGGAAAGUUUUUGUGUGCACGCAAAAUUUCUGACAAAUUUCAUAAUUUUUAAAAAACGUUACAUGAAAUAAUUGAUUGAGUAAUUAUUUCGGUGGUACCCUUGUCAUACAUAUACCUUUCAAGCAUUCAGAUUUUGCUACAAGAAGCUGCAAACAUGGAAAAAAUAGUACAUAGCAUAAAUGGUGAAAGAGGAGGAGCAACGCCAACCCAUGACUUGGUGUUGGUGUAGUACUAUAUGAUUGAUGAUCGACUAGAAACUUUUUCUCUCUGUUUAUCCCAUCCUGUACUUUGUGAUAAUGCUGACAUUUGUCCACAACUUUGUUGAUUAUGAUUAGUAUAUUCGCCGAUUAAGAUAGAGAAAUUAAUAUAUGUGUACGUACUACUCCAUCAUCACCCACAUCAAUUAAUGAACUACUAUGACAUUUCAUUGAGAAAAUGCUCUAGGUGGUGUGAUUUUACAGAUCUAUAACUCACAAAUAUUGAUAAAUCAUUUUCAUUGACUACGUACAUGUUAUUUUUAUUUUUUUUACUAAUUUACUUGUUAUCAUUUCAUGCGAUUCUCAUCAAAACAAUUAAACUUAAGUGGUUGAUGAGUUUUAUCAAUAAAGAAUUAUUCAAGAGAAAUUUAACUUUGAUUUUUGGAUGGAGUAGAUUCUGGCUAUAUUUAACCUAUCUUCGAGCUGAUUCUCCUGACUAUCGGAGAAUUAACAUAAAAAAAUAAAUGUGAUUUCCUCAAAAUACAUAUAGAAAUUAAAACCGUCUUUUUUUUGUUUUCCUAAACAAAAAUCAUAUAGAAAUCCUUUUUUUUUCCUACAAGGAAGACAAGUAUUGGCCUAAUUUGUAGAAGAUUACUGUUUCGUUUUUCUAAGGCUUGGUUUAGAUGGAGGGGAAAAGAUAGUUUUGUUGGGUGGAAAAUAUCGAGAGAAAUUGAGAAAUCAUUCAUAUUUUUUGAAAGAAUGUUUUUUUUAGAGAAUGAUAAACUAAUGAUAAUGAUUCAUAUAUUUUUAAUAUUAAGAAUAUUAUAACAAUAUGAAUUAAAUUUAAAAAAUUCACAUAAACCCUCCAAAAAUCUCAUUCAAUACAACUUUUAGUUCCACAAAUGAGGAGAGUUUUGUACUUAUAUAUGAAGAAAAAUUAACCCCCCAAAGCUCUCCUCUCUCAAUGUCCUCUUUUCUUCCACUUGCUUAUUCCUGUUUUUCAAAACAUUCAUUCCAUUCCGUUUUAAACUCGCAAACAAAGCCUAAUGGUUUUAUAGUAUUUUUUCUCUCUCUAAAUAAAAGUAGGGUAAUGCUAUCUAGGUGCCCCCGGGGCACUGGUUAAGAAGCAAUAAAUUCAUAGAUUCUACUUAUCUACCUUAAUAAAUUGAGAAAUAAUAAGUAACUAAUUAAAAUUAAUAAAAGUUGUGAUCAAUAUUCUCUAAAGGAUGCAGUUUUGUUUUGAAGAGGAUUUAAUUACACAUUUAAUGAAUUUGUAUUUGAUAUCUUAUUUGAAUGUGUUUUAUCUUUGGAAUUGCUAAUUUAUUUUGGACUUUAAAAUAUCUUGUCUUUGUUUAAUUAUUUCAACAACUUUUAAUUAAAAAAAUGAAAGAAGACAAUAUGCUGAGUAAAAUUCAAAGGAUGAAAAAAAAUGGUGCAAAAAAAAAUUCACAGGAAAAAACAAUACUGUUGUGAGGAUGAGGAAAAUUUAUAAGAAGAAUUAAAAUAAUAUUAUGUUUCUAUUUUACAGGAUAUAAAUUGGUCAACUCUCAAAAUUAUAUAAUAGUUGUGCAACAUGAAGAAUGACAGACAUAGGAAUAUUGAUAGAGGUAAAAAUCAUGUGGUGAUUAAAUGAGCUAGUGCUAUUUAAUUGUUUGACCAACUAUUUUUUUAUUUUAUUUUUUUGGUAAAUAACCUAUUAGUAGUAUUUUUGUUAGGCGUUAUAUUAUACUCCAUUCGGUCCUUUUUAUAAGAAACAAAAUAAUCAAAUUUUUUAAUCCUUUUUAUAAGAAACUUUGACCAAUUUUCAAAUGUAUUAGAAGUUAAAUGUCAUGUGUGUCCUUAUUUAAGAGAAUAUUAAAAGUAAGUAAAUUGUUGUAAUCAAAAUAAUUAAUAUAGGGGCAUUCAUGCAACGGUACUCGUUUGUGAAAAUAAUGAUUUUUUUUUUUGUUUUUGCACCGGUUUUCGACCCAUCAAAGGUGGGCGAUUAAUCUGACUCGUGCGUAGAGGCAUGUGCAUUGACCAAACAUUGUUACCCCUGGGAAUCGAACCCGAACUCGAUGAUGAUUGAUAAUAGUGACACUAAUUUUAAUACUAUUUCCAGUUGCUAUUAUAAAUUAUUAUUUUUUUAGAUUUAUUCAAUAAUGUAUUUAAUUUAUAUUAUAGUUUAAAUGUAUUAGUAAUUCAAUAAACCUAAAAAAAACUAUUCUUUUUUGUUUAUAAUAAUGCUUAGAAGAAGAGGAAAUCCCUAUUUUAAAUAUCCGUUUUAGAGGAAUCACUUUUAGUGGUGUGACCCUACCAAUUCUUACAUGUUUUGAAAAUUCAAAUAUUAAGAAAUUAAUUAAUCUAAUCUCAAACAAAAUUCACAACCUUAUUAUUAGGAUAUGCAAUGAAAAUUACUCUUCUGUUCUCUAAAUAAGGCAUUUGAAUGUUACGUAGCGAUUAGUUCAGGAGAUAACUCAUAUCUAAGAGGUAAUUUAUGAAUAAAUAGUAUGUGAAUAGGAGCCCGGUCCCUAACAUUUAUUUUCCUUUAUAUAAUUAUAUCAUAUAUUUUUUAUAAAUGAUGGAUAACACAUGCAUUAAUUAUGACGAUUGACAUCUCAGCUAUCGCCGCCUCAGUCACCAUAAUAUUAUAAUCAGUGGCGGAGUCAGGAUUAUUGUAAAGCCCGGGCAAAAAAAAAAUCAACACAUUUAUAGGGGUUUACAUAAGAAAUUGCAAGCAAAUAAUAAAAAAAUCUAAAAAAAUUGCCCAAUUUAUAGGGGUUUAUAUAAGAAAUUCAUAGGAAUUUACAUAAGAAAUUGAAAAAAAUUUGGGCCGGAGCCCGGGCGAGUGCCCGGGGUCGCCGGGCCAUAGAACCGCCCAUGAUCAUAAUAGUAUAAAAUACACUUCCCUCAAUAGAAUGAUAUGUUACUUAUAAAAAAUCACACAAGAUCAAAUUUGAUGUCGCAAGUAUGAAACUUUCAUGAUGACAAUCAUAUUAUAUUAUGAAAUCUAAAUACAAAUUAAGAUUAGCUUUAAUUUAAAACACCAAAAAGCAUCCUAAAAAAAAAUAAUAAUAAAUAGUCUCUUGCAAAGGAGUAGAGAUUUUGUUUUUUACGUGUUGCUUCUCUGAUUUACAUUUUAAUUAUAAGUUUAGCAUUUUGGCCAAUGUUGGGGGUGGGAAAAUGAAAGCACUUGGCUAUGAAAAAGAAAUGUUGUUGAGUUAUAAAAUAAAGAGAGUUACUUUUCCCACCCUAUUUCCUUCUCGCACGCCCUGCAAAAUUUCCAAAAAUACCCCUUGUUCGGAUUAUAUAAUCCGGACCCGAUUGUUAGUGUUUCCGGAAAACGAAAUCCGGACCAGAUGUUAUGUGAUUUUUUGUGUCUUUCUUAGAUGUCAAGGGUCUCUGUUGACCGUUAUAUGAACCUCACACAAGCUGCAAUGCAAUUGCAGGAUUCAUAUGAACGGUCAACAAUGACGAUGACACCACCGACACCUCUAAAAAACUAAAAACAUUUGAAGAAAACGGAAGAAAAGAGGUGAAGUGAAGAAUGAAGGUAUUUGUUGAAGAUGAAAGCCUAUUUAUAGCCUAAAACAAGUCAUAGAUCAUUAAUACAUUCAAUGAAAACGUGUUAGUGGUAGUAACCGUCCAAACCCACAUUAAUGGCUCUCUUUCAAAAGAAUCCAAUGUUGAAGCUUUCCGGAUUUUACAUUCUGGAACGUCCUUAGCCCUACAAGAAGUACCAACUUUUCCCUCGUUCACUAUUAUCGCAUUAAUCCGGAAAAUAUACUCCGGAAAACAGAUGUGCAUUCCGGAUUUUAUAUUCCGGAAUGCAUCAGUCAUGGCCGGAAUGCACCACACGUUUUUGUCGGUGGUCAAGUCAAAAAAACGCGUUUUACCACGUUUUUUGACUGCAUUUAUGAUCUCCUAACCGUUUUUGACUCACCCCUCCCUAUAAAUAGCCUUCCAAACCCCACCAUUUCUCACACCAUCCCCUCCCACCCUCUCCUCCUAUUCUUCCUUCUACAACGAUGGUUUUCCAUCGUUGGCCUUUCAUAGAUAAGGGCCUCGUGGAAAACUUUCAGGGUUUGUAUGAACGGUCAAUGAGGAUGGAACUGCGCUGCAAUGAAGUGCGGCUCAUAUGAGGGUCAUGCGGGUUAGUGUGGUUCUUAGCUUGGCCUGUCUGGGCGUAAGUUUGAGCACCCCUACCUCCUUCAGGGGCAUUGUUCUCUUCUUCCCGCCCUCCUCUUCCCUCCUCCUCCGGUUGACCUCCAAUAGGGAAACUACUGAUAUGUCCUAUCACAUAGCAGUGGUUAGACUCUUAGGAGAUUAGAAUUAGGCUCUUAGGAGAUUAGAAAUAGAUUUAGGAUCUUAUGUAAUAAGCUUAAAAAGCUUGAAAAUUAUUGUAAUGUAUUUUUCAUAUAUUAAUAAAAUGAGUUGUUUUAUGUUUGUGUCUUUUUAUUUCUGUUUUUUAUUUUAUUUGCAUUUUAUUUUACGAUUUGUAAAGCUUAAAAUUGUAAAAGUUAUGGAAAAACACUAUUUCAGAUACAUCUACAAAAUUCUAACAAUGCAAUCCGGAAAGCAAAAUCCGGACCAGGGAUAAAAUUGGAAAAACAAUAGGGCGCGCGAGGAAAGAUAUAGGGUGGAAAAAGUAAAUCUCUAAAAUAAAAAGGAUGAAAGGCUGAUGGGCUGAAGUCUUACAAAUAGUUGAGCCCUCUUUGCGAUUUGUACUAUAUAUACUUUCUAGAAAACAAAGGUUUCUAUAUACACCUCCACAUAUAAAACAAAAUUUUGGACUCCCUACGAACAUGGGCUCUAGGCCGCCGCAUCCCAACCUAUGCCUUGGGACAUCCCUGGUGAAUAGCCUCAUGAACAAUAACACUUCAAAUUGACAAACACAAACAGUUUUUUUUUUUUUUUUUUUUAACAUUAAAGAUAGAACAUAAUUCAACAAUUAUAGUAUGUAGUCAAAUCCCUAUGGACAAUGCAUAAAAUAUGCAAGGUCUGGGGUUCGAACUCUGACUACCACAAAAAAUGCAAAUUCUAUGGUACACCUAAAAAUUUGAGUGUACCAGUACACUAAUUGGCUAAAUUAAUAAUUAAAUAAGUUGUUUUUUUUUAAGAAAAAUAAUUACUGUUUAUCAUUGACAAUUAUAAUAAUUAAAUCUUAUUUAUCAAAAGCUUCAACGAAAUAAAAUUUAUUUUUUUUUUAAUUUUUAUUACUCAUAAUAAAGAAUAUUGAUUAUUUUUUAUGAGAAAAUGUUUAAAAUUCAAUAUGAUUCUUAUAAACAAUGAAAUGAUGUUUUCUAAAAUAUAAAUAUUGACAAAUAACUUUUUAUUUCAUAAAAUGAUCGUUAAUUUAUAAAUUUAUUGAACGAGAGCACCUUUAUGAGGUGUACUGUAAAAGUUUAAAAAAAAAAAAUCCCUUCAACCUCAAAGAUUUGCUUAAAACAAUCGCACAUACUUAAAACAAUUAAACUAUAGUUUGUUAAACACUUCUGGCCUAGUAUGGUCAACCCUUUUGAGAACUCACGCCACUACCGGGCAGAUUACAGUUUUUACAAAGUUCUUUAAAAUAGUGUUUACUUGGUCUUUCUAAAACAAUUCUUCUAACAAUGGUCAUUCAAAUGUUUUUUAUUAGAUUUUUUUCUUUGUUUUUAAAUCAACUCAUGCGUACAUUUUAAAUUUUUAAAUGACUUUUCGCAAGCAUGUUUAUAACAUAUAAAGUAUCUCUUCCACGAAAAUUAAGAAUUUUUUUUAUUAUCACAAGAUGAAUUAAAUAUGAAUUUUUAAGAACCAAAAUCAUAAAAGUUCAUAUCUAAUUCACCUCUUGUUAAAAAAAAAAUUAUGGGAGAAAUUUUUAUAAUGUACUAAACAUAAUUCCAAAAAAAAGUUCAGAAUUUUGAAGGAUACCCAUGUCGUAAAAGCAAGGACACAAAAUGUUGGUCGAAAACAUUUGAAUGACCAUUAUUUGAAGAACUUUUUUAAAGGAACUAAAAAACAAAAUAUGUAUAUUUAUUGGGAUAAACAUUUUGAUUAACCCUUUAAAAUACAAAGGUUUACUCUCAAAGAGAGGAUAUAAAAAUAAUUUCAAAUACAAUUGGAAAUAACUUUCAAACGAAAGGAUUUAGGUAUUCACUUUCGUUCAAUGUUUCCUAGACUUCUCUCUUUUUUAUAUCUUGCAUUUAAGAUAUUUGAACUUGAAAUACAAUAGUGCCUAAAAUGGUGAUGAGAUUUCUCUAUAUUUUUUAGUCUUCUUGUGUGAUAGAGUGACUUCUUCGAUGGUGAAGUAUAAAAUGAACCUAUAAAAAUAUUGGUCUAUGAUGGACCAAUUUUUUGUACCAUUAGAUCAUAUGAAUCCACCAAAUUUUAUCAUGGUCUAUAAACACCAAAUCUCACCCAUCUUCUCCAUAACUCUCAUUUAAUCUCUCUACUUUUUUUUUUGUCACAUAUUUUUUUUUCAUUUAGCAAUACAAGUAGUCUUUUUCUUCCCUAAAAAAAAAAGUAGUCUUUUUUUUACGGCACUUUGUAUUAAUCGAGUUUUUAAGUAAUACAUGAAUUAAUUUAUUUUGUUUUGAAGGGAUAUGAAUUAAAUUUCUUAAAAAAAUAAGUAACAUGAAUUAAAUAAGUAUUCAAUUGGUUUUUUUUUUUACGAAAAAAAAGUCUAGUUGUUGUUGCUUAUGUUAUUAAAUAACUUCUUUUUGAAUUGUUGUUGUUGUUGUUCUUCUUCUUUCUUUAAUAUUUUUGUUUUAAUCUUAUGGGUUUCUUAUUUUUUGUUUUGUUUUUAAAAUAAAAUUGUAUACUUAAAUAUUAAUGAAAAAAAUCUGAUACACGUAAAAUAAAUCUUAAAACUGAAAUAUUAUAAAAAAAAACUGAUAAUGAUUUAUUUAAUUGAAAUGAAAUAUAAAAAUUGAAAUGAAUUAAAUUAAAAAUAUAAUUUAAUCAAAAGAAAUUAAUUAAGUAUUUUGACCAAAAAAUUUAAAAAUUAAUUUAUUAAUAUGUAAAAUAUAUAUUAAAUUGAUUAAUUUAAAUUAUUAAAUAUCUUAAAUAUUAAUUGAUUUAUAUUUUAUUAUGAAUUACGAAUGUUCUUUUAUGUUAUUUACAUUUCAUUAUGUAUUGAUGGAUUGUAUUUGGUGUGGAUGGACCAUGAUAAGAAUUGAUUGUUGAUUCAAUCUAAAGGUUAAAAAAAUUGGUCCAUCUUAGACCAAAACUUCAUGGGUCCAAGUUAAAUGGCACCUUCUUCGAUAUAUAAACUUCCUUUUUUACUAUAUAAAAUGGAGAUAGUUAAUAACCAUUGGUAGAAGCUUCCUUAAAAAAAAAAACCAUUGGUAGAAGCUGAUUGUUGAUGAACAUCGGGAAUCCUUAAUGUCUCGAAUAUAUUUUUGCUGCACUACUACAUACUCCAUUGAAGUUACUUAAAGAUAGGUGGUGUAUGGUUGAUUUAUGUCACUCCACACCUUAUCAUUUCACAUCCUUGUCCUUUUAAUUCUGUUCUUUAAGCCCAUUUGAUGUGUAGUCCUUAAAUGAAUCAAGAUUGGACUUAGGGAGUUGAGAUGAAGAUGCUCACAUUAGACACAAAGUUUUGAAUUAUGGUAAGUGAAAACAGAUGAUUUAAAUGCGUGAAACUCCACUAAAUUAUGUAUAUGCUUUAUAAUAUGUCUUUAUUUUUAAAGUAAACAUAUACAUCAGAACGUGUUUCUCCAUCAGAGCGCUUUCAGACAAUCUUCAGGAUGUUAGUUAAAUUACUUUACAAGAGUGUGCUAUUAGAGGAUCACUUUAAUUCUCAUAAUUUUUUAGGUAGAUUUUGACAUGCACACUUAACACACAUUUUUAAAAUAUGAAAUAUUCAAAUUAUAUACAAUUUUUACCAUUACCAAUUUUUUUUUUUAAUAUUUAUAUAUACGAUUACUAUUUUUAUCCCUAAGUAUAAAACCUCUUAAGUUUUUUGUCCUUUUUUAUAUAUAAGAUCUCCUUUAAAUUUUCAACUUUAUUAAUAUACCACAAAUUAAUUUACAAUUUAUCCGAUUGGUGGAUUUAACUACGAGUAUUCCACCAAAGUAUGGAUUUAACUCACACUAUCGAUAUGCAUAUUUUGUUGAUGAAUAAUCUAUAAACAGAUGUGUCGUGUUCGACACUAUCAAUAUUAAAAUUUUCUCUUAGAGCAUCUACAAUUGAGACCCUUAACUUUAAGGUCAUAAAUGGGUCCACAUGGACACAUUAUUUUUUAAUAAUUCUUUAAUAAUAGUACUUAAUAGGUACUUAACCACUCCAAUUGAGAUCCUCUAACAAAAGGUCUAAUAGGGUCCCACAAAUAUUAUUUAAUAGCCAUGAAAAUUAUUAUUUUAAUAAAAAGUGAUGUGGGUCCACUUAAAAUGAGGUUUUAAGUUAGACCUUAGAUGGUGAAGACCUCACCAUUGUAGAUGUUCUUAGGAGUCAAAUAUCCAAACCCUCUAAACAUUUUUUUAAUACAAAAAAACUGAGAUUUGAACCAAAAUCUUAUCAAAGUGUUGAACAACUAUUAUUAUUUCUUUAUGAUGAUGAUUAUGAUACAUGAAGUGGCAAGGUAGAUCACAAAUGGAAUUUGUCGGGUCUAUUAUAAACCUUAGUUGGCAACAAGACACAGAAGAGUAAAGAGAAUGUAAAAGGAAAAUGCAACAAGUACUGGUGAAAAAAGGUGAAAUUAAAAAAAAAAACAUCAUGUGUCAUGUCACAUGUGUGUUUUGUUGAUUGAUGUACUCUAAAUUUUCCAAGCUCAGAAAAGUCAAGCACACCACAAAUCGCGAUCUAUCAAAUUCAAAUCCACUUAGAUGAACAUAAACUCGUUUUUAUUUAUUUUUCAAUAAUCUUAAAAACAUCUACAAGAAACACAGUUUCCAACAAAUAAACACAUACAAUGUUUCGUUACAUCUUAGUUUUGUUAUUGUUAUUGUUAGUAUCAUCCUACGAUGUUUAUUCACAUGAGGAGUCGGGUCCAUGGAGCUGUGAAACCGGGUCAGAGAUUCACGUUGAGUCCGAAUUUCAACCCGGUGUUAUUACACUUGAUGGUCAUGCCGAUGAUUGGAAGGACAUUGAUGGGUCCCACUUUUCUCUUCUUCUUGCUCUCGACCCUGAUGCUGAAAAUGAAUUUAAUGGCGGAAAAAUGACCGUGAAGGUAGUAUUCACUUUUUUUUUUCCUUUUGUUAUUCACAUUUGAGUAUUUAUCUGUUUAUCUUCUUACCAUGGUGUUUGUUGUUUUGUUGCAGAGUGUGCAUGAUGGCCGUGAUAUUUUCUUUUUGUUGCAAGUUGAUGGUGAUUAUGCCUACUCUAAUGGGUAAGAUGUGUGUGUCAUGCAGAGAAAACUGAAUCUAGUUCUAAUCCAUGAGUUUGAUUUAUUGAGCUUAGUUAGUGAUAGUUUAGUUUAAGUUUGAUUUUUCGGUAAUCAUGUUAUCCGUGUGAAGUAUACACCGAUUUGAUGACUAAUCUUUGUCGGGAAACUCCUUACUGGCCACCUUUCGUGGGGUCUUCCCGCUUAACCACGUUUUUUCUAUCCACAAGUUUCGAACUUGUGACCUUGCUUUAGGGAUCCGAGUCCAGUAUUGGGUUCAAGAGUGAUUAGUCUCACAUCGAUUAUGAGUGAUAAAAAUGUUGGAUAUAUAAAGAGGUGACCGGUAUAUUUAGUGUCUUAAGAUUUUGGGAAGAGAUGUUGCGUCUUUCUUGUGGUCUUGGAGCAUUAACCCGUUGCUACCGACUCCCAAUAAUAUUCGUUGUUGAUAAGCGUCUCAAUGAUUGAUAUUGUUUGGUUAUUCAUAACAAAUCACGAGUGGUUAAAAUAUCAACUCUUGAUUUUCUCACUUUGCUAAUUAAUCAUUACUCAUUUUAGCAUAAUCAAUUUUGUUUCGUUCUACUCGGAUCAAUAUAAUAGUGGUUUGAACUUUAAGUUGUUUGAUUACUGAAUUAGCUUGAUUUAUUUAUGUUGACAACGUUAUAAGUAAUGAUAUUUUUGUUGAGGGUCCAACAUGAUGGGAUAUAAGAUUAGAUAUAUAGACAAAAAAACAAAAUAUAACUUUCUCAUAUUACUAUAUGAUACACUUUUAAUAAGUUGGUGCAUUUUUUGUUUUUGUGAUGAUGCAGUGAAAGCAAGAAAUGUCCCUCUGUUGCACUCAUGUUUCAAAUUGGGGAUGGUGCCUCUUAUCAUAAUGUAAGUUGGUGUACUCAACAACGUAUUCUCUAAGGGUCUAUUUGGGAGUUUGGAUGGUAGGGGACGAGAGGGUUUUGGGGGGAGGGGUGUAGAGAGAUAAAUCUUUCACCUUUUUAGAGAGUGUUUUUGUAGAUUAAUAUAUUUUUAAUUUUGUGAUUAAAAUAACAACAUAGAUUGGAUUUGAAGAAUUUACCUAAGUCCUCCAAAACCUUCAAAUAUCCUCCUUCAAUACAUUUUGAGUUCCCUCAAAUUAGGGGGAUUUUGUAUUAUGAAGAAUAAAACUCCCUAAAGCUCCCCCCUCCCAAAUCCCUUCAUACCUUACACUUUCUCCUUCCUUUUUCUCAAAUCCCCCCCUCCUCUCCCCCUCCUAAACUUCAUCGCUUCAUGUUUUUCAAAUCCUAAGGGGCAUUUGGAUAAACAACUUAGGGCCUGUUUGGAUGGACGUAUUUGAGUCUAUCUAAUGACAUAAACACUUGUGACUGUUUGAGAGAGCUUAUGGAAAUAACUUAUGAUAUGUCCAUCAGUUGUUUUUAGCUUAUUUUCAUAAGUUCUUCAAGAUAACUUAUGAAAACAGUUUAAAGCUUAUAUAUGAAAACAUUUUGACUUUAUUUAAUCUUUUGGUAUAGAAAUAGCUUAUAUGAUAAAAGAUUAUGAUAUAACUACUUAAUUAAGUUGUUUACCUAAAAAGAAACUUAACUAAAUACUUCCAAAAAGUGCUUAUGGUAAUCAUAUUUUUGUAUAAUCUGUUUUAGGAAUGUAAGAAAACUUCGUAAAAGCUUUAUAUAAAGUGUUUUUAUAUGUUAUUAUGAGGAGCUUAUGAGAAUAAUUUGAAACAAUUUAUUGACAUAUCACAAGUUCUUUUGAACACUUAUUAUGUAAGUGUUUUUGUAAUAUGAUUGACCUAAAUAAGUUAUUGUAAAGUCAUCACUAAUCCUGAUUUUUAUGUAAGAUCUCUAUGAAUCGUGAUUGAUAAAAAAUUCUGUUAAUUGUUGUAAGAUGGGUGGCUGUGAGGAACAUUCAACCUCGUGCACAAAUAAGACCUGCAAAGGUCAUGAAGUUGACAUUAUGCACUUUUCAAUUGGAAAUGCUAUUCCGGGACGGCUUUAUGGCGGGAAUCCCAUUGACAAUAGGGAUGGGAAUGGCGGUGACAGGUGAUUAAUAUAAAAGCUCCUUAACUUUAACCACAUCGGCCGACAAUUUAUGAUGACUAUAGUGGAGCUAUUUUUCAUGAGAUGUGUUCAUUCAGUUUCCUAUAAUCGUCCAUACAGGUUUGGCCAUUUGGUUGAUCUUUAUGCCUGGAAUCCACACUGCAGAUACUUGGAUGGAACUGGUCCUUCAGGUUCUGGUAUGCACAAAUGUAACAUCUUUAGUUGGAAUUGUAUGUUUAUAUGAUUAAAAUAAAAAAGGAGAAUGAAUGAGAUUAAAACAGCUAGUGGAAGUAUCUGCGGGUUCAAUCCAUGAAAAGUUGCUCAACUUUUCCAUCAAGUAGUUUGCUUCAUGGUUUGAAAGUUCAUGCUCCUUUUUAACCCUCUCUUUAAUGACAACAUUAAAGAGAGGGUUGGAGUAGCACCUAUCAUAGAAAAGAUGGUGGAAACUCGGCUUAGGUGGUUUGGGCAUGUAGAGAGAACACUAGUAGAUUCUCUAGCGAGGAGAGUAGAUUAGAUGGAGGGUAGUCAAAUCAUUAGAGGCAGAAGAAGACCUAGAAAAACUAUAAGAGAAAUUAUUAAGAAAGAUCUAGCGAUUAAUGGGUUGGAUAGAUAUAUGGUAUAUGAUAGAACAUUAUGGCGUCGUUUGAUCCAUGUAGCCGACCCCACUUAGUGGGAAAAUGCUUGGUUGCUGUUGUUGAUAUCUUUUACAUGCUUCAGCCAUAUAAGAAGCAAUGACAUAUUGUUUUAAACCUUGCAUGCGGAUGUCAAUUAUUUUAUUCCUUUAGCUUAGCCAUGUCAAAUCAAGGUUUGCGUUUGAUAUAAAUCUUUUCUAAGUUUACAUUAUAAUAAAGUUCAUUUACAAAAAAGUUGAAUAAAUUAUGUUUGCCCUACACACCCAAUUUAAAAUUUGUGCCACUUCACAAGAUGAGAGUGGAUCCCAAAAUGAUUAUGCAGUGAUUGGAUUUGAGCAUGAGCAUGAUGUAUUAAGUUACUUUAAGAUUGCUUCUUCCACAUUGGAGGAAAGGAAGAAUUAAUUAAGGCAUCGGUAUAGAAAGGGACAAAUAGAUGGAGGGAUUAUGCAUAUUCUAUGCUAAGAUUACACAGACAAUUUAUUAGUGCCUAACUUGGAUAAAUAAGAUAAGCCGAUAAUUAUGUUAGAAAAUGACAUACAGAAGAUCGACAAACACAUUUGUUGGGACCACAAACCAGGAUUCUCAACAUAAGAAGUAUUUCAUCAUCAUAAUUGCUUUUUUCAUCAAUUCCUUUAUUUGUCUCAAUGGGAUUUUUGCAAUCACUUCGUUCUGUUUGUGGUCAAAAUGUGGCGUUUCUGCACAAAAUUGGAAGCCUCGUUAUGCCCAACCAGAUUGUGUCCUUUUCUUUAUCUUUGCAAAACAUCAUUUCAUUGGGCAACUUUUAAGUUUGAUCCCAAUGUGAAUAAUGAAUUUACAUAUGUAGAUUUUGUGCAUAAAGUUGUUGGACAUGUUGUAGCGCUAUUAAUGUUUAUGAAUUGGGAAUUCUACAAAUAUCCCAUUGUUUCAUACUUUCAUAUGAUUUGAAGUGGGGUGAUGAUAAUGUCUCUUUUCAAAGAUUUAGAGACUUUCUAAAGAAGAUAUGUCUCACAUUGUGACCAUACAAUUGGAUAUAUAAGCUAUAACCUAUAACCCUACAAUGUGGGUUAAACAUCUAAUAUUUUCUCCAAUUCCCUUCAUUUGUUGAUAACUUCCUAGGCUGUUGUCUAAUUUUUAUUUUAGGGAUAUACAUUAAGCAUUGGACCUCUUUCUGUUUUCAGUUAAUGAUUCUAGUGCACAGAAUGACUGGAAAGGUGCUUGGUGGCAUAGCAGCUUUACAGUUCACUCAGGUAAUCCUUUUACUGUUCAAAAAGAAAAGUAAAAUGUCCUAUCAAUUAACUAUCGUCCGAAGCUGAUUUUAGACUGAAAUAUUGGUUGGUAGUGGAAUGAAUCCCGAAAUCUCUCCAUAUAAUUAGCUAAACAAUCAUGUAAUCAUUUAUUUAUCUCAAAUAUGAUUUCACAUCCGAUUCUUAACGAUAUUCAUACCAAAGAAAUAUCUUCCAACGUAAUGUAGUUGCUACUAAUAGCGUCAAAGAUAAUUUGAAAAGUAAAUAUACCAAUAUAUGUACAAUAUGUUUUCUGGUAUUCACCAACUUUUUAAAUACCACUUUGCUGGGGUGGAGGAUGUUUGUUUUUUUGGGGUGAGUUCAUAACAUUAUUUUUUUAAUUUUUUUAUGGAAAUAGAUGUUUUCAAACUUUCUUCUUAUAAAUAUAAUAAUUAAUACAUAAUGUUAUUUUAGAAAGAAAUAAAUGCAUAAUAUGUAUAUAUAUUAUUAAGUAAAAAACUGAAAAUAUAAACCAUGAAUUGAAUGUUAUGCAUAUAGUAUGACAUAGAGCAUGUCCAUAAUACAUCAUUUAUGUCCUCGGGAAAUAUAUCGGCGGCAAUUUUUCAUGUGUAAUUGUUGAAAUUUGAGGCCUAACUCAUCCUUACAAAACCGGUUCUUAAGGUGAGGAGUGCCUCCACUUUAUAAACUUUUAUCAAGAGUCUUAUCGAUCUGAUGUGGGACUUGGGGUUUUUCCCAAUACACCCCCCUCACGUCCAGCACUCUUUGGGCUUGGUGCGUGGAUAGGUAGGUGGCCCUUGAAUUCGACAAGCUCUGAUACCAUGUUGAAAUUUGAGGCCUAACGCAUCCUUACAAAACCGGUUCUUAAGGUGAGGAGUGCCUCCUCUUUAUAAACUUUUAUCAAGAGUCUUAUCUAUCUGAUGUGGGACUUGGGUUUUUCCCAAUAGUAAUUACCUGCUGCUUUCAAUAAUUUAUAAUAUAAUUAGUGCUGUUCCAACUAGGUAGGUUAAUGUAAUUCCCACUAAGGGCCAAAAGUUUAGUGAUCCAUAAAAGAAGGAUGACGACUGGUUUGUUUCUUAUGGAUUCAUUUAUCCACAAUAUUUUCCUUUUAUAAUUAAUUUAGAAAAACCCAUUUUUUCAUCCUUGAUGGAUAUUGAGUCUCUCAAUGCUUCAAAGUAUCAUAAAUUAAAACAGUCUUUGUUGGAUUGAAGGAGAAUCUAAUACUGGGCUAACUUUCACUCCACUCCAAUAGAAUGGGGAAAUGAGCUGAAGUAGAUAGUGUAAGGGAGCUCUAAUUUUGCAUUAUUUAGAGACUAUAACGAUGAUGUUUUACAUUAUUUAAAGACUAAAUUGAUGUGAAAAAUACUUGGUGAGCCAAAAUGAAUGAACUCUGUAUUAUUAAGGGAGUAAAUUGAUGACCAAAUCCUUGUUAUUACUAAAUUGACGAUACAUGUAUGUGGAGGACAAAAGUAAGGGUUUUUUCUAUUUUUUAUGUUAAAGCAUAUUAUGGAUUCUGUUGCAAGUUGCAACCCGAUAUAUGAUAUUAAAAUUGGCCUUAGUCGGAGCACCUUAAAUAUGAGCUUUCUGCAUUGUUCUACCCUAUCAUUUAGUUAUUCUGGAUCAUUUUGCUGUAAACUACUACUCACAUGUUUCUCUAAUAACAGGUUUUGUAAAGGAUGAGAACCCUUAUGCAGAAAAUGGAAAAAAGGGCACAUAUUUUUUUGAAUUCUCUAGGCCUUUGAGGACUAUGGAUCAUCUGCAACAGGUUAGAAGUUAGAAACCUUUAUGAUGCAUUUUGAAGAGUUUUAUUUGUUUAGAGAUUACGUUGAUCUUUCCUCUUAUGUUUGAAUCCCUAUUUUGAAUUAACUGAGUUCUUGGUCUGUCAAAUUCUUCUAUAUAACACGUGGACUACAUAUGAACUUCAUUAUUUAUUAAUCAUAAUGAAUUCUGGCAUAGAGUGCCCCAAGUCACAUAAUAAACUACAAUUUUGUAUUUCUGAUAUUAUGGAUCUAUGCUAUUUUGUCGAACAGUUUUGGGCUUUUGGCUUUGGAUAAGAUAUCUUCUACCGGUUUGUUUUGCAAUACCUUCUUUACAAAGGAAACUUGCCUUCAUAAGAAAUAUUUCUCCGCCAUGCCCAAUAGCUAAAACUAACAAACUUUAAAGUGCCGUCUUUUUUAGUUUUAGUUUAGGUUUAAAUAUGACUUUAGUCCUUGCACUUUCAUCAGAUUUUGGCAUUGGUCCCUACACUUUUUUUUGUUUGGAAUUGGUCCCUGCACUUUGUAAAAAUAUUGGUAUUGGUCCCUCUAUUAACUUUCUGUUAAAAAAAAAACACAAAACUAUUGGUAUCGGUCCCUGCACUUUGUAAAAAUAUUGGUAUUGGUCCCUGCACUUUGUAAAAAUAUUGAUAUUGGUGUCACGUGGCGUGAAAUGAUUGGGCCACGUGGCACUCCGUUGGUUUUGUGUUUUUUUUUUUAACAGAAAGUUAACGGACCAAUACCAAUAUUUUUACGAAGUGCAGGGACCAAUGCCAAACAAAAAAAAAGUGCAGGGACCAAUGUCAAAAUCUGAUGAAAGUGCAGGGACCAAUGACACAUUUAAAACUAGUUUUUAUUUUUGUGAUAGUUGAAGUGGAGGGAAUAAAUCAUAAAGUUCUUCUCAAAUAUAAUGUUUAUGUUUCAACCUAAUUCUUCAUAUGCAAAGAUUCAUUUUAUAGCUUUGUGAGAACUCAAAACCAACACAUGAUGCAAACACGCAUGAAUGUCAUUUAUGCGAUAACAAACAAUUAAAAUCAUGCAAAUUUAUACCUUACAGGAUGUGCAAUUCACCAUUGGCGGAACAAGCAAGAUGUCUGUCGGAUUCUGGUAUCCAGUAGACGGUAAGCCAUGGCGCGGUUCCGGACACUACUCUGUCAACUGUGAUUGGGUUCCAAUUGAUAUAUCUCAGAGCAGUUCAUUGAGUGGCAAGUCAGUGGAGACAGCAUCAAGUAGCUCAUGGAAUUUUGCAAGUGCAUUUUCGCUUAUACUUUCAGUAGCAGCACUUUGUGUGUCUGUGUUUGUGAGCUAUCGGGUUUUACACCCCAAGAGUGUAGCCUUUACUCCUAUGGAGAACCUUUAAAUAGUGUAUCAAACAGCUUGAGUUUGGGAUUGUACUAUUCAUUUACGAUUGUACUAUAUAGGUUUGUAGUUUGUACUGUUUAGUGCUUUCUCUUGCCCUAUUUUUUAAUUCUAUUUGAAGUAUUACUUUAGUUAUUUUAGUUAGUGUCAGAAAAGUGUUGGUUCAAUAGUCCAAGUAUAAUGGAGUUCCAUCUUGUGCUUAGUUGUUGCAACGUGCAAUUUCCUUUCACAGGGGGCUAUUUUUCUUUUCUAAAAAACUGGAGUAUACUAAUAUGACAUUGUCAACUCAUAAGUGUUUCAAUAAUUGAACAUUUCACAUUUUGCAAAUUAGAGAAGAAAAUGAUACAUUGGAUGAAAUGAAACUAAUUAUCUCAUUCUAUUUAUUCUUGCUUGAAGCAAUCAAUAAAUAGUUUUCAAUUUCUUCUUAUUCUAUUCGAUUCCUUUUCAACUAUACUUUUAUCGUUUUGUUUUAAUCUUUCAAAUUAAGGGAGGGGCGCCCUAGUAAUAUUCAGCUUUUUUUAUUGACACUAAAAUAACAUAAAAACAACUGAUAUAAAUAUAUAAAUUAAUUAGGGGUGGUUGCCUCUGUAAUUGGCUAAUUGAUAUAUUUGAUAUUUUUGUUAAGUCUCUGGUAAUCUGGAGUUCGACCGUGUGAUAAGGAUAGACCGAUCAAAAAUUGUUCCAUUCAAGAAUUGAAUUCGGUGAUUUAUCAUUUGGUGGAACUUGCUAACCACUUAUGUUCAAUCGUUUGGUUUGUUUUAUUUAUAUUUUAGCAAUGAAUAAUUUAUACUUCAUGCAUAAAUAAUGGUUCUUAAAAGUUAAAAGCAAAAGGAAAAAGUUUCCAUCAAACGAACAUGUGGAGAGAAUCAAUCAAAGAAAAUGUUAAGGGUUGAUGUUAUGAUAUUGUCUUUGUGAGUAAAUUGUGAAACCUUCUCCAAAGGUAACGUUAAUGUCAAUUCAAAUCACUUUCUCCCUUUCAAAAUGAUGAAUCAAACACGACGAUUGAUAAAAUCUGUCUCACUCAUAUUUUUUUGGUUUCUCAACAUAUCUGCUACCGACUAAUCUCUUUAAAAUCUAGAGUACAUUUACAGAUUGUCUCCUUUUUGGUUUAGUAACAAAAAAAUCGCUUGAUACAAAAGACUUGUGGAAAUUGUGACAGUUAGAGUGCGAGUUUUCAAUGCCAUUUGUGAAGUAUAGAGUUGAGCCAAACAUUAUAGGAAAAUAAGUAGGGCAUACUAAAUAAAUUUUGUUAAGUACUCCUAACCCUGUUGAGUUGUUAUAAUCUUCAUAAAUUAAAAGGAUUUGGGACUUGCUAACAAAUGACCAGAAGAUAUUGUUUAAGGAUUCCAUACGAAACAUGUAUUUGUUAAAUAGUUAAGUAUGUACAUUAUCUCCUUUCAAUCUAUUAAAUAUACAUGUAAUCGGAGUUGAGUAGCAAAACUUGUUUGAGUUAAGAGUUAAAGGAGUUGGAGAACUUGAGUUCAAACUCGUGAAGUAGAAAGUAACAACUAACAUUUGUAUAUCCAAAAAAAAAUUACACAUUCCAUGUAAACAAAAAAUACCAAUGUAAUUCACCAAAAAAUAACAAUAUAAACCAAGUUUACAUCGACAUCCAAUAAAAAUCCAUUAUUUUGCUUCAUCGUAAAUUUUUGACAAAUGUUUCUGAAAUUUGUAAUAUGAAAUGGAAAAAUAGAUGUUUCUAAUUGGAUGUAAGUUAGUUCACGGUAAAGAAAGAGAGAAAAGGAAUGUAAAUUGUAUUCAAAUGCAAUGAAAAGGAGAGAAAAACUCAAUGCAAGAUUACCAAAGCUAAGGCUCAUCAGAAUGGAGAAAACAAUUCUGUCUCUGCCUACAACUAAGGGUCCUAACAGAAUAAUGAUGACAUGAGUGUUCCAAUAUUCAACCUACACCAUUCUUAUUGGAAAAUCAUAACUAAUUGGCCAGAUGCCCACCUUAACACUAUCUCACCUUUUCUUUUCUUCCUCCUCUCAUAGACUAUCCAUAUUUUGCGCCUAUCCUGCCUUAAGCCCACAAGAACAUUCCCUCCUAUUGGACUGAGCUCAUGCAGCACUCUAACAAUGCAAGUGUAAAACUAGUUUCCAUCGACAGUUUGUCUUUUUUAAAAUUCAACUUAUAAUCAUCAUAGCAAACAAAACAACUAGACUAACCUUUCAAUUCUGAAAGAAUUUGUAAAACCAGUACUUAUCUUAAGGAAGAAAAAAAAAAAAAUCAAUCCUGAUUGUCAAACCAUCACUAGCUCGGAAUUAACAGUACCUACAUAUGAUACACUCGUGAUUGUUUUUUUAAUGAUGGGUGUGGUGUAUUCAUGGUGAACAUCAGCUCCCAAGUUACAAGUUCUCGUGCGCUUGGUUGACAUAAGAAUCUUCCUUCAAUACUGUCUGAAUAAUGAAUACCAGGAGAUGAUUCGGAUGCAGUAAUGCAAGUUUUAAUAUAGGAUUCAUCAAAACAACUAGACUAACCUUUCAAUUCUGAAAGAAUUUGAAAAACCAGUACUUAUCUCAAGGAAAAAAAAUCAAUCCUGAUUGUCAAAUCAUCACUAGCUCGGAAUUAACAGUACCUACAUAUGAUACACACGUGAUUGUUUUUUCAAUGAUGGGUGUGGUGUAUUCAUGGUGAACAUCAGCUCCCAAGUUACAAGUUCUCGUGCGCUUGGUUGACAUAAGAAUCUUCCUUCAAUACUGUAUGAAUACCAGGAGAUGAUUCGGAUGCAGUAAUGCAAGUUUUAAUAUAGGAUUCAUCAAAAUUGUGACUCCUAAGAAUCUUGCUUAACUCAUCAACACCAUCAAGAUCUGUUUCUUCUUCAUAAUACUUCAGAAAAGCACUCACAACUUGUGGUGAAGGUUGGUAUUUAUAAUCGCUGGCUUCUGAAAGUGCGGCCUCUAAGUGGCUCAUAGCACCAUCCAAUUGACCUUUCUCCAAUAAAGAUGCCAUGAACAUUUCCCGAAUCCUAAAGAAAGGUCCUCUGCAGCUCUUGAGAGCUUCCUCAAAGACCAACACAGCUUCCUUGUCCAUGUUUUGACUCAAGUAAGCCUGCACUGCAACACCAACCAACCUAGAAUCAUAACUAACAUGCCUAGAUUCCCACUCCUUAAACAAUUUUAUUAUGCCCUCCAUAUCAUUAAGCCUUCUAAGGUUAGAAAGCAUAAUAAGAUAGCUCCGAUUGGUCACCGGGGUGAUCUUCUUGAGGGUCCCCCACACUCUAUAAACCUCUUUAACAUUACCAGUCCCAGCAUAAAGGCUCAGCAAGAAAUGGUAAGUUUCGCGUUGGCGCGGCUUCAUUACUCCUUCCACCUUCUUAAGCAUCAACUCGGCUUUCUCAAAAAAUCCAGCUUUUAUAUAGAUAGCAGCAAGGUUGCUAUAAGUCUUCCAGUCAAUUUUGUCUUCAUCUUCUCUUUUCAUCUCCUCAUAAACACGUUCAACCUCACCAAGGUCAUUCAAAGCAGCACAACUAUUCAUCCACAAAAUGUAUGUAAAUUCAGUCAUGCGAAUUUUCCUCUCCUUCAUAACAUUAACCAACUGAGGAACUUUCGACGGUUGACUUAGCCUCAUAUACAUAGACAUCAAAUUGGUGAAAGACAAACUAGUCAAAUAACCAAAUUCAUCCAUCUUAUCAAAAUGAGACAAUGCCUUGUCUAGCAUUAGUUCCUUGCAGUAACAGUUUAGAAGAGAACCGUAUGUGUACUUGUUCUUAGCAGGAGGAGGAAAACUGUUGAAGUGAUUCUCGGCUUCAACCACUCCUUUCACUUUGGACACAAGAUCUAAAUACACUGCAUAGUUAUCCCAUGAAAAAUUAAUUUGCCUCAUCAUCAUCCAUUCCAUUAUCUGCAACCAUUCAAAACAUCAUUAUAAAAAUUUAAAACAUCACAAACAAAUUAAAAAUAUCUCUAAUUACAACCACAACCAAGCCUUAUCCCACUAAGUGGGUUCGGCUACAUGGAUCAAAUGACGCCAUAAUGUUCUAUCGUAUACUAUAUCCCUAUCCAACUCGUUAAUCUUUAGAUCUUACUUGAUACUUUCCCUUGUAGUUUUCCUAGGUCUUCCUCUGCCUAUAGUGAUUUGACUACACUCCAUCUAGUCUACCCUCCUUGCUGCAAAAUCUACAGGUCAUCUCUCUACAUGCUUAAACCACCUAAGCCGAAUUUUUACAAUCUUUUCUAUGAUAGAUGCUAACCCAACUCUCUCUAAUGUUGUCAUUUCUAAUUCUAUCAUUGUCUACUUAUACCACGCAACAUCCUCAUCUCUGCUACACUUAUUUUAUUCUCGUGUUAGUUAUUUACCACUCAAGUCUAUGUCCCAUACAACAUCGCCAAUCUUAAGACUGUACUAUAUAAUUGUCCCUUCAGCUUGAGCGGUACUUAAGUAAAACGACUAAGCAAGUUGAUUCACUUGUUAACAAAAAAAAAAAAAAAAAAACUUUCAUUACACAUAAAUUAGUUUUGCUUAUGUGGAUUGUGACGAUAAAUUAUGAAGCAAGGACACCCACAAUAAUUUGAGAAAAUGACAACUCAAUUUAAUCACAUAUGUUAGUGUCCUAUAGGUGUUAGACAUCAACAAGUGUUAGACACCGGACACACCUUCAAUAGUGUCGGUGCUAAAGAUAUAUGAUAAAACAUGAAUCAAAAUUUAGGGUGGGAAAAUUGCGAUACCUCGAAUGCGUGAUGGAAUCUACGAUACUUUCGAAGCUCCUGGACGCAUCUCUCGAGUUCAUCUUUUCCUAAGGCUUUGCCUUCGAUUAUAUACUGGUUCAACGUCUGCGACACGGUUCCUCCGGUCUUUUCUAGGUCCGCUAGUCUUCGGUAAAGGUUUGCCUUCUUAUUCGGAAGCUCAGCCGCCGUCGCAGCCGUGCAUAGUCGUCGGAGAAGCCUUCCUCCGCCGGAAAUCAAACGGCUGUAAUUCAUCUCAGAGUCUCUAUGAUCGAACCUCCGCCAGGGAUUUUGUCUACUUGUUGUUUCUUGAAGGGUUUUAUUAGGGUUUAUCAAAACGCGAAUUCUGGCGUUGUGUUGUCUUUCACUUGAAUUUACCGGUAACCGGUAAAAAAAAAAGUGGAUAGUUAAAGUGAGAGAAUUGCUCUUCAUUUGGUUUGGCUGAGAAACACAUGUAAAAGACGAAAAUACCUCUCGGCAGUUACCCACCGAAUUAUAAAACCGACUGCGGUUAACUACCGAGGAAAAAAGAAAACUCGGCACUUAAGUGCCGAAGAACUCAUCUCAUUUUUUUGUUGAAAAUAUUAUGGUUACUUGCUUACGAUAUAUGGAUGGAGAUGCAUUUGUGGCAUUAAACCGAUAAAUAGCCAUGUUAUAUUAAUAGCCCUUUUGGCAUAUAAAGAUGUGUAAAUGAGCAAUGUUAUUUGAACAACAUUUUUAUGUGACAACUUGUUGGACAACUAUAUUAUAUAAAGAAAUUUAGGUAGUGACACAAAAAUCAAAGCAAUAGAAAGAAAAAGUAGAAGAACAAUGUGUAUAUGAGAGAGAAAGUUGUCACAAGUUAUCAUAAGUUGUCAAAAAGUGGUUAUUCAAAUAUUAUUUCUCUAUGUAAAUACAAAAGUACAACCAUUUUUCCGCAACGUGUUGCUUGGUGCUUUCAUAACCAAUUUCUUAGAAAGUAAACUAACAAACAAUGAAUCUAAAUUGUUUAAGUUCAUUUUCUUUUUAUAAUAAUGUUUGUUAGCCACUCAAAUUAAGAUACGUUGUUCAUAUCUUGUAUAUACAAAACGUACACUGAUUAACUUUUAUGUUUGGUGGGAGAAAGUGAUGUACUAUGAUAUAUGUAUCUCCAUCCAUAUAUCGUAAGCAACAUUUUAAACAAAAAAAAUGAUAUGAGUUCUUCGGCAGUAAACUGCCGAAGGAUAUUUUAAUAUUUUACAUGUGUUUAUCAGUCAAAUAAGAUGUGUCAACAGCAAUACUCUUAGUGAAGUGUGGAGUAAAUAUCCAAGUUCAUCCUUAAAUAUGAAGUAACUAUCAACCUAAUCUUUGAAAUAAUAAAAAAAAUUAAAAUAAUAUUAUUGCAAGAUGUUAAUCAAGUUUAUUUCUCAUAGACGACAUAGAAACGUAAAUCAGAACCAUGACCUACUUAAAAUCGUGCUGAUUUUAAUCGAAUAAGGGUGUCAAUUUUGGUUUUUUUUCUAUAUUCAUAUUCGAGGAUAGGGUGGGGAUGUAGAUAUUUGCCUUGUAUCCAUCCUUGAACACGUCACAUUAGUAAAAAAAAAGUAUGAUUUAAUUUUUUUUUCUUAUACACAAUUUUCCGUAAUAUUUGAUUAUAUAUUAUACAUUUUAAUCUCUACUAAAUAGAAAAUAUAGUUUUAAUAUGAUUAAAUUUUUAUUUUUUUAUAUGGCAAGCGAGGAAAACUGACAUUCGUUGUGAUGGGAAUGUAGAUCUAAUUUUCAACCUCAACGAGAACGAGUGCGAAGAAUUUGAAACCUUCCUCAAAGGUAACCUUAAUGACAGGAAAAAGUUCCCAUUAAAAAAAAAGUUAAGGGUUGAUGUUAUGUUAUUGACUUUGUUGAGGAUGCUUUAAUUUGGUCUCAAAACCAAAUUGGUACAUAUUCUACAAAAAGCGGCAUCAAUUGGCUUCUCACCUUCAGAGACCCGGCAGCUGAUCUCAUUCCUCACCCCUCUUGGUCUUGGAUUUGGAAUUUGCAAGUUCUGAAAAAGUACAAGUUUUUAUCUGGCUUGCUUGUCAAAAUGUUGUACCAACUCUUUCCUUGCUCCACCACAGAAACAUAGCUCCCUCUCCCUCCUGCGCUCGAUGCGGAGAAGAAGAUGAAACCUUUCUGCACUGUGUCAGGGAUUGUCAUUUUUCUAGAAGCAUAUGGCAGAACAUUGGGUUUACAGGUAAUGAUUUCUUCACAGCUACAUCAUCUCACGAUUGGAUCAAGAUCGGUAUGUCUGGCUCCCUUCCGAAUAUCUUUUUCGUUGGCCUUUGGUGGGUUUGGAGACAUCGUAACUUAAUGUGCCUUAAUAAUGAAAACAUGUCUCUCAUUCGACUGUGCAACAAUAUCGUUUCAACAGCUGUAGAUAUCAAUUCGGCCUUUAAUAGUGAGGAAAAUGUGAAUCAUUCUGACCGUUUUGUGAAAUGGAACAACAAAAAUCACAUUGACUACAUUCUUAAUGUUGAUGGCAGCUGCUUAGGUACUCCUUCCCGCACUGGUUACGGUGGUAUUCUCCGUAAUAGUGCAGGCUUGUUCAUCUCAGGUUUUUCCGGUUUCAUCCCGAAUUCGACGGACAUUUUGUAGGCCAAGCUAACAGCGAUUCACCAAGGGCUGAAUAUGAUUAUUGAUUUGAAUAUGAAUGACGUCAUGUGCUACUCGGAUUCCCUUCUUGCAGUUAAUCUUAUUAUGAAUGACACUCGAGAUACCACACCUACGUCGUCCUCAUUCAGAAUAUAAAGGAUUUGCUAAUUGUUCGGAACAUCUCUCUCCAUCACACAUUAAGAUAGAGGAACCAAUGCGCGGAUUUCUUUGCUAAGUUGGGUGUUAAUUCAGAUGCUCAUCUUGUCGUCCACCAAUCGCCUCCAGCUGACCUCCUCCCUCUGCUUAGAACUGAUGCCAUAGACACUGUUUUUAUUAGGAGAUUGCUGCUUGUUUUGGUUUUUCUUUUGUUUCUUUUUUUUUUCUUCUGUUUUUCUUGCUCCUGUCAACCCUUUGUAACCAAAAAAAAAAAAAAAAACCUUAAGAAUAGUCUAUCGAGUUGCACGCAUAAUAUACUCGGUUAAAAAAAAAUGAUUUAACUUUAUAUUUUCAAAAUAGUUUUUAAUGAAAAUUUUGUAGAAACUAUUAUAAACUCAUUUAUUAUAAAUGAAAACAGUAAUUUUAACAUUUAAUAACUUUUUCUGACAAAUGACAUUUAAUAACUUAGAUAUUCAUUUUAAAUCUUUAAAACUUAAGGAUAUAAAAAAUGAAAUUAAUUUGUAUGUACCGAUGGUGUAACUUUUGUAACAUGUAUAAAAUCAUGUUUAAGACCUCUAAAAACAGAUAAUUUAAGAAUUAUCCUAAAAUCAUAUCAGGUAGAUAUUUAUAAAGAUAAUUUAAGACCCUCUAAAAAAAAGAUAAUUUAAGAACUAUCCUAAAAAGGUACCCUUGGUUUUAUUAAAUGUAGUUGGAACAAGAUACAUAUAAAUUAAAUCCAUUAAAAAUAAAGUAUUUUUUAAAAGAAGAUACUAUCUCUUGAAAAUGAUUUUUUUGUAAAAAAAAAAAAAAAAAAAUCUUGAAAAUGAUUUUUAUGAGAAGUUACUAAAAAUGUCUUCUCAUUUUAAUUUUGAUUUUUAAAUUUUUAUUAAAAAAUAAUCAUAACAAAUGAUGAAAUAUUUAAUAUGACUUUUUGUGAUAAGCUAUUUAAACAAACUUCUUAAUCAAAGUUUUCUUUGAAAAUUUCUCUUAAAAAAGUUAUAGCAAAAAGAUGGAACACUCUAAAAAUCAUUUAAAAAUUAUUAUAAACCAACUCAUAGUUUUUAUUAUGUUAAUCCUCUGGCUCCUAAGAAAAUGUGAAAAUGAAAAUUAACUCAUAGUUUAACAACAGUAAUAUAUCUCAUGGAUUAAUGUGUUAGAACGACUAAUUUUACAAUAAAUUAGAUACAAAUUAGCAGAAAAGUAUUUUUUUCAACAUAAUGCAAAACUCUCUUGAUUGGUAAAUGUCCAAGUUCAAAUUCUCUGUCAAAACAAUUAACAUACUUUUCAUUUUAUGGUUAAAAAACAAUUAACCGGUAAGCGGUGACCUUAGCGAAUACGGAGAGUUUAAAGUGAAGUGCGGUUAGUUAGUUUAGUUGUUACAGUUAGAAAGAAAUGAAGGCGGUAGGUAUUGUUGUUGGUGGUGUUCCACCGCUUUGUUCUAAUGGAAUUCGUAAACGUCAGUUCUGCGUUUCAGCCUCUUCAUCGUCGGGACCCAAAACGGUUUGCAUAUUUUGCUAUUGUUUUUCGUGUGCGAUUAUGAAAUUUUGUGUGUGUGUGUGUGUUGAUUGAAUUUGAAUUAGGUGGGAGUUGCAGCAGCUCCAAAGAGUGAAUACAAGCCAGGGGUUAUUGAUGAUUUGUUCCUCAAUUUGUUUCGCACCAAAUUGGUUCAGGUAACCAAACAAACACAAACAAGCCCCUUCUAGUUAACUUAUUUAUAGCUUUUAGAAAGAAAUGGCGUGUGAUUAUGAAUACUAUAACAGGAAGUGGGAUGGGAAUCGAAGAAACCUGGAUAUGACGGACUAAUUGAAGUUGCUAACCGUCUAAUGAUGAAAGGCACUACAAACUCCGAUACCAUAGAAGCUACGGUAAUUUUCUCUUUCAAAAUCUCGAUAACAUGUAAUAAUAAUAAUAUUUCACUUCAGAAGUGUUCCUUACAAACCAAAAUCAUGGUUUCAAAAGGUUUAUAUUCAAGUCCGUUAAUGCAAUGCACGUUUAGAUUGCAUUAUUUGAGCUUAUCGACUGACUUAAAUUUUGUGUGACUGUCUGUUUAUGAGAAGUUAUGAAAACAGAUUAUCAAAUUGUUCAUAAGGUGUUUUCAACUUAUUUUCAUAAGUUCUCUAGAGAGCUUAUGAAAACAACUUAUAUUUUAUACAAAGACAAUUUAGCGUUAUUUAUCUUUUGCUAUAGAAAUAGCUUAUGUACAAGCACUUACCAUAAUAAGCACUUGUGAGUAGUGUAUGUGUAUCCAAACAGGGCCUUAGAAAGAGAAAGUAAAUCUUUUGGUUCAAGUUAAUAAAAAAAUCAUUAGAUGAUAUAAAUGGAAACUUAUUUCGUGUAGACUUUUAUUUGAAAAAAUGAUGAGAUAAGAAUUUGAUGUUUUGGGGGAUGGAUGGCGAAGAACUCCACCAUUUUGGUUUUAAGAGUUUGGUAUAGACCAGGUAUGUUUGGGUUGGUGGCUAGAGUGGAAUGGAAUAAGCUAGUUAUCUUUGUGAAAAAAUGGACUUUACUUCAUUCAAUUCUAUUCCGUUUUAUUCCAAUCCACUCCAUUGAUUCAACUCUAUACCACAAUUCCAGACAUACCGUAAUACAAUGUUACUUAUUCUGGUCAUACAUGUACGUGUUUCAACUUUUCACAUCACUGCAAAGUAAGUCAUAACAUUUGUGAUAUAGUAAUUCACCUUAUAUGAUUGUUCUAAAUUUUGAAUGGUCAUUUGUCCAGAGCAAGUUUGUUAGCCCUUAUGUCUUGUUACAGGUACGAAUUUUGAGGUCUUUGUUUCCUCCAUUCCUUUUGGAGCUCUAUAAAAUGCUCAUAGCUCCUAUAGGCGGAGGCAAAGUUGCCGCUAUAAUGGUUGGUGAGUCUGAUAGGAUUAUGUCUCAUUUUACAAUUCUUCAAGAUGAUGUUUCCCUGAACGUAACAAGGUAGUGAGAAACUUUUUUGAGAUAUCCUAAAAUUUUUAUUUAAGUUUUGAAGCAAGGGUUACUGCACUUACUUGUCAAUGGCUCAUGGGACCCUGCAAAGUCAAUUCUGUAGAGCUACCAAAUGGAACCUCAUGGAAUAGUGGGGUGAUCACUUAUACCUUUCCUUGCGUGUUUAUGACUAAAUAAUAAUACCAUCUUGUAUUAUUGAAAGUGGUUUAUGUACUAUAAAAUGUUGUAGGUGCAUGUUGAAAGAUGCAAGUAUCUGGAGGAAAGCAAGUGUGUUGGUAUCUGCCUCAACACCUGUAAGUUUCCAACACAGGUUAGUGAUUCUUCAAACUACUAUCAUUUUUUCUUCAUGUCUUUUUGUGUCUUCACCUGCCAGUUCUCAUGGGAAGGGAUUCUAGUAAUCUAGAGUUUGACCAACGGUAACAAAAUUAUGGCCAGUGAUUGUUUCAGUCAGGAUUUGAACUCGGAUUCAACCAAACGAUUCGUCUUUAACUGAAAUGCAUUAAACAUUUGAGUCCGAUCCCUUGGUUUUUUCAUGUUAGUAUAAGAGUUAAAAAUUUGAAGUUGUUGCAUUUUAUGGAUGGUUCGAUCUGACUCUGUUUUAAAUUUAGACCUUCUUCAAGGAUCAUAUGGGAGUUCCAUUACUCAUGAAGCCCAACUUUGCUGAUUAUAGCUGUCAGGUAAUAUUACGUAAUCUCUUUUGGAGUCCAAAUUUAUAUGAUGAGGUCGCUAAUGUCACUAUUUUCUUGAACUUUUAAAUUUGCAGUUCAAAUUUGGAGUUCUUCCCCCACUUCCUGAAGAUGACACCGUCCUGAAGGAGCCUUGCUUGGAAGCAUGUCCAAAUGCUUCCCUACGAAGAAUGGCUUCCAGAAACAAAGGUGUUACUGCCUGCCCAAAGACAUGAACAUAUUUUUCUUGGGCAUAGAGCAUUGAGAACGUUGAUGUACACUUUCCAUGGCUUUUUGCACAUUCUAGCUCCAACUUAUCUUCGAAGAUGGAACUGAAGGCUCGGGUAAUGGGUCUUCCAUAACGAUAAUUCAUCUUUGACAUAGCUCGUAUUUGAAAUUAUUAAUUAAUACAACCCAUCGCUGUAAAUAUAUUGUUAAUUCAUUGGACUUCAUUGUAUAUUAUGAAUGUAUUCCCCGAAUGAAUUCAUUGAAAACAUUUUUAUCAAAACAAGAAUAUGAAUCUAUGUCAAAGUUGAUGAGGUUUAUCUUAGACACCGAAUGAGUAGCUUAGCGAUUUUUGAGUUAAGAUAUCGAAGGAGUUCUAUGUUGAAUGUCGCGUUGGAUCCCAGCUGCUAACAGUUUACCAUCCAUUAACAAUUUAAGCAUUACUUUUCCGACCUUAUGUCUUUCCUCGCGCGCCCUAUUUUUUUCCAAAAUUACCUUCGGAGCAUUCCGGAUUAUAUAAUCCGGAAUGGUGUUUUCUUUUGUUAAAGGGUGAAAAAAUGAGUAACAGAUUUUUCCGGAUUACACUUAAAAAAAGAGGGCGUGUUACAUGAUGUUUCAGAUUACAUAAUCCGGAAACCCCUUAAACACCCUUUUUCAAGGUAAAACAUUUCGGAUUAUAUAAUCCGAACUGUAUCAGCACAAAUUCUAAACAUGUGUCAUUUUAAGGACAAUAUUAAUUUUCCUAACUCUCAUCCUUCUGUUUUGGGUCAUUGUUACUUGUUCUUAGUUAAAAAUUGGGUUUUCGGGCUACUUGAUCGGAUUGCUCCGAAACUUUCCCAAAAAAUAAAAAAAAAUUCAAGCACCAUAACUCUCCUGGAAGGGACUUCUUAUGGGACUCCGCCCCUCAAAAUUCAAAAUUCCAUCGUUUAGACCCAUUUUUCAUUUUUAUUUUUCAUAUUCUCAGAAAAAUCCGAAAAAAUUUGCAUUAGUUUUAUUUGAUUUUUAGAAUUUUUUGGUGCUAUUUUUAUAUUUGUAUGAUUUUAUUUGACAGGUUUUUAGCAUUUUUUUACUUAGUCUUUUUGUUGUUUUUAAAAGCAAAACUCAAAACUGCUUAAAUAUGAGAGUUUGAUGACUGAUUAUACAUAAGAAUUGUCCGGAUUAUAAAACCCCAAAUAGUAAACAUGAAUCUGGAUUUUAAAAUCGAGAAUGCACAAGGACAAUUUUAAAAAUUUUACAGGGCGCGGCGCGGGAGAAGGUCAUAGAUGGGAAAAGUAAUAAUCUAACGAUUUAACCAUCAACCUUUGUCUAUCCAAAACAAAAACUUGGCAAUGUUGUUGUUAUUAUUUUCUGUCGGAUUCUACUUGUAAAAGCGGUAUUUGUUUCCUUUGCAUGCCCGUUAAUUCAGAUAAGCUGCUUUGAUCUGUGUUGAGUAAUCUCUCCCCUUCUGUCUCGACGCCUGUUUAUCACCGAAGGAGAAAUGCAUGUUAAUCCUGCAGCUGAAAAGAAAAUUCCAAAAGUUGGGAAAACAUUCUAUAGUUGUUUCCAUUGAGCAAGAAUAGAAGGACGAUGAAAUAACAUUGAAAAAUUAAAUUUCUCUUUCCUAAAAGAAUGACUUUUGAGAAUUGAAAAACUAGAGGUCUAAAAUAUAAUACUAUUAAAUUUGCUAAAUAUAUAAUUUGGUGGUGAUAUUCAUUCAUUCUCACACACAAAAAUACAAUACUUUUUUUUUUUUGUUAGAUAGACGAAAUGGCAAAGCCAUUAUAAAUUCACACACACAAGUGGAGGGGCGGGGGUUCGACCCCCCGUCAAGGCGUCUGGCCUAACAAUUUCGGUAUUUUACCAGUUGAGCUAGGACUUAUUGACAAAAAAAAAAGUAAUACUAUUCAUUUAAAAUUAAUAGUUGCUUUUCUUUUUAAUGACAAAGGAAAAAAGAAGAAAAAAUUUACAAACAAGGCUCGACUUCGGGCAUCAAGCCCCAACAUUGUCUCCUGUAACGCCCUUUUUUAAUAUUUAUUUAUUUUAUUGAGUUUAGAUGUCUUUUUAUAAUUUAGUCGAUUUAUUUUGAUGAGUGAUAUUUUGUUAUGUUAUAUGUUGGUAUUUAUUAGUAUAAUAUAUAUGUUAUUUGGUGUAGAAAUAUAAAUGUUAUCUGGUGUAGAAAUAUAUAUUUAUUUGGUGUAGAAAUAUAUUUGUUAUAGAGAUAUUUUUGUUAUUUGUUAUAGAAAUAUUUUAUAUUAUAUUAUAUAUAUAUAUAUAUAUAUAUAUAUAUAUAUAUAUUAGAAUAGAAAAUAAGUAGGUUAAUGAUUUAUAUAAAAGGGAGAGUUAGAAUUAGAAAAUAACAAUACGUGAAAACAGUUUUUGGGAGAAAAGGGAGAAACCAAGAUAAGAGAAGAGUCGAGAAGAGAAAGCGGUAGAAACUUGUGAUCAUCUAACCUAAGGUAAGGGUGAAACUAACCUUCUUUAAUCAUAAGUAUGUAAUCCUGAAAAAGGGUUUAAUCUUGUAGUUGUUAAUAGGUUUUGAUGUUGUAGAAUUAGGGUUUGAAACUAAAAGUGAUCGUAGAAAGAGUAGAUAAACUGAUGAAUUAGGUUGAUAAUUGGUGAAUUUCUAAAAUAAUGUUUUGGGUCAAGUUUUAUAUGGUUUGAGUGCCUUAUCAUGUAUAGAAAUGGUUGGACAAGUUUUGGAAUCAAAUUUGGGCAUUGGGAAGUCAAAAUUGGGAUUUUGGGGUGAAAAAUGGGUUUUUCCCGAGAGCUGCACAUUGACAGCAUCUUCUGUUUCAUGUUCUUGCGUCUUUUUCACACGUUUUUGUUUUGAAUUGGCCUUUAGUGUAAACAUGAAAGUUGUAGAUAAUUUUGUUAGCUUUCGAAUGGCUUUGGUUUGAUUUGAAAAUGAUUUUUGAUUUUUGAGGUAUGAUGAAAAUACUCCAAAGAGGUCUUAGUGAAAUUUUAUGAAAAUUCAGCAUAACCGUUUCUAAGUCAAUCCAAAACUUAGAGAAUAAUUACAAAACUCAAAACUAGAAGUACUAGGAGUUUAAUUAAGGGGGUUUAAGAGUAUUUAACCUAUGUUGUGAUGGAUCUAAUUGGUUUGACGUGGAUAUCUUUGUUGGAUAAGUUGAAAUACAUAUAUUAUAUGAAUGUUGUUGUUGAAUAAUUUGAAAUACAUAUAUUAUAUGAAUGUUGUUGUUGAAUAAUUUGAGGUACAUAUAUUAUGUGAAUAUUGUAUGAUAUAGAAAUAAUGUUGUUAUACCAUCCAAGUGGUUAUUAUUAAUGUUGCUAUGAUUCAAGUUGUUGUAUGUUGCUGUUUCUGCUGUUAUUGAUUAUUAAAUCAUUAAGUUGCAUAUGUUGGUCAAAGUUGUAAGUUGUUAUUCCAAGAUAUUGGAGUCAUAUGAGUUGUUGAAGUUGUCUAAGUUGUAAGUUGUUGAGUCCAUGCAUACUCAUUUGAAGUUGAGGGUUUGAUGUUCUGUGAGCUUUUGCUCUUACGUUGAGGACUUGAUGCUCUGUGAGCUUUUGCUCUUAUGUUGAGGGCUUGAUGCCUUGUGAGUGUAUUUAUGCUCUUUAUGUUGAGGGCUUGACGCCCUGGUUGGUACCACAUGCAUGAUUAAGAAGUUGAAGUUGCAUAUGUUGAGUUUAAGUUGUAGAAGUCGCAUUGUCGUUGUCGUUAAGUUGUCAUUUAUCAAUGAGUUGUUAAUAAAGAACUAUGUGAAGUAUUAAUAUUUAUUAAUCGUUGUUGUUUAUGUUGUUAUAUGAUGAUGUGAAGUAUAUGAUGUUAUAAGAUGAUGUUAUGAUGUGAAGUAUAUGAUGUUAUAAAAUGAUGUUUAUGAUGUGAUGAUUAUGUUGUUAUAUGAUGAUGUUUAUGAUUUGAUUAUUAUGUGCUAUAUGAUGUUGUAUAUAAUGUGAUGAAUAUGAAGUUAAUGAUGAUUUUUUUUGAACAAGAAGUUAAUGAUGAUUAGAAGUUGAUUGAGUUAUUAAUGAAGUCUUAUAUGAAGAGUUAAUGUUAUUAAUUGAUGAAGUUUAAGUUGUUAAAUGCAUUUGAUGAAUUAUAUGCUUAUUAUUAUUGAAUGUGAAAUCUCACCCCAUUCUGCUUGGAAAUGUUGCCCUCACGAUUGGGUAACUUGCAGGUAACCAAAAAUAGUUGCGGUCGUGAGUGGAUUCUCUCACGUGUGUCUUAGGUGCUCUGAUACUUAACGAGAUGAUAAUUUUGUUGUUGCUUUCUGUUCCUUACGUAUAAUUUUAUGAAGUUUUAUGAACAUGUUGUUGGAAUAAUUUUAUGAGAUUUUACCUUGAGGCCUUUGUGUCAAGGUUGUUUUAAACGUUGAAAUAAUUUCUGCUGCAAUAAAAUUUAAUUUGAUGAUUGAGAUAAUUAGUAAUUUUACUAUAUUCAGAUUUGAAAGAAGUGUAGCAUCCUGUUUGAGUUGUUUUACUCUGAUUUAUGCAAAAAAAUUCAAGUUGCGAAAACGGGGUGUUACCAACUCCGACUGGAAAGUCUGUCAAAAGGUCACACCUGGCCUUGAAGAGCGCUUGAGUUUGGCCAAGAAAUCCACGCAACAAUUGUCCUCUCUAAACAUAUGUUGAAAAGAAAUGUUAGGAAUAAGCUCCUUUAAAUAAAAUAAAAAGUUUUGCUAACGAAUGCACUAAGGACCUUGAUUAAAGAAUCUCUUAUUAGAAACUUUGUCUUGGAAAUCCAAGGCUUUACUUUUGUCUCAGCAAUAAUUAUACCACUUUUCAAUGUAAACCUGCCUAUUACAGAACUUUGAAUGGGCACUCGUUAACAUUCUCCAUUAAAAAUUAUCACUAGCAAGAACCGUAUAUGCGAGUGAUUUGGAUGUUGAAGAAGAUUGAAGACUUUUAAAGAAUAUGUCUUGCAAAUAACCUGCUAAAUAAAGUUGUUAUCAACAUUAAAUCAUGAUAAACCACAAAUGACUUAGUAAAAAGCGCAUCCCACAACUCCUCGUUAGAAAAGAAGCCAACCAUCCAAUCUCCCUUGUUGUCACGAAGAAAACCACCAAAACUAAUGUUACGGGAAGUAUCAUAACUUCCACUAAUAUUCAACUUAACACAUUUUUCACAACUUUCAUCAAUAUUCAACUUAACACAUUUAUCUUGAGAGGAGUCCAUUUUACGAUAUGACGAUUAAUUUGGUGCUAGAAGAAGUGAAAUAUCAAAAAAAGUUAGAUCGUUAUAUUAGUCUAUAAAAUGAAGGACAUUUUAGGUUUUCCACCAAGAAGUCUUAUUCAAAUGUGACCACAAUGGUCAAAAUUUUCAAACAUGAUGACACUUUCACACUCUAGCAAUGACACAAAACUAAACCACUAAAUCCUUUCCAAUCCUUUCCCAAAGCAAAACCCAGAAAAAGAAAGAAUAAACACACAAGACACACAGGGAUAGUUGUAAACAGUACCAAACUCUCCCACUGAUUCAACUUCCUCAUGCAAGCACACACUUCACUUCCCCAAUUCAAAAUCCCCCCUUUUCCUUUUUGAAUCCAAUCCAAAUUCCCUUAGAUCCAUCUCAUCCCAAAAAUCCCCCCUUUUUCUUCAAUGGGUAAUUAUACUUUUCAUUACAACAAUAACCAAUCUUAAUUUAAUGCCUCAUCAUACUAUAUGAUAUAUAUUUACGCUGAUUCAGUAUUUUUCACAAUUGAUGCAGGUGGGUUUGAAAUGGGUCAAUGCAUAUUGCUGAAAAGAGUGUUUGUGUUCUUAUUUAGUACAGUGUUUAUAGUUGAAUGUGGUGCAUAUGAUACAACACUAGAAGCUUCUCAUUUAUCUAUUUCCCCUAUGCAUGCAAUUCCUUCUGUUAUGGCUCAUCCACCAUUGUCCCCUUAUCUUUCCAGUAAGCCAUUACACUCUUUUGCAAUAAAAAGAAAAUUAUGGGUCUGUUUACUUUCUAUAAAUAUUUUCAAUUUUCAUUCUCAAAAAUACUAAUUUGUUUUAGGGUUAAAUACGGAUCUGCCGUGUCAGCUUCCGUUAAUGGGAGUUAAUUAGUUGGGAUUAAUUUUGAAGGCGGAAAAGUUUAUAGGGAUCAUCAUUCAAUGAAAUUUUUUAGAGGGACUAAAAAUGAAAAUUGAUGUAUUUAGAAGGAUCAAAAAGAUAUUUAACCGUUUAUUUUAAAUUGCUAACAAUAAGAUGAUGGACUCCGUUGUGAGUUGUGACAUAGAAAAGAUGGAAGCCUUUGUAGGAAGACUGCAUUUUUGGAAAUAAUGGAAACUUUUGAAAAUGGUUAGCAUUUUCUUUUACAAUUUUUUAUUUGGUAAAAGAAAAUGCUGGGAAAAAUACUGAAUCUUGUUUUUUGUAAUCUUUUUUUAAGUUUAAGUGAAAAUGAAAAAUCAAAGAAUGCUAGUAAAGGGAUUUUUUUUUUCCCGAUUUCUAAUGCUGCUUUCCAUUAAUUAGAAUAUGUUGUUGUAAAUUUGUUUUGCUAUAUGACUUAGUAUGAUUUUUUUAUUCGACCAGAUUGUUGUCAAAAAGACAUGGUGUUGAAACGAGGUAGUGAAGGCUGCCAUUGUGUUUUUCCUAUAAAGUUAGACCUGCUACUUUUGAAUGUCUCGGAAAACCCCGACUGGAAUCUUUUUCUUGAUGAAUUGGCCGCACAAUUGGAGAUGCGUGCUACAGAAAUUGAGCUGAUAAACUUUUAUGUGCACAGCUUAUCGACUUGGAAUAUAUCAAUGUAUAUCACUCCGCGAAAAGAGAUCAGUUUCUCUGCCAAGGAAGCAUCUAAAAUAAACUCCUCCCUUUUAUUUCAUAAGGUUCGACUAGACAGUAGAUUCGUGGGUGAUUACAGGGUUCUCAAUUUGACCUGGUUUAAACCUCCAACUCCUUCUAAAGGUAAAUUGGUCUGAAUUUCUGAAAUAUGUCACCACAGAUUGUGAUCUUUUGGUGUUCAUAAUAUUUGAAAAGUACUUGCAAUGAGAUCAUCAUUGUACAAAAAAUAUAUAGUCAAUUUUUUUCUCACUUGGUAUUGAAACCUUUGUUAUGUAUGUAAUCUUGCUGUUUUAAAAACUUAGACUGUAUUAUUUUCAUGUAUAUGGAUUACUUGUCCAUUUGUUUUGUUUCAUUGUUACUUCACUUCUAUGCGGUUAGGAAAGAAAGAAAAAUAUAUUUACUCACCAUGGCUUCUUGACUUAUUCUGAUUUUUCCUGCUAGCCCAAAUCUUGUAAUUCUGAUGCUCAUGAAAAUCUUAUGCUGCAUUGUUCUUUAUCAAACUUAAAUCUGGAUUUUUGACUGUACAUAGUUAAAUAUUUAUGUCAUAGCAAUGCUUAGAAGAUUUUAGCCAUCAUAGAUUUGCACCUUGUAUACGUUCACCGUUAAAAGAUGUUACUGCCUCUCAGUCUUCCUUGUUCCCGAAUUUUAUAUAACUCAUUUAGUUAGUCAUGUUUAAUUUUAUAGCAACAUUACUGAAUACUGUUAGGUUUUUUGCUCAUUCAAAGCUUUAGACCAUUUAAGCAACUGCAUCUAUUUUGCAUAGUACCGGAGACUUUUCUGUGACUACCGAUAGAAGUUGAAUAGCAAUCAUGUGCCUCCUUCUGGGGGUGGAUCCCUGGAUAGUGGGUCUAAGAAUAAAUACCUAUGCAUUUAUGUAUUAUAAUGUAUCUUUGCAUUCUACUGCAGCUCCUACUUUUGCUGCAUCAACUGUGAAAACUCCUGAGAGACGAGUACCUACAGCUACAUCAUCGAGUACUUCAGACAGGGGAAGGCAUUCAAAUUUGCUUGUUAUCCUUGGAAUUGUUACUGGGAUACUCAUCAUGUCCAUUAUCUGUGUACUUAUACUUUGUUUAUGCACGCUGAGGCCAAAAACAAAAAGACCUACAGAAACUGGCAAGUUUUCUAGUUGUGAUUGUUAUUGUAUUUAUUUUUCAUUUUUGCAUUUCUAUAACAGCAUUCUAUUGGUGAAAACUGCUAUAAGUUAUACACUUGGUCACCUUUCUUGAUUUGGAUAUCAUAAAGGCAGUGAGUGUAACAGUUAAAUCGAGGCAAAUUGGGUUCCUUUCAAAGAAAAACUACUUCAUGACACAAGCAGUUUAUGGAUAGAAAGUUUUCUGGACUGAAGCAAAUUCAUUGCUUUUAUUUAGCACAAGUAUUUUCAAAGAAGUUUGUAGACUAGAGAAAUUUUUAUUAGAUUUGAAUUUGAACCUGUAUGAAUUUUUUGUGAUUGAUCAAGAAACUUGAUUAAGUGUACAAUUUUAUCUAUUGAAUUGGGACUAGAAAAUUGAUGCACACUUACAAACAAUAUUAUUUCUAUUAUCGUCUGUAAAAUGUGUGGUAUAUACUUUGAUGCCUGCUACUGACACUUUGCUUUAUUUCCUGCAGAAAAGCCAAGGAUAGAACAUGUAGUUUCAUCUGUUGCAUCACAUCGCCACCCAACCAGUACACGAUUUAUUUCUUAUGAAGAUCUUAGAGAAGCAACAAAUAAUUUUGAACCAGCAAGUGUACUUGGAGAAGGAGGUUUUGGUAGAGUUUUUAAAGGUGUUUUGAAUGAUGGAACUGCUGUUGCGAUUAAGAGGCUUACUAAUGGAGGGCAGCAGGGUGACAAAGAGCUUUUGGUUGAGGUUGAGAUGCUUAGCCGGCUGCAUCACCGUAACCUUGUAAAACUAGUUGGAUACUAUAGCAAUCGUGACUCAUCACAAAACCUACUUUGCUAUGAGCUUGUCCCAAAUGGAAGUUUGGAGGCCUGGCUUCACGGUAUUGUAAUUUCUCGAAUAAUGGGUUCAGUUUUUUAAUCUUGAAUGACCUGUUACAUUGAUAGUUAUUUUCAGAAAUAAUUUCAUUAUGCUUAAUUGAAAUUUUCCCUGAUUUCCCUAGGUCCCUUGGGAAUAAAUUGCUCUCUGGAUUGGGACACCAGGAUGAAGAUUGCACUUGAUGCUGCAAGAGGACUUGCUUACCUGCAUGAAGAUUCACAGCCAUGUGUCAUACACAGAGAUUUCAAGGCAUCUAAUAUAUUGCUUGAGAACAACUUUCAUGCUAAAGUUGCUGAUUUUGGUCUAGCUAAACUAGCACCUGAAGGCAGAGUUAAUUAUCUGUCUACUCGAGUUAUGGGCACAUUUGGGUUAGUUUCAUUCUUUUCUUUCUUUCACUUUUAUUUCCGUUUGAUCUAUAGUGAAGAUUUAAGAUGAAAUGAAACUAUUAUGUAGGUAUGUAGCACCUGAGUAUGCUAUGACUGGACACCUACUCGUUAAAAGCGAUGUUUAUAGCUAUGGGGUUGUCUUGUUAGAAUUGUUGACCGGAAGGAAACCUGUGGAAAUGUCACAGCCAACUGGACAAGAGAAUCUUGUAACUUGGGUUAGAUUCAUAACUCAACAUUUCCUCAUUAUUCUCAUUCAGUUCAAACUCGAAAGCAUUUCCACCUGGUUUCUGUUGGAAAUGAUUGGAAUAUGAAACUAAAUUCGUCCUUUGUAGUUUACACUUGAUAGGUCAUAGAAAAUAAUUUACCAAACUAUACUUUCAGGCAAGGCCAAUUCUUAGAGUUAAGGAGCAGUUAGAAGAACUUGCUGAUCCAAGGCUUGGGGGAAGGUAUCCAAAGGAAGAUUUUUUCCGUGUUUGCACUAUUGCUGCAGCCUGUGUUGCACCUGAAGCAAAUCAACGACCUACAAUGGGGGAAGUGGUACAGUCACUUAAAAUGGUUCAGCGCAUCACAGAAAAUUAUGAUCCUGCAUUACCGUCAUCCAACACAAGGCCCAACCUGAGACAGUCCUCUGCCACUUAUGACUCUGAUGGGGCAUCUUCAAUGUUUUCUUCUGGUCCUUAUUCUGGUCUAAGUGCCUUUGACUAUGAUAACAUUUCUAGGACAGCUGUUUUCUCUGAAGAUCUUCAUGAAGGACGAUGAAUGUAGUUUGAAAUGCAAGCUAACCAUGAACCGGCAAACAAUCCAAAUGUUUUUACAUCUUAAUUUAGAGAUCUGUUAUUUAUCAUGGCUGAAGGUGGAUGGAACCAUACCCGAUGGGCAAUGAAGGUUUAUAUGUGUUGUUGCUGGUUCGCUAGGAAGGGGAUUCUUCUGUUGUCGUUUUCGCCAUCCUCCACGGUAAACCACAGUCCUGUUCUCCCUUAAGUGACAGUAGUUCCAAGUGGAUAAAAUUUUGUACAUAUGUGCAUUGUAGUAUGUUACUUUGUUUUUCAGAUCUAUAUACUAAUAAGAAAGUAAAUGUCCAUUGAAUUUACCAUUUUGCCCCUAUAAGGGGCAAUUUGGUAAUCUACUUAUUGGUUAAGUUUUUUUUUUUAAAAUGGCCUAUGAAUUUCCCUUUUUGCCCCUAACCAAUUUUUUUUAAUUAUUUUCUAAUUUUUAUAUUUUUAAUAACUUUUAAUUAUUUUCCAAUUUUUAUAUUUUUAACUUUUUCAAUUUUUUAUCCCAAAUUCAGUUGUUUCUACAUUGCCGUUGUGGGAGAUUAAGGUAUCGUUUGACCCGACAUUUUUCAAACUUCUCUACAGUUUUAAAGAGAAGUUAGGUCAAACACAAUAUCAAUUAAGUACUUACUAAAAAAAAUACUUUUUUUGAACGCAUAAAAUUGAAUGGAAUGAGCUUUGACCAGAAGGUGUUGAAUGUUACUUUAAAAAACUACUUCUCGACAAUUUAUUUCACAAACAUCUCUUUUCAACUUACGCCGAGAACCUUUUCUUUAUUUUUUAAUAUUAUAUAUUUUUUUUAACAAUGGCCUAUGAAUUUUCUAACCAAUUUUUUUUAAUUAUUUUAUAAUUUUUAUAUUUUUAAUAACUUUUAAUUAUUUUCCAAUUUUUAUAUUUUUAACUCUUUCAAUUUUUUCUCCCAAAUUCAGUUGUUUCUACAUUUCCGUUGUGGAAGAUUAAGGUAUCGUUUGACCCGACAUUUUUCAAACUUCUCUACAUUUUUAAGAAGUUAGGUCAAACACAAUAUCAAUUAAGUACUUACUAAAAAAAGUACUUUUAAAACAAAUAGGUUAAAUCUAGGGUUAAUAUUGCAUCACCGGUUAACAUUUAGAAAUAAGAGAUGACAUUUUGCAUAAAUUAAAUAUAGGGUUAAUAUAGUAAAGUCACACGAAAAAAUUAGGUUAAAUCUAGGGUUAAUAUUGCGUCACGGGUUAACUUUUAUAAAUAAGAGAUGACAUUUUGCAUAAAUUAAAUCUAGGGUUAAUAUAAUUUGUUUAGUAAAAUUAAGGAGAAAAAUUAGAAGCGAUUUGUUCAUUUUGAUUUCCCUAACAAUUAACGUUAACAUUUUGAUUAAAUUAAAUAGUGUUAAUACAAUAAAAUUAAGUAAAGAAGUUAGGUUAAUUCUAGGGCAAAAUUUUGCGUCUGGGUUAACUUUAAGAAAUAAAAUAAAAUAGGUUAAGUAUAACAAGACGGGUUAACAUUUAUAAGUAAGAGAUUAAGUUAAGUAUAGUUAGACGGGUUAACGGUUAUUCCUUUCCAAAAAAAACAUCAUAUAAUUGGGAACAUAUAUACUUUUAUUUUACUUUAGAUAAACAUUAAAUGCAAAAGUGUGGAGGGAAAAAUUAGGUUAAAAUUAGAGAUGACAUUUUGCAUAAAUUAAACCUAGGGUUAAUAUAGUAAAGUCGCACGAAAAAAUAGGUUAAAUCUAGGGUUAAUAUUGCAUCACGGAUUAACAUUUAGAAAUAAGAGAUGACAUUUUACAUAAAUUAAAUAUAGGGUUAAUAUAGUAAAGUCACACAAAAAAAUUAGGUUAAAUCUAGGGUUAAUAUUGCGUCACGGGUUAACAUUUAAAAUUAAGAUAUGACAUUUUGCAUAAAUUAAAUCUAGGGUUAAUAUAGUAAAGUCACACGAAAAAAUUAGUUUAAAUCUAGGGUUAAUAUUGCAUCACGGGUUAACGUUUAUAAAUAAGAGAUGACAUUUUGCAUAAAUUAAAUCUAGGAUUAAUAUAAUUUGUUUAGUAAAAUUAAGGAGAAAAAUUAGAAGCGAUUUGUUUAUUUUGAUUUCCCUAACAAUUAACGUUAACAUUUUGAUUAAAUUAAAUAGGGUUAAUACAGUAAAAUUAAGCAAAGAAGUUAGGUUAAAUCUUGGGCAAAAUUUUGCGUUCGAGUUAAUUUUAAGGAAUAAGAUAUUAUAAUAGUUGUUAUGUUAUUUUUCAUGUAGUUUUUAGGCUCUAUGUUGCAAAAUUUUGGUUUACGCAGCUUUGAUUUUCACAUUUAUAAAUGACAACAAUUUUCUGUAAUUUAUAAGAUUUUUUCCUUCGAAACUAAAUUUUAAAAAAAUACGUUAUUCAACCCGUGCGAAGCACGGGUUUGUAACUAGUUGACUUUAGAAAAAAUAAUCUUAAUUAAAAAGAAAAAUCCGUAUUGUUUCAAUAUCAUUUUUGGCUUCCUCAAUUUAUCCAUAUUAUCAUCAUAACCAGAUAUAUGCCCUUUAGGUGGUAUAUUAUUCAGGCUCAGUAGGAAAUAUGUGGUCUAUAUUAAGGCCUAAAAUUAUCAUACUUUAAAGAAUUGUAAAAUUUAUUAUUGAUUUAAAUUAUUAAAAAUAAUUUCUAUGAAUACAAUAAUGAUUUUUUUGAAGAAUAUGAAUACAAUAAUGACGUUGAUUGGUUUCAAAUUUUUAUCUGAAUAUAUAAUAUUUUAUUCUUUAUUUUUGUAUUAUUGAUCGCUUAUAUAUUAUAUAUUCCAAUUUUUUGUUCUAUAUAUGCUGAUAAAUUAUCAUUCCCCUUAUCUCCUAAUUUUGUAUUACUAAAUUACACAGUCUAUCAUGCAAUGAGAGGAAUGUUAGUUAGAAUUAUAAAACUUGAAUCGUAAAUUUAGAAAAAUUAAAUAAAGGUGAAUUAGUUUGUUGUAUUAAAUUUCAAUUUUAGAUCAUUUAGUUUACCAAGCCAACCUGUCUCUCUAUUUUAUAAUAUUUUUCAAACUUUGUGUUUUUACCUCUCCAAAUGAAAUAAAUGAAGGUAAUUAUAAAUGGAGUGGAUACUAACUAUGUGUAAGGUUCUAUGUAUUUGUACGGACGACAAUUAAUGUCAAGAGUACCGGCCUUUUUUUUUUUGUUUUGACAGAAAGAAUACCAACCUUUUAGGUUGCUAUUAUUAUGCAGAAUCUAAUGAGAGCCUAUAAUCAAAAACUGCAAAGGUGCCAAAAUUUGUGUGGAAAUUCUCUUUCCACCUACAACAAUAAAACCCAACCCUUACAACCUGAGUUUCACCGUCUCUCUUUGUCUCUGCUCUUUGAAUAUUUUUUGAAGAGAAGAGACAAUGGAUUCUAGGUUCAAUAAAAGCCUCCUUGUCAUCCUAUCCUUCUCUUCUCUUCUUCUAUCUUCCAAUGCCGUCCCAUCAACUCACAUUUCCACAAGUGUCCCAGCCCCAGCCCCUUCAAUCCACUAUGUUGAUUACAUUCUCCCGAAAAGAAAACCGAACGCUGGUAUUGGUCUGUUUGAGAAUUCUGUCCCGCUUAAAAAACAGAACUCUGCUUCCGUUUCUCCAGAUGAUUCCGAUUUUCAGUUUGAAGAUCCAAACUUGCUAGGAUCCAUUGCAGCAGACGUUGCCAAGAAUGCUGAUCCUGAGAUCGUAAAAUUAUGUGUCAACGGAGAAAAUCCAGCUCUUUGUGCUGCAACCAUUUCAUCACUCUUGAAAGGUCCUUUUGACCCCCUCAAGGCACUUGAGAUUGAGGUUGAUUUCACCCUCAAACAAGCCAAGAGUGUAGCUGCUAUCAUUACAGCGUUGCUUAAUGACCCUAACACCGACAAAAAAGCCAUGAAAGCUCUUCAGAUAUGCCAAAUACAAUACAAUUCAAUGCUGGAUGCAAUCAAUGAGACAGUUGAGUUACUUGGACAACACAAUGUCGUGGACUCUUUUUACAAGUUCAGUUCUGUGAUAUCAUACAAAACUACAUGUGAGGAUGCUUUUGUGAAAUCUCCUGGAGUUGAAAUACCAUUUUCUCAGGAUUCACGUACUCUAUUUGAUUUGGGUGGUAAUUGUUUGGGCAUCAUGAACACUUUAGUUAAUAACCACAAGUUUUAAAUUAAUUGGUUCAUGAAAUGGGAGAUCAUGACAUGGGAGGGAGAAGAAGGUGAUGACUGGUGAGGUUGUAUGAUUGUUAACACUAUGUUUUGUACCAUUUUCAUAUUGUUAUAUAUGCAAUGAUACUAUUAUCAUAAUAUAUAUUGAUGACUAAUAUACAUGCUUAUACUAUGAUUGCAAGUUCAUUAGAGACAAGCUUAACGUGUAAUUGGCACGUCUGUCCUAAGAAUAGAUCAAUAUAAUCAUUUUACCAAUUGCGUGCGUUUGAAGGAAUCUUGUUUCUCCUAACCACUUCAAUGCAAUUGCUAGGCUUAGGCUAUAUAUAAAUAUCCUAAUUCUUUACAAGCAAACAAUAAGGAGGCUUACUACCUUUCAAAAAAAAUAAUAAUAAGGAGGCUUGGUAGCAAAAAAAAUGAUAUUUUUUGGUGAUAAAAAAAAAUGAAAUAACAAUAUGGAUAUAUAUGAUCUUUCGUCAUAUAAAUAUAUAUUUUAGAGAGAGAUUCUUCAUGUUCUCUCUAAAUUCUAUUUUUCCUUCCCUCAUCUAAGAAGAUGGUUUUAUGUCAUUUUUUAAUUUAGAAUCAAUCAAUCAUAUGCAUUUUUUGGUCAUAAAAAUCCGUAUAGUUUAUCAUUUUCAGCUUCCUCAUUUUAUCCAUAUCUUGAUAUAUAUGCCCUUGGGACUGAAAUUGGCCUAAAAGUCAUUUUGGCUCCUCUUUAGGUGGUCUAUAAUUCAGGCUCAAUAGGAAAUAUGUACAUUUAGGCCCAAAAAUAUCAUACUUUAAAGAAUUAUAAAAUUUAUUUCUUAUUGAUUUAAAUUAUUAAAAAUAAUUUCUAUGAAUACAAUAAUGGUGAUGACUGGUUUCUAAUUUUUUCUUAUUGGUCGCUAUAUCUUCCAAUAUUCCGUUCUAUAUAUAUUGAUAAAUUAUUAGUCUCCUUAUCUCCUAAUUUUGUAUUCCUAAAUUACGCAGGCAAAUCAUGCAAUGAGAGUGGAAUGUUAGAAUUAUUUGAUUUUAAAACUUCAAUUAUAAUCCAAAAAAUUCAGGGAAAAAGUAAAUAAAAGUGAAUUAGUUUCAUUAUAUUAAAUUUCAAUUAUAGUUCAAUAGUUUACCAAGUCAACCUGUCUCUUUCUAUAUAUGCAUGUAACCUUGUGUAAGGUUCUAAGUAUGUGUACGGACGACAAUUACUGAUAAGAAUACCAACCUUUUAGGUUACUAUUAUUAUGCAAAAUAUAAUGAGAGCCUAUGAUUAAUAACUGAAAAAAGUGUCAAAAUUUGUGUGGAAAUUCUGUUUCCACCUACAAAAAUUAAACUCGACCCUUAUAAACAAGAGUCAUAUGUUACAACCUGAGUUUUACGGUCUCCAUUUGUCUCUCCUCUUUGAAUAUUUUUCGAAGAGAAGAGAUGAUGGAUUUCAAUAAAAGCCUCCUUAUCAUCCUAUCCUUCUCUUCUCUUCUUAUAUUUUCCAAUGCCGUCCCAUCAACUCGCAUUGAUGAUUCCAUUUCCACAACUGUCCCAACCCCAACCCCUUCAAGCGAAGUUAUUGAUUACAUUGUCCCAGAGCAAACAGACUUUGGUCUCAAUAUGCCAGAGAAUUCCGCUUCUCCAGAUGAUUUCGUUUUUCGAUUAGAGGAUCCAAACUUGCUAGGAACUGUUUCAGAAGACAUUGCCAAGAAUGCCGAUCCUGAGAUCGUAAAAUUAUGUGUCGACGGAGAAAGUCCAUCUCUUUGUGCUGCAACUAUUUCAUCACUCUUGAAAGGUCCUUUUGACCCCCUCAAGGCACUUGAGAUUGAGGUUGAUCUCACCCUCCAACAAGCCAAGAGUGUAGCUGCUAUCAUUACAGAGUUGCUUAAAGACCCUAGUACCGACAAAAAAGCAGUCAAGGCUCUCGAGAUAUGCCAAACACAAUACAAAUCAAUGCUGGAUGCAAUCAAUGAGACAGUUGAGUUACUUGGACAACACAAUGUCGUGGACUCUUUUUACAAGUUCAGUUCUGUGAUAUCAUACAAAACUACAUGUGAGGAUGCUUUUGUGAAAUCUCCUGGAGUUGAAAUGCCAUUUUCUCGGGAUUCAAGUACUCUAUUUGAUUUGGGUGGUAAUUGUUUGGGCAUCAUGAACACUUUAGUUAAUAACCACAAGAUUUAAAUAAAUUAGUUCAUGAAAUGGGAGAGCAUGGCAUGGGAGGGAGAAGGAGGUGGUGACUGGUGAGGCUAUAUCUCAUUAGUAACACUAUGUUAUGUACCCUUUUCAUAUUGUUAUGCAAUACGAUGAUAUUAUCAUAAUAUGUAUAUUGAUGACUAAUAUACAUCGGAAAUGAUAAAGUUCCCGAAAAAAUUAAUAUAGAUGCCUAUACUAUGAUUGCAAGUUCAAGGAUCUUAAUUAGGGUAGAGUAUGUAUGUUUUGCAAAAAUGGAUAACGCAUUCCCAUUAAAAUUUGGAAACAAUUUAGAUAAAUAACAUAAUUUAAAUAUGUGGUUAAUUAUGUUGAGUAAAAAGUUAAUGAAUAUUAUAUGAAUAACUAGUGUUUGAACUGGCAUUUUGUGUCCAUUUGUUUGUUUUUUUAUUAUUGCAUUAAUACAUGAACAAAUUAUAUUUAUCUUUUUCAAUACACAUAUAAUAUAAUAAAUAUAAUAUAGAUUUUUAUCUUUUUGAAUGACACAAAAAUCUAACAUUUUUAUAUGUAAAUUUGUUUAAAGGUAUAGUUGAAAGUGAAAAAGUGAACACAAAACUAUGUAUUUUUUCAAUAUAUAGUAUCAAUGACAAUGAUCAUUGAAAAAUUAUACAUAAGUGAAAAAGUUAAAUUUUGAACUCGAAUCAUGACAUCCGUCAAACAAUUUCGACAAUUAUGAUAGUUGAGCUAGUGCUUAUGGACCAACUCAUUAAAUAAUUACUCGAUACAAUUAACCACAAUAUUUAAUUUGAUUAUAAGGUAGUAGUCAUUUUGAUCCUUAAACGUGUAACGAGUAGUCACAAUAGUCCCUCAUUGUAUUGAAAUUACAAAAUAGUUCAUGAUUGUGCGCUUUAUUAGUCAAAAUAAUUCUUAAUGUCAAAAUAGUCUCUCAAUGCUGACAUUAACUUAUGAGGAUUGAUAUGACAGUAAGUAUAUUGAGAGAUUAAUAUGACAAUAUUAAUGAAACAUUUCAAUGCCAAAGACUAUUUUGAUUAACGAAAUGUACAAUAAGACUAUUUUGAAAUUUUGAUACACUUGAGUAAUUGUUAUGGCUAUUCGUUACACAUUCAGAUACCAAAUUCAUUAUUACCCUUUGAUUAUUAAUGAAUAUUAAUAUGAAAAUGCUAACAAGUUCCCUUAGACCAUCUCCGUAUAUUGAGAGUGUAUUAACUAUUUAAGACCCGGUGCCUAUUAGGUACCUCCAAUGGGGGGAAUCUUUUUCAGGGUCUUAUAAGACCCGGAAUCUUAUUUAAGACUCAUACUUUUAAGCGGGACUCGUACUCUUUUAAUAUUAAAAAAUUAAAAUAUAAUGAUAUAAAGUUAUUAAUAGUUUGAGUGAUCGAGUGCUUAUUAGGUACUACUAUUAAAAAAUUAUAAAUGAGUGAUAUGUACACGUGAGACCCAUUUAAGAACCCAAAAAUGAGUGUCUCCAUUGUGGGUGCUCUUAGGACAUUGUUUAAGCAUCUAAAAAUAAUACUUUUACAUUGAAAAUUGUGUAAUUAUGACUUUUAUAUAUGUUUGACUUGAAUUUUCAAGACAAACUUCCCUUUUUGUUGGUUCCUUAAACAAUGUCGUUAAAGGCACUCGUUAGCACGACCAAUAUUAAUAUAAUAGGUAAACAAAUUCUAACAAGUGCACUAAUAACACUUUUAAAAGUUUAAAUAAUAAGAUUUAUGAAAAAAAUAAUCUUAAUUAAAAUGUUUAAUUUUUUAAAGGCUUAAAUGUUCUUUUGGUCCCUUGACUAUUUAAUUGGAAUCGCUUUGGUCCCUUAACUAAAAAAAAGAUUGUUUAAAGAUUUUAUGUUUUUUUUAGUCUCGUUUUGGUCCCUUCUGUUAGGUUUCCGUUAGUUUUAAUAAAAAAACGUUAAGUGUGGACACGUGUCACCUUGUCAUUGGUUAACUCUGGACACGUGUCACUUUGUCAUUGGCUUUGAGAUUAUUAUUUAAAAAUAAAAAAUAAAAAAGUCAGAGCCAAUUAUAAGGUGACACGUGUCCAGGAGUUAACUUUUUUUUAAAACCCUAACGGAAACCUAACAGAAGAGACCAAAACGAGACUAAAAAAAAAACUUAAAAUCCUCAAACAAUCUUUUUUUUAGUUAAGAGACCAAGGUGAUACCAAUUAAAUAAGGUGAUACCAAUUAAAUAGUUAAGAGACCAAAAGAGCAUUUAAGCGCUUUUUUUAAAUAAAUAAAUUUCUUUAUUUGGGAUGAAUUUGAAAUAGAACAUUCUAGUCUUCUAAAGAAAAGCCCAACAGAUCUCUCUCUUUAAAACCCUAACCCUCACAUUCACAAUCGUAGAAUAGUUAGCCGCAACAUGGAUCCUAGAUAAUUCCCGGAUCGCUUUCUAGGGUUUUUCAAUCACAAUGCAAAGUUUGUUUUUUAUUUUCAUUGUUUAUGUUUUAUUUUAGUUUCUGGGUUGUUGUUUAAUCUCUAUGUUCCUUUUGUUCUAAACUUUUGAUUUUUGAUAUCUGAAACACAAAUUGGACUGUGAAGAUUUCUGUGAUAGGUCUCGUUCGUCGUAAUUGGUCUUUUUCGACCUUGCCGACCAUCCUGUUAUAUCACCACCCAUAUUCUGAGUCCUUUCUUCAUAAUCACAAUUACUUAUUUUUAUUUGAAAUUAUAAAUUUUUGUUGAUUUUUCAUUCUUAUUUUUUAACUUUUUAUAACUUUUGAUAUUGUUAUUGUUAUUGUUAUUUUUGUGUGCUACUUAUUUUUCUUAUGACGUAGUGCAUGAUUUUUAUGCCAAUUUUUGGAUCAUUUUCAUAUGGUCAUAUGAUUAUUGUCUAUGAUGAUAUCUUGAAGGCUUGUUUCUCAAAACAUUCGCAGUGGCCGCCUAAGAGCUUUCGCCUUCGCCAGGCUUGAGAGCUAGUGCUGUUUUAUCCUUCCUUGGAUGUCUGAGACAAUGUCUGUUUGAAUAUCUUGUGUUCAUAUUACACCGAUUUGUCUUGUUUCUCUUGAUUGGAGAAAUUGUUUAUUAGUAGUUAGCACAAUUUUUUGUUUUUUUUUUGGGCAAUGUUAAAAGAUCCAAUACUUGCUUAAGACUUGAAAUUGUGUCUGCAAAGUUGAUCUUGUGUCUCGUCUUGUUCAUGUAAAUUGAACAAUGACAAUUUUUGAUGUUUUGUUUAUUUGAUUAUAAAUGACCAAUGAUGAUAAAUCUAAGGCUUGUUUCUCAAAACAUUCGCAGUGGCCGCCUAAGAACUUUCGCCUUUCGCCGGGCUUGAGAGUUAAUGCUGCUAUUUCCUUCCUUGGAUGUCUGAGGUCAAAUUAUUCUCUUGUGAUUUUGUUGAUGUAUGUGUUUACUACUACAAUUGAAACAGAGAAUGUAUUUUGAAUGAGUCAGGAGUUAAUCUAAUUGUUGUUUUGAUUGAUAUAAAAAAUUUGAUGUCAUUGAUUUGAUUCCCUUUUGAUUGCAUAAACAAUCUGUGAUUCACAAUUAUGAUCAACUUUGAUGACAUGUGUUUUACCAAGUCUAUAACUCAAUGAUGAUAAAUCUAAGGCUUGUUUCUCAAAACAUUCGCAGUGGCUGCCUAAUAGCUUUCGCCUUCGCCAGGCUUGAGAGCUAAUGCAGUUACUUUCCUUCCUUGGAUGUCUGAGGUUAAUUUCUAUUUGCUUUUGGGUUGAUUUGCAAGUCUGGUGAUGUGUUCUAAUCAUCUAAUUAGCAUGUCAAUAGCAUGUAUUGCUAUGAAAGAGUGAUGGAUUGCAUUUUCUUUUUGGUAAUAGAUGCAUUACAUGUUUCAUUCUUAAUUUAUAUUUAUGUAAUGAGAUAAUUUUGUUUCGUGUCCACUUGUUUUCCACAUUUCCAAUCUUUCGGACUAUGAAACACAAUUCCUACAAUGAAAUCUUUUAUACUCUUCACACAUCUGCAAUUCAGUAUACAAGAAAAGUUUAAGUUAAAAUGAAAUAUUAUUGUUAAUCCCAACUUACUAACAGUUAUUGUCAACAUCUUUGAAAUCAUGCAUCCAAUUAAGAGUAUAACGAGAAUUUAGACAGUUUCAGGGAUGAGACAUCCAUCAAUAUUGGAAGUUGAAGAAUAUUUGAUUUCCUUGACUUGCAGCAAUUUGUUACAUUCUAAACUUUGACAUUACAACUAUGGUUUCUGUAUUGUCUAAGUACAGAAUGCCCUUGUAUGUACCCAUAAUUGGUUGAAUAGUUUUAAAGAUGUUGUACCUCUUGGCAAGUUAUAUUAGUAAGAGAAAUGUUAAAAGGGUACUCUGAUGCACUCGUUAACAAAAUCCGUUCAUUUUUACUUGCAAUUUAGUAAAGAUGUCAUUGUCUGUGCGAGAUUUAGCACUCAAUGGACUGAAUAUGGUGAUGUGUCACCAUUUUCUCAACAACUAAUUUGCAUGCAGGUCACUAAUUUGACGGUCAAACAGUUUUUUAUUCUAAUUUAAACAUAAUCAAGACGAACAAAAGAAAAUGAAAAUCCAAUACAUGCAUGUCCUUGGAACAGCCCCAAAUGAAUGUGGGCGAGAAGAAAAGAGAUGAUCACACUCUAAUCUUUACCACCAGCUUCGUAAGUAAUGAAAUUAAGGAGAAGAUUAUUUGGAUUAUGAAAUGUAGACAUGCAACUGUUUGUUGUUUUUUGUCUCCAUGAAGACAUUGAAUAUAGGCGGAACACAUAAAAAAAACUUAUAAAAACACCACACGGACGCCAUUUAACUCAUGGCUAUCACUAACAUCGAUAAAAAAAAAUUAACCGUUUAAAUCAAAUUCAACGCCUAAGUUAAAGCUAACUCUCCAACCUUUCUCAUGAAUGACCACAAAAACUAAAUCCAAUCACCUAACAACUUAUGCUCACCAAACCACUCCAAAAAACAAUCCAACCGAUCAAAAUCCUUCAAAACAGAGCCUCAUAUUCUCAUCGAGCCCAGUUAAACAUUUGGAAAUGACUUAUUUCAACACUCCUAUGGGUUCCACCACCACUUGACCCCCGAGGAAGAAGACAACAUAACAAGCCUAAAAACUUGAGAGUUAUAAUUGCAUUUGUUUGUCGUCUAUUACACUCCACCCAAUAGUUUCUAAAAUGAGAAGCAAAUAAGUUUCUUCAUGUUGAGAUGGUAUUUCUAAACUCUUGUAGCAACUACAUACGUAUUGUGGAAAACAUUUGUCGUCAUUUUGAAAUAUAGCACAAAGUCGACGUUAUCAAACUGAAAAUCACUUGGCCUUCCCAAAGCAUGAAAAAAACUUAUAAAAACCCCACACGGACGCCAUUUAACUCAUGGCUAUCACUAACAUCGAUAAAAAAAAUUAACCGUUUAAAUCAAAUUCAACGCCUAAGUUAAAGCUAACUCUCCAACCUUUCUCAUGAAUGACCACAAAAACUAAAUCCAAUCACCUAACAACUUAUGCUCACCAAACCACUCCAAAAAACAAUCCAACCGAUCAAAAUCCUUCAAAACAGAGCCUCAUAUUCUCAUCGAGCCCAGUUAAACAUUUGGAAAUGACUUAUUUCAACACUCCUAUGGGUUCCACCACCACUUGACCCCCGAGGAAGAAGACAACAUAACAAGCCUAAAAACUUGAGAGUUAUAAUUGCAUUUGUUUGUCGUCUAUUACACUCCACCCAAUAGUUUCUAAAAUGAGAAGCAAAUAAGUUUCUUCAUGUUGAGAUGAUAUUUCUAAGCUCUUGUAGCAACUACAUACGUAUUGUGGAAAACAUUUGUCGUCAUUUUGAAAUAUAGCACAAAGUCGACGUUAUCAAACUGAAAAUCACUUGGCCUUCCCAAAGCAUGAAAUAGCGUUUCACCGACAUCCACAUGAUACAAAGGAAUAAAGGAUAGAUUUUAUACCAAUGCAAAAGCCCCAUCUUUUUCAUGCAAACACACAUCCAUGCAUGUUCUAUUCAUUGACGUGAGAAAGAGGAAUCAAUGUUACAUUUGAGACGCCUACGUUGAGGGCACUGCUAUCAAGAAGAAGAUGGGAAAGAGGUUGAAGCACCGUCAUGAGUGUUUGCGUAUGUUAAUGUAGAUGACUGUCCCACGAAAGCUAUCGUGGUUGUUUGACACCUUAACAAGUUAAUGUAGAUGAGUGUAGGGUAUUUGACACCUUUUGUAACGCCCUAGUUAUUUAUUUAAUUAAUUUGAAUUAUGUGGAGUAUAUAUUUUUAUAUAUGAUGUUUAGUGAUUUAUGCGGAGUAUAUAUAUAUAUAUAUUUAUAUAUAUAUAUAUAUAUAUACAUGUGAUUUUGAGUGUUUAUGUGGUGUAUUAUUUUAUUAUAUAGUUUAUUUAAUAAUAAUUAGAAUAAGUAUGAAAUAAUAAUUAUUUUGGAGUUUGGGGAGUUAUUUAAUAUUUAUUAAAGUUAAUGGGGAGUUAAGUGAAAAUAUAGGGAGUUAAGUAAUGGGAAGUUAGGAAAAGAAAGAAUCAGAAACUGUUUUACGUGAAACCAAGCCAAGGGAGAGGAAACCAGGAACAAGAGAGAAGAACCAAGGGAAUCCAUUUUUGCUGUGCAUUUUCAUUCUGAACUAAGGUAAGGGUGAGAUUUACUUCAAUAGUGUAGAAUUUAAAGUCUGAUUUUGAGUUUAACAGGUUUUGGUAAAAAUUGGGGAUUUUGGGUUUUAUGUUGAAAUUGUGGAUUUUGGAGUUGGGAGUGUAAAUUUGAUGUUAGAAAUAGGUUCUAAGUACAUACAGAAAGUUAAUUUGCAUCUGUAAACUGAUUUGGGGAGUGAUUGGAAGGAAAAUGGGAUUUUUGGGUAAAACCAGUUUUCUGCCCGUACUGAAGUUCAUCGCUCGCCUCGCGAGUAGCUGUUCUCGCCAUGGCGAGUGAGCAACUUCAUAGCUCGCCUCGCGAGCAGUCCAACUCGCCAUGGCGAGUAGCCCAGAUCAAAACUUGAUUUUUGAAAAGUUGUUAUAAGAUGUUUUGGGGUUGGUUUAAGGUACCUAGAUGAUAAUAAAGAGGAAUGGUGAAAGUUUUAGGUUAAAAAGAUGAAUAGGGAGCUUAGAAUUGGAGUUUGAGUGAGAAAAUGUCACUUUUCCCGAGAGUACCUGAUUUUCACUCGCCUUGAGUUCGCUUUGAACUCGCCACGGCGAGCUACUGUUUUUGUGAACUCGCCAUGGCGAGCAGAUGUGCUCGCGAGGCGAGCUAGUGCAGUUUGAGUGCAGUUUUGCUUGCUUGAUUAAUAAGGUUUGAGUGUUGUUGUUUAAGCAUAAUUAUAUUUAAUUGUGCAUCAUUCUGAAUGGUUGAAUCUCUGUUGGAUGUUGAUUGAUGAUGAGUAAUGCAUUGUAUGUUUUAAUUAUUAAUCAUACAUGUCGUUUAAGUGGAGUCACAUGAAGUUGCAUUGCAUGGUCAGUUGUAUGUAGAUAUACACAAGUAGGUCCAUUGCAUAUGCAUAAAACAGCGGUGAGGGCUUCGGUCCUGGAGUACUAGUUGCUCAACAGCGGUGAGGGCUUCGGUCCUGAUGAAUGCUUUAACCAUUCAAAAGCGGUGAGGGCUUCGGUCCUGAUUGGUACCACAUGCAUAAUGCAUUUCAUUAAGAAGUUUAAGAUGGUGUCUUAGCAGUGGUCAUGUCAUUUGCAUGAGUCUUGGUUGUUGUUUCAGGUUUAUCUGAUGUUGAUGUUGAUGUUGAAUAUACAUUUACUUAUAUAUAUUCAUUGCGAUCUUGAUGUGUUGUUGAUGUUAUUGGUAAUAUGUACAUUGUAUACAUACUUGCUAAAUGGAUUAUUAUGGUGAUGUUGUUGUGACUUGUGAAUUAAAUAUUGAUAUUUGCAAGAUUAUUAUAUUUGAAGUUUUAGGGUGUUAGAUUCAUUUGAUGAUUUUAAUAUCUAUAUUUAUUGUUGUGAAUCUCACCCCUUCUGCUUGAAAACGUUGCCCUUCCUAUGGGUAACUUGCAGGUGAUCCUGAGUAGUAGGUGGUGGCUCAAAGUCGUGUCUAGGGCUCUGAUACGUGGGAUGGGAAUUAUCAUUUUUGUUAUUGUUGCUUUUCCUUUCCAUGUAUCAAAUUUUGGAACUUGUAGUGUGGAGCCUUUUUGUUGUCUUUGAACUAUGAUGUUGAAUUAUGUUAAGGCCUUUAAUGCCAUAGAUUAUUGUUGGAUGUUCAUGAGGAUAUGGAUUUUGAAAACUAUUCCGCUGCUAUGUUUUCAUAUAUAUAAGUUGAUUUGAUUAAAUAGUUUUAUUUUCUAUUUAAGAAUUUUUACAAAUGACGUGUAGCAUGCCCGUUUGUGGAAUUACUCUGAUGUAUAUAAGCUAUUUUAUUUGUUUUGGGUAACGGGGUGUUACAAAUUGGUAUCAGAGCAGGUUGGUCCGUCCGGCCAAGUAGUAGAGUCGUGUUGAGCCACCUAGGAUAGAGUGUCAACUUUAAUGUUGCUUUUUGUUGUUGUUCUGAGUUGUUGUUUGUCGUGUAGAAUCUCGAGAUGACUGGAAGUAGUGAUGCUGCUCUUGUUGCUGCGCUUGAGGCUGUAGCUCAAGCUGUUCAACAGCAACCUAAGGUUGAGACUGGUGGUGAUGGAACCAUGAUGUUAGAGACUUUCCUGAGGAAUCAUCCACCAACUUUCAAGGGUAGGUAUGAUCCUGACGGUGCUCAGAAAUGACUGAAGGAAGUUGAAAGGAUUUUCAGGGUCAUGCAGUGUUCUGAGACACAGAAGGUGCGGUUUGGGACGCAUAUGUUAGCGGAAGAGGCUGACGACUGGUGGGUGAGUUUGUUGCCUGUGCUGGAACAGGGUGAUACUGUGGUGACUUGGGCUAUGUUCAGGAAGGAGUUUCUGAGUAGGUACUUUCCGGAGGAUGUCAGAGGUAAGAAAGAAAUUGAGUUUCUGGAGCUGAAACAGGGUGAUAUGUCCGUUACGGAGUAUGCUGCUAGGUUUGUGGAACUUGCCAAGUUCUACCCUCACUAUAGUGUGGAGACAGCUGAGUUCUCUAAGUGUAUCAAAUUUGAGAAUGGGUUGAGAGCUGACAUCAAAAGAGCUAUUGGGUAUCAGCAGAUCAGAGUCUUCUCUGAGUUGGUAAACAGAUGUAGAAUUUAUGAAGAAGACACCAAAGCUCAUUACAAGAUAAUGAGUGGGAGGAGGGGUAAGGGACAACAGAAUCGUCCUAAACCUUACAGUGCUCCUGCUGACAAAGGAAAGCAGAGGAUGGGUGAUGAUAGGAGGCCCAAGAGGAGAGAUGCUCCUGUUGAGAUUGUUUGCUACAAGUGUGGUGAGAAAGGCCACAAGAGUAAUGUUUGUGGAAGAGAUGAUAGGAAGUGCUUCAGGUGUGGUCAGAAGGGUCACAGUUUAGCUGAAUGCAAGCGUGGGGACAUUGUCUGUUACAACUGCAAUGGGGAAGGUCAUAUCAGUUCACAGUGUCCUGAGCCGAAGAAGACUAGAAUUGGUGGAAAGGUUUUUGCCUUGACUGGUACGCAGACUCCUAAUGAGGACCGACUUAUCAGAGGUACUUGUUUCUUUAAUAGUACUCCUUUAAUUGCUAUUAUUGAUACUGGUGCUACUCAUUGUUUUAUUGCUAUUGAAUGUGCAUAUAAGUUGGGUUUGGAUGUAUCUGAUAUGAAAGGGAAAAUGGUUGUUGAAACUCCAGCUAAGGGUUCAGUAACCACUUCUCUUGUUUGUCUGCGGUGUCCUAUAUCUAUGUUUGGUAGAGAUUUUGUGAUUGAUUUAGUUUGUCUGCCGUUGACGGGUAUGGAUGUGAUUUUUGGUAUGAAUUGGUUAGAGUAUAAUCGAGUUCAUAUCAACUGCUAUAAUAAGACGGUGCAUUUCUCUUCUGCUGAAGAAGAAGGUGAGGUUGAGCUUCUGUCUACGAAACAGAUGAAACAGUUUGAACGUGAUGGUAUCCUGAUGUAUUCUCUAAUGGCACAAUUGUCGUUAGAAAAUCAAGCUGUGAUUGAUGGUUUACCUGUAGUGAAUGAAUUUCCAUAAGUAUUUCCUGAUGAGAUUCCUGAUGUGCCACCAGAGAGGGAGGUUGAAUUUUCAAUUGAUCUUGUUCCAGGAACUAAGCCGGUGUCGAUGGCACCGUACCGUAUGUCAGCUUCUGAGUUAGUUGAGUUGAAGAAGCAGUUGGAGGAUCUGUUAGAUAAGAAGUUUGUAAGACCCAGUGUUUCACCUUGGGGAGCACCGGUGUUGUUGGUAAAGAAGAAGGAUGGUAGUAUGAGACUGUGUAUAGAUUACCGUCAGUUGAACAAAGUUACGAUCAAGAACAGAUAUCCGCUUCCUAGAAUUGACGACUUGAUGGAUCAGUUGGUUGGUGCUAAGAUUUUCAGUAAGAUUGAUUUGAGGUCUGGUUAUCAUCAGAUAAAGGUGAAGGAUGAAGAUAUGCAGAAGACGGCCUUUAGGACACGUUAUGGACAUUACGAAUACAAGGUGAUGCCUUUCGGUGUUACUAAUGCGCCUGGUGUUUUUAUGGAGUACAUGAACCAAAUUUUCCAUGCUUUCCUGGAUAAGUUUGUUGUGGUAUUUAUUGAUGAUAUUUUAAUCUAUUCCAAGAAUGAGGAGGAGCAUGCAGAGCAUCUGAGAAUUGUAUUGCAAGUGUUGAAGGAAAAGAGGUUGUAUGCUAAGCUGUCGAAAUGUGAGUUCUGGUUAAGUGAAGUGAGCUUUCUGGGUCAUAUUAUUUCUGGUAGUGGUAUUGCAGUGGAUUCUUCAAAGGUUGAUGCGGUAUCACAAUGGGAGACUCCGAAGUCGGUAACUGAGAUCAGAAGUUUUCUGGGUUUGGCUGGUUAUUACCGCAGGUUCAUAGAAGGGUUUUCGAAGUUGGCUCUUCCGUUGACACAGUUGACCUGUAAGGGUAAGUCUUUUGUGUGGGAUGCUCAGUGUGAGAGUAGUUUCAAUGAGUUGAAGCGAAGAUUGACGACUGCUCCUGUUUUGAUUUUGCCUAAACCAGAAGAACCGUUUGUUGUAUACUGUGAUGCAUCUAAGCUGGGCUUAGGUGGUGUUUUAAUGCCAUAGAUUAUUGUUGGAUGUUCAUGAGGAUAUGGAUUUUGAAAACUAUUCCGCUGCUAUGUUUUCAUAUAUAUAAGUUGAUUUGAUUAAAUAGUUUUAUUUUCUAUUUAAGAAUUUUUACAAAUGACGUGUAGCAUGCCCGUUUGUGGAAUUACUCUGAUGUAUAUAAGCUAUUUUAUUUGUUUUGGGUAACGGGGUGUUACACCUUUAUCCUGUAAACGAAUUUGCGUAGGCCAACAACCUCAACACAUUCGUUAGACUAAACGAGCUCGCGUGAACUAUGCCUUAUAGUAGUCGUAAGGUAGCUCCCAUUUGGAAUGUGUAUUGAGCUCAUAACAAAUGAUAAACUAUAGAAGUAGGCUCAAUGUGAAACUUCCAACCUUACUUAUCCAACAUAACCAAAUUAAAAGCAGUGAGAUCUUUGAUCCAUAUAUCCCAUGAUUCUUAUAACCGACGGUUUUUCCCAUGACAACCAGUGAAUGUCACGAUGAUUGGACCGACCAUGACCCCACUAGAAAGAAUUCAUCAUUUUUUUCAAUAGUGUUAAUAAGUGUACUAGUGAGAAGAAAAAUACUCAUGGGAUACGAUGAAAUAGCUUGCAUAACCGAUUUGAUCAUGAACUCUUGACCUACUUUAGAAAGGCAUUUUCUAUUCCAAGAGUUGAUUUUUUGCCAAACACGAUCUUUUGUAAAAGCAAAAGUUGAUGUCUUGUCUCAACCAAUCAUGGAUGGUAAACCUAGAUAUUUGCCUGUACCAAGCUCCGCAUGAACACCCAAAAUUUUGAUGAUAGAAUUAUUUUAAGUGUUAUUGACAUUCCUGCUAAAAUAGAUUUAUGACUUAGGAAGACUAAUAGUUUGACCCGAGGCUGCUUCAUGUGAUGUUAUAAUGUUUUUCAUGACUUGUGUUUGGCUCUCCUCCACUUAUAAAAUGAAGCAAUCAUCUGCAAACAUGAGAAAAGUCACUGAAGGGGCACCCUUAAAAAUUGUCAUACCUCGAAUUUCUCUACGCUUUUUAGCGCACCGAAUUAGUGAGGUGACCCUCUUUGCAGAUAAUGAAGAUAUAAGGGGAGACAAGAACCCAUUGUUGCAAUCCAUGAACAUGGAUCACUAGACAUGGCGCUUCGUUGUUAACGAGAAUCGAGUAAUCAACAGACUCCACACUCAUAGUCAUCCACUUAAUUCACCUCGCUCUAAAAUACAUUUUACUCAUCACCUCUAAUAUAUACUCCCAAUCCAUCAUGUCAUAAGCUUUACUAAUGUCGAUCUUUAGGGCCAUACAAUUGUCGCUACCUUUAAUCUCUGUCUUCAUGUAAUGAAUAACCUCAAUAGCCACCAUGGCGUUUUCAAGAAUGGAGUGAUCAGGGACAAAAGUUGAUUGAUUAUCAGAUAUGCACUUUGAGAAACAUCUUUCAAUCUGUUAGCAAAUACCUUAGAAAUCAACAUAUACAUGACAUUACAAAGUUCAAUAGGGUGUUAGUUUCUCAUUGUUGUCUGAAUGUUAGCUUUGUGAAUGAGAGCUAUAUUCGUUGUGUUUAGAGUUGCCGGAAAUUGUCUCGUAUCAAGCCAAACACAAUAUUCAUUGAAAACAUCAUCACUACACAAAUUCCAAAAAUGUUGAUAGAAAUAUGAGUUAUACCCAUCAAGACUUGGGUAUUUAUUAGGAUGCAUUAAAAACAUUGCUUGAUGAAACUCUCAUUCUUAAUAAACAUCAUCUUAUAAGAGUAAUCGAAUCAUUUGCCUUCGCCAAGAUCACAUUUGAUGACAAUCAUCAAUGUUAACUCUUAAUUUAUUACAAUGCUCUUUACUCCAUACAUUAAUGUCUUGUAAAUAGGACCAAAUUCUUUUUUUUUUUUUUUUUUCGGUAGAUGACCAAAUUCAGUAUUUAUUAACCAAAUUAUGAACAUAAUUAACCAAUUUUUUUAAAGAUAAUUAACCACGUAUUAUUAAUUAAGUAAUUGAAUUUUAUUUGUGUGUGAGAAAAUAAAACAAGUAUUUCAAUUUUGUUCAUUUUGAAGGAUCAUAUCGAAGAGAAAUGAUAUCUGUACAACCACUUUCUCACAACUUUCUCUCUCAUACUUACAUUAUCAUCUUAUUCUCCCUCUUUCUUUUAUUUCUCUCUAUUAUUUUUGACCAAUGAAAAGAGAGAGAAAAUAAGUUAUCACAAAAAUUAUCUCAUACUAGACUUUCCACCCGUGCUGCCGCACGGGUCAUAUACAUUGUAGAUAUAGUAGACAAAAACAAAUCUCAAUGCAUAUCAAAGAGAAUGAAAUAUGUGGUCCCAAAUAUAUGCAGAUGUUGGAAUUCGAACCUCAGACACCACGCUUAUUCACCAAAAAAAUAUUAAUUUUUAUCAAUCGUGUGUUACUUCAUUCUUUUGUUAAAAUUAUAUGUCAAUAUUAUAUUAUUGGUAUGUAACUUCAUAUUUUUCUUCUUUUUUUUGAAAAAAUGUUACUUCAUUCUUUUGUAAAAAUUAUAUGUUAAUGUUAUAUUAUGUACCUAAAAAUAGUUCAUUCUUAACCUCAACAUGUAAAAUGUUUUAUUUAAAUAAUUUUCCUUUUAUCGAAUAUUUGGCCUUUACCGUAAAUGAUACCCUUUAACUGUUUGUUGAAAUGUUUCUUCCACCUGUUUAUAUAGAUUGCAAAAUUCAGGUGCAUUUUGUGGUAAAUAUUUAACAAAGAGAGUUCAGUUCUAAUUUGGAUGAAAAGUGUAAUAUUAACAAAAAAAAUGUUGUUAUAAUCUUUCAAAACCCUUUUAUUCCAAUAGGGCGAUUUGUUUUGUUGAAGAAAUAGGGCGAUUUGUUUUGAAGAAAUAGGGGAAAUAAAGCGAUGCCGAUUUGCUUUGUUCAUGAAAAUAGGAGAUUAGGUGUGAGCAUUAGCGUUGUUCAUGAAAAUAGAAGAUUAGGUGUGAGCAUUAGGGUUAAAACGGUAAAAUUAUGCAACAGGGUUUAGGUUAAAAUUAGGGCUCAUGAAAAUAUGAGAUUAGGUGUGAGCAUUAGGGUUGUUCAUGAAAAUAUAAGAUUAGGUGUGAGCAUUAGGGUUAAAACGGUAAAAUUAUGCAACAGGGUUUAGGUUAAAAUUAGGGCUCAUGAAAAUAUGAGAUUAGGUGUGAGCAUUAGCGGUUGUUCAUGAAAAUAUAAGAUUAGGUGUGAGCAUUAGGGUUAAAACGGUAAAAUUAUGCAAUAGGAUUUAGGUUAAAAUUAGGGCUUACGGGUUACCUUUAAUAUAUAAGAAGAUUAGGUGAGAGCAAUAGGAUUGUUCAUGAAAAUAGGAGAUUAGGUGUGAACAUUAGGGUUAAAACAGUAAAAUUAUGCAAUAGGGUUUAGGUUAAAAUUAGGGCUUACUUGUUAACUUUAAUAUAUAAGAAGAUUAGGUGAGAGCAUUAGGAUUGUUCAUGAAAAUAGGAGAUUAGGUGUGAACAUUAGGGUUAAAACAGUAAAAUUAUGCAAUAGGGUUUAGGUUUAAAUUAGGGCUUACAUGUUAACUUUAAUAUAUAAGAAGAUUGUUCAUGAAAAUAGGAGAUUAGGUGUGAACAUUAGGGUUAAAACAAUAAAAUUAUGCAAUAGGAUUUAGGUUAAAAUUAGGGCUUACUUGUUAACUUUAAUAUAUAAGAAGAUUAGGAGAGAGCAUUAAGAUUGUUCAUGAAAAUAGGAGAUUAGGUGUGAACAUUAGGGUUAAAACAGUAAAAUUAUGCAAUAGGGUUUAGGUUAAAAUUAGGGCUUACUUGUUAACUUUAAUAUAUAAGAAGAUAAGAAGAUUAGGAGAGAGCAUUAGGAAUGUUCAUGAAAAUAGGAGAUUAGGUGUGAACAUUAGGGUUAAAACAGUAAAAUUAUGCAAUAGGGUUUAGGUUAAAAUUAGGGCUUACUUGUUAACUUUAAUAUAUAAGAAGAUAAGAAGAUAGGAGAUUAGGUGUAAACAUUAGGGUUAAAACAGUAAAAUUAUGCAAUAGGGUUUAGGUUAAAAUUAGGGCUUACUUGUUAACUUUAAUAUAUAAGAAGAUGAUUGUUCAAAUAACACUACUCCAUCGAAAAAGACUUCAAGAUAUUCCUAAAAUGAAAUUUGUUGUUUUGUAAUAGUUUCCUUUGAACAAGUUUCGCAUUAACACUCCACUCACUUUCCUACAAUAUCGAAGAUUAGAGAUUAUUACAGAUAACUUCUUCUUCUUCUUCUUCCAACAAACAACAAUGUCUCAUUCUUCUCUUCUCACCCCCUCUUCCUCUCUUACACUCAACUCUCCUCUUCUUUCCCCCACCACUGGUUCUUCUUCUCACAGUCUUUCUCUUCCCUCCCACCCUUUUCUCUCCGGGUAUGUAUCUUUUUCUUUCUUUAUCUUUUCUUCAAUUUCAAUUUUUUAUAACAACCCUUGAACUUAUUCCGAACCCUUUCUUUUAACUCAAUUUUAAUUCCUCGUAAAGUUCUUAUUUUUGUUUCAUUUCUAUAAUUUCGAGAUUUUUUUCUUCUUCCAAUUUGUGGGUAUUGAGUUUUUGUUGUUUGUUUACUUGAUUCUUUGUGUUAGGUUAUUAGGUUCAUAGAAAAUUGCCCCUUUUCAUAUUUUUGCUAGUGGGGUUAGGGUGAAAUUGAAAUUUUUUGGAAUUCAUUUUUGUGUUGUACGUGUCAACUGAAAAAUGAUGCAAAUAUUAUGAUAAAUUGGAACUGGCUUAUUCUUGAGACAAAUGAAUAAUCUGGGUUGGUGUAAAAGUCUUUCAAUUUUUACUAGUUUAAGCUCAAAUUAACCAAGUGAUUAAUUAGCUCUAGUUAGGACAAAUCUUUUAUGAGAAUCCGAGUUCAAAUCGUGGUUAAAACAAUUAUUGGUCAGACUUUACUUACUUUCUGGUUAAUUACCGUGGCUUCCUCCCUCGGGGCCUGAAGGACCCCCUUCCAAUAGAAUAUUCUAUGUUAUUCUUUAUAUUUUACUUCUACCAACAGAAUAAAACCAUGCUGUGAUUUGCAGGAAAUUGAGGAAACCUGUAGAAUUUAGAAAGAUUACCCGAAAAUCUGCCGUGAAAGCGGUCUAUGGUGAUCAAUUUUGGGGACAUGAGAGGAGUUCACGUCAGGGUAUUUGGUCCAUAAGGUAGAUUUUGCUUGUUAAUUUGUUUAAUCUGUUAACUUUAGUCUUAUUUAUUGACUUGAAUUAUGUGUUCUUCUAGGGAGGAUUUGGGAGUUCCAUCUUCGCCUUAUUUUCCUACCUAUGCACAAGGACAAGGGCCACCCCCAAUGGUGCAGGAGCGUUUCCAGAGUGUUAUAAGUCAGCUUUUCCAAUAUGUAAGGAUUUUUUACGCUUGGCGUUGCUUAAUGUUGAGUGUUUAGUCCUUCGAGUAUUAAUAAUCUGUUUUGGUAUUUAGAGAAUAAUCCGUUGUGGUGGAGCAGUUGACGAUGAUAUGGCAAAUAUCAUAGUUUCUCAGCUCCUUUAUCUUGAUGCUGUUGACCCAAACAAGGUUUGUCCUUCGUUUUUUAGUUGAUCAAAGCUCGUGGUUACAUAUGCCUUCAUCUAUAUAAAGUGAUCCUUUGCAUUUCUAGAGAUGUCAUCAAACACAUACAUUUUGAUAUGGCUAUGAUUUUGAGUUUAUCUUUAUCUACUAUGUUGAACAGGAUAUUGUCAUGUAUGUAAAUUCUCCCGGAGGGUCGGUUACAGCUGGUAAUAAUUUCUUAUGCAACUAUCUUGUACUUGUUUGUAUGUUUAUUUUUAUUACAUGUACUCUAAACAUAGGCUAAGAAAAUAUCAUUUCAUUCAAAAAGUAAUACACUUUCUUUGUUUUUGUUCUUAGGUAUGGCAAUAUUUGAUACAAUGAAGCAUAUCAGACCUGAUGUGUCCACUGUCUGUGUUGGAUUGGCGGCUAGGUAAUAUUUCAUUCUUCCUCCGGUUAAUAAUACAUAAUUGCUGAUAAGUUACCACUCACUAUCAGUAAAAGGGUAAAAGUAUAUCCUAACUUUCAUGUACACACGCAAAACUUAUUCACUUUUUUUUUUUACUGAGUGCUAGGAGAAUUUAAGAUGAAUUAAGACCCUCACUUGCGCACUGUCUAUUAAGCCUAUCUUAUUUUAGAUAAAUAUUUCUUUUCUAUUUGUGUGUAUUUAUUUAGCGUGAUUGGUCGCCCUCAUACACACCCCUUUUCUCAUUUUCUGUGUUUCCUGUCACUAGUAGACUAUGAAAGCCCAACAUAGAUAGGGAUACAGGACAUUGACACAGACACAUCGAUAUGAACAAAAUUUAAAAUAUAGGACACCGGGAUUUGUUGAGACUUGAGAUCAUGAGAGGAGUUAGUCUCAACCAAUCAUGUGUGGUUAUAUGAUUAUAUAUCUUUUGGCAUGAUUAUGCAUGCACAUGCUGAAUACAUACACGUGUGAGGGCAAGGGGGAAAGAAAAAUAUUCCAAAUGAAGUGAUAUUGUUAGAGACAUAACAUUUUUUUAUAAGUGUUCUUAUUUUUAAGUGUUAAACCAUAAUUGUCAGCUAAGGGUCCGUACUUUACGCCACUAAUUGGUCCGUUUCAUAUGCAUAUUAGAUCAAACUUGACUGUAAUAGUAUAAAACCGGAUAUUUUAAUACUAUGUGGUGUUUGAUAUGACACCGUACAAGUAUAUUAUACAAGACAAUACUAUCUUACAUUUUAUAAUGACUUACACUUUUAUAACAGGAUAAAAGCAAGCAUAUUUUUACCAACAUACCCUAUAUUGAGCAUACAUUAUAUUUACAUAGAUAUACAUGUUUUAUUGUUUUUACAGAAAAAAGUCAAUAAACACUAGAUAUGAGAUCGGGUCUUCAUAUGGAAAAUAGAAGAUUUUAAUAAAAACCUAGAUUGAAUAGUAAUUGAUGAAUUUAAACAGGGUUGCGCAAGAGCAUUGAAUUGUCACCAUAGUUUAUGUACGGAAUGAGUUUCUUUUAAAUAGCCAUGUAUUAUGUAUGCAUUAUUGUAUAAUUAAGCAUUAAACUUUGAUAUGAUUUUUGUUUUAAUUUUUUUAUUUUUAUCUGCAUUACUGAUAAACUUUUAAGGAAUGUUAUUUUAUUUAGGCUAUUUGGGCUAAAUUGUUGUCUCAUAUUUUCUUUAAUUAUAUAAAAUUUUUGAUAUUUUCUUUAAAUAAGAACUUUUGAACUUAAAACCUAAGAGCUUCUUAGGCUAUAUCUUUGCAAAAUAUGCUGAACACAAGAUAUGUAAGGUCCACCAUUUGCAUUAGUCACUCAGACUAGUGCACUAUAUUUUGGCUAUUUGGUGUUUUGGACUAAAUGGCUGUCUCAUAUUGUCUUUAAUUAUUUACAAAAAUUAUAUAUUUACCCUUAACCAAGAAAGAACUUUUGAACAAAAAGCUUAAGAGCUUCUUAGGCUACGCCUUUGUAAAAUAUGCUGAACACAAGAUAUGAGAGGUCCACCAUUUGCAGCUAGAAACUCAAGAGUGCACUCUAUUUCCAAUAUAUGUCAUACCUGUUUAUGUUAUGGAUUUGUGGUCUACCGUUAGCCUAGUUCUUCUCAGUGGUUAAGCCUUAAGACAGUCUAUUUUAACUGAUACCAUUAAUAUAUAACCUUAAUUACUCUGUUAAUUUCCUUUUAAUUUAGUGCCUGAAAAUUCCAGUUCUCCUAUUUUUUGCUUGAUUUUAGUCCUAUUAUUUUAAAACAAAUGUGGUUCAUUAAACCGAGUUUCGUCCAACUGGUUAAUUCAGCUUCUUAGUCUACGCUGAUCUAACAGUAUACGGAAGUUGUGCUAACAUGGCAUCUGAUGCAUGGAGCUGUGUACCCUCUUGGUCAAGUAUUCUCAUCGACGCCAACUGAGUUUAGUUGCAUAACUGAAACAUCUCUGAGCUUUGGGUUAUGUACCUUCUCGAUUGAGAGCUGAGUUCGACAUUUCUCCGGAGCAGGGAGAUGGUACUAUUUACCUUUACCUUUCUGACCAAGUAUGGAGUUAGAAAUCAAGUUCAUUCCCUCUUUAAAGCAUGGUGGUUGGAAGGAUGAGUAGCCUCUCGACCAAUCACAGCUUCUUGUCUGAGUAUACGAAACCCCCCCAAUGCAAGUCUGGAUAAUUUCCAUCAUGUCCAACUUAACUCUAACACAUCCAUCAGAUAUCGGACCUUAAAUGAACAGAUUGACUAAGCUUGUUCAAUUUUAAGAAUAAGCGGACUGAGACCGAGAACCAAAAACUAGAGAGACCAAAAUAGCACAUCAGCUAUAUUUGAGGGAUCAAAGUUGCAAUUAAACACAAGUUUGAUACAUAUUUGUAUCUUGACAUAUCACCGGAAAUGUCCAAUAUUAUUAGUAAUUUCACACUGAAAACUAAUUGAUAGGUGAUUGUAUGCUUGUAACUUUUUAUCUUUUAAUUUGUUGAAGAAAUUUUUAAUUCCUGUACUUAUAUAUUGAUCUGUUCAUGAGCAGUAUGGGAGCUUUUCUGCUUAGCGCGGGGACCAAAGGUAAUGAUUCCUUUAACUUGCAAUGACUGUAUCCAUUUUUCUUCUUUUCUUGGUCCACAUUUGCAAAAGGGGAAAAUGACUAUGUCUAACUUUAUAUUCCCGCCUCUGUCAUUUUUGAAGGAAAACGAUUCAGCUUGCCAAACUCAAGGAUAAUGAUUCAUCAACCACUUGGUGGUUUCCAAGGAGGGCAAACUGACAUAGAUAUUCAGGUAUAUAUAGUCCCUGUUUUCUUCCCCCCUCAUUUGAUGGCACAAACCUCUUGUUUCUUCUGAUAAAAUCAUACUCCCUCCGUCCCUAAUUAUAAGACCCUUUUGAAAAAAUCAUUUGUCCCUUUUUAUACCCCUUUGGUGUUUUCAAGUACAUUAAUUAUUUCUUUACCAACAUACCCUUAUUUAUUUUGCAUUUUUCUUCAAUCAACGAUAAAUAUUAUAUUGAAAACAUAAAUUUACUCUCUCUCUUAAGGAUAAAAUUGUAAAAACAAUAGUAAUUAUAUAAAAAUUUAAUACUACAACCAACUUUCUUAAUCUCCGCAAUUUUAGCAAAAGGCUCCUAUAUUUAGGGACGGAGGGAGUAUAUCUUUUUCAUAGAAAAUUAAAGGCUAUCACAGGUAGCACUUGAAGUCUAAUGAGUUAUCCUUAAACCAUGAUAACAUUAAAUUCCCUACAAGUGUUCCAUACUCUUACAUUCCUAUUUUUCCUUUCCUAUACCGUUCUAUUGUAUUCCAUUCCAUGUCAUACUUUUUGGCUUUAGUUGGUUUUUGGAUUGGAUUUGAUUAGUUGAUUUUGAACACCUAUACAAUAAGGGAUAUCAUCCAUGUGCCAAGGAAGACAUGACAUGAUUGGUUAACUUUUACAGUUAAUUUUUUUGCACAAGUAUUAUAAAUUCAUAAUUAUGAUUCAUAAUCCUCUCAGGCUAAUGAAAUGCUGCAUCACAAGGCAAACCUGAAUGGGUAUCUGUCCUAUCAAACUGGGCAAAGUUUAGAGAAAAUUAACCAGGAUACAGACCGUGAUUUUUUCAUGAGUGCAAAAGAAGCCAAAGAAUAUGGACUCAUCGAUGGUGUCAUCAUGAAUCCUCUCAAAGCUCUUCAGCCUUUAGCAACUGCAGAGGAGGGUAAAGAUCGGGCUAUUCUUUGAACUCGACACUGUUGUACUCCUAAUUUCGUAGGUACGAAAAACAAGGAUGUUGUUUUUGGUUGGUUGCUUAGUAUAGCUGAAUUUUUCACAGAUGUUGAUAUCUGUAUAACGGUGUACCAACAAAUGAGGCCAAAAUGAUACCUAGUGAUGUUGUAUUGCCUUAGAGUUUAUACUGUUAUAAUUCAAAAAAGCUUCCUUAACGCGGAUCCUGGAUUUGCGUUUUUCCUUCUAGCAUUGUAUUCAAUAUUGUGAUAACUGAUGAUAUGGCCUCAUAUGUUGCAUCCCUUAGACAUGUGAUUCACUUCAUACUCGACGGAUGCCAUACCAAAUUGUUAUAGACCAAAAAUAUAAAGGAAUGACUGGGUGGUUCAGCAGAAAUAAAAGAAAUGUCAUUUCUUAGUUUUGAUAGUUAGGGUUGAAGAUUCUUUCAUACAUUUAUUUUGUAAUUUAUAAUAAUUUUUUUUAUGGUAUCUAUAUAAAUAAAGCGAUAGACAUUAAAUCUCAAAAAAAUUAUAUAAUGUUUUACAUAAAAGUAUAUAUUCAAUUCAUAAAUUUUAUAGAAUUUAAUUUUAACCUAUAGUAAAAUAAUUUUACACAUUUAAAUCUUACCACGUAGAUAUAUGUGUAUGUAUUUGAGAAAAUAAUAUAAUCACAUAUCUAUAUGGUGAUGUCUGAUUAGAUAUCUAUGUACAAUUUACAUCGGUUAGUACAUCAGAAAUUUUUUAGGUAACAAGUAUAUUUUGGAUCUUGUCAAAAAAAAAAAAGUAUAUUUUGGAUAUCAAAUUUUUUUAGUUUGAACACAAUUUGAUCAAUUUCAAUUUACAAGAACUUUCUACAUUUGCUUUUUUCUCACUACCAAAGUCAUUCCAAGUCUAAAUUAAUCAUUGGUAGUUAAGAUUUAAGUAUCACCUACUUUAGACAGUCACUCAUCAUCGUCAACCAUCAACUGUUACAUUUGCAUCCAUGAAAGAAAUUUGGUAAGAGGAAGAUCAUUUGGAUGUUUGAUUAUAAAUCCACUUCUGAGUUAGUUUAUUUGGCACUAUGGGGACGUUAACAUUGACAAGCAUAGCAUAACAUUUUUCUUUUGAUUUUUCAUAGGUUCCUUUCACUUGAUGUAACCUUAUUUCAUGCAUAUCAGACACUAAAUAUAGGUACAUCUUUCAUUCGAAGUACGGAUCUUGUUUGUCACAUUAUAUGACCUAUUUCGUCAGACUCUAUCUAUUAAUAAUUUUUUUUUUGUUUUUGUUAAAUAACCUAUUGAUAAUACAUUCAUCUCUUAAAGGUUUCGGAUGCCCAUAAUUAUGAACUCCAGAAUUUGCAUCCUGCAAUGUUUCUGUCAACCCUGAAUUAUGUUCACGAGACUAAUGAAACCUUUUUAUUUACCUAAGUUUAAUUAUCUUGCGCUGUUCUGAAGCCUCCAAUUUAUUUUUGUACCGAAUGGCCUAAAAUAUAUGUGUAGAUCCCCUACUUCCAACUAAACAUCUAAAUGAAAAUCUUCCUAAUCCAAUUAGAUUUAGCUACUUCAACCGCAACUAUAUCCAUAUAUAUAUAUAUAUAUAUAUAUAUAUAUAUAUAUUUAUAAUAGCAACUAUAUCUAAUUUAAGCCAAAGGAAAAGGCUAGAGUUUGAUAAUUCGUAAUUAUGUUAGGUAGCUUACGGCGUAAAGUACAAUUCAUAUGACGACGUCCAUUUUUUCAUACACAUAAUAAAAACCAAGAUAACGAUCCCACGCAUACCAGCAACAAAGACAGACAAUAUUAAAAAUUUGUUUCAUAGCAGUAUAUUAAAAAGGAUACAUUUAGUCAUGGAAAAUGUACAUUUCCAGCUCCGGUUGUAUAUAAAAAGUAAGAUUAUAAGGGUUUGAAAAAUACUCAAUACAAAUCACUCUAUUAGUAAAAGUACUUUUUUUGUGGUGUCAAGGAUUUGAACCCCACACCCUGUAUAUUUUAUGCAUUGUCCUUAUCAACUGAGAUGAGUAUUAAUAAAAGUACUCUAUUAUAACUGAAUAGUUAUACCAGUUAAAAUCAAUGACUAUUUAGCAACAAAAAUCAUACGUAAUAUGCCAAAAUGAUUGUUAUAUAGCAAUACAAACUAAGAUCCGUUCAACUCAACUUUUGGGUAAGAGAAAGAAACAACUUAAUAAUUUGGAUGAAUAAGUAAUCUUUCAAUUGUUAAAUUAAUAUUUACUUCUUCGUCCAAGUUUAAACCCAUAAUCUAAAACUCUUCUUCGUGAUAAUUAAUUGUUAAUAAGACUGGAAUUUUUUUUUGUUUAUAAGACUUGGAUUAAUUGAUGGCUAUCUAAAUCACAAACGCUAACAAGAUUUUUACAUAUCAUUCAUCAAAGAGACCUGCAUACUAGUAACAUAAAGAACUCAUGCUUUUUAUAUAUCAUGCGUUAUCUAAUUUGUGGUUAAAUAACACAAUUCAUUUUCUAAUGCAGACAAAUAAAUUCAAUGAUGUUUCGUCAACGAAGAGCGAGUGAACAGCCAAAGAGGUUUCCUCAAAAUUUCGAACUGUUUCCACUCUCAUCAAUUAAAUUUGGCACCCAAUUAAACAUCCGCAUUAUUCAAAAUUCAAACCAUGCCAAUAUAUUCUUUUUUUUCGUACCAAACCAAUGUGACAAUGGACGUUGAGAUUGAGCUAAAUUAAAUACUAUUAUUAUAGAGAUAUAAAGAAUCAACACCAUGUCCUAUAAAAUGUCAACUAAGUAACCAAUGGACGUGGUAACCACUUAUUAAAUUUCAUUUCAUAAAAAAUAGUUGUCAAGUCACAUACAUAAAGAAACACCUUUACUUAAUCUUGAACUUCCCUUAGCUUGUAAAUAAAGAACAACGUGUUUCUUCAAUUCAACACUAAUUGUUUUCAUUCUACACAAAAUGGAUUGGCAGAAAAAAUCCAAAGAGUUCUUCUUCAACUAUAUUGCUAUCUACACCCCUACAAGGAUUUUCCACCUCCUCACCAUCACAAUCCUCACCCUUCUCCUCCCUCUAUCUUUUCUUCUCUUAGCUAGUCUCUCUGGUGCAAAAUUCUACCUUCAAAUUCAUUCACAACAACCCUUACCUUAUCUUUUCUCUUUUGCUAUACACACCUCCCCAUGUAUUCUCUACGUUCUUGUCUCCAUUGUAAGUGUAGCUACUUUGAUCAAUGGUUUGAUGGGAAAAAUCAACCUUAUGAAUGAUUCAUCCAAUUCUAUUCUUCUCCAAACUCGUCUUUACAUGUCAUGGAAAUGGAUUCUUCUUUUCACUUUUCAAAUAUGUGUUGGUUUAGGAAUUGAAGCAAGCAUUGCAGCUGGAGUUUUCGACUCCGACAACGAUGUUUUUGAUGAUGGUUCUAGUAGUUUUGGUGUUGAAAGAAGCUUCAUAAGUAGAAUGAUAUUUCUUUUGGGACUACAUGAAACAACACAAAUUUGGUCAAGAGUUGUUGUGAGACCAGUGGUUGAUGACACUAUAUUUGGUGUUGGAAAAACAGAAAGAUUAUGGAUUGAGAAAGUGGUUGUGGCAGGUAGUUUAGGAACAUUGUGGUGGUGGAAGUUGAGAGAGGAAGUUGAGAAUUUAGGUGUUAUGGCUGAAACAAAGAAAGAUGAAAUGAUGGAGGUGGGAAUAGAAGAAUUUGUUGGUUGGUGGUUGUAUUAUUUAACUGUUACAAUUGGUAUGGUGAGGAUUGUGAAAGGUCUUAUGUGGAUUUUCAUGAUUUCUCUAUGUAGAAGAAGGGUAACACAGAUUAAUGAGGUGGAAUUGGAACUGAGUCAGAAUGAUGACAAGGUGUAAAUUUGACAAGUUUUGGUUUUGGUUCUUUACUUGUUUCUUACUCUAUCUUUUUUUUGUCAUUUUAUUCUAUGGUUAGGGAUAUUGCAAUAUUGUAUACUUUUGGCAGAAUUGUGAUAAACCCGUGGCCAAUAUUGUAAUGAUGAUGUAUUAUUGCUCAACUUGUUGAUAAUCACUUCUUUAAUAAGGCUUAUUGAUCUUCUUUUUUAUUUCAAGGAAAGACAAAAUGGGCUUGUUGAUAUUUUUGCUUUUUUUAUGAUGUUACUAAUAUCAAUAUAGAGGUUGCAUUGCAUGGUUUGUUUUUCUAAUUGCAACACAAUUACAACUGAAAUAAUAUCUUUGUCAUUUUACCACAAUUUAAAAUUUUGAGUAUAAUUGACUAGUUUGAUUAGAAUCUAAACUUACAGAAUGAUAUUUAUUUAGUGUUUAUUGUUUAACUAAUCUCGAUUCCAUGAUUUUUUUUUGAAGUGUAUUGUUGUGAAUUUGAUGAGAAAACACACCAAUAAUAAACUUGAUGUGUGGAGUAAGUGAUAAUCAGGCAACCAAAAAUCAAAGUGUAUGGAACAUUUAUAAACACAAGCCAAAAGUAGAAAACAAUGAGAGAAAAGAAGAGAGAACACAAAAGAAUUUGUUGACUCAGUUCGGUCCAAAUUGACCUAGUCUGGGGAGAGAGCAGCCCUCCGUUUUACUAUGAUGAGUAACGUUACAAAAGAGAUAUCAAUGGGUUACAAGAAUAAGUCUCCAGCCUAAUUCUACCCAAAGUCUCAAUCUCUUCCCGUAACCAAGAGACUCAAUCCUAAUAGUGUUUUCCAAGGUGAAUCAACCCUCAAACCCUAGUGUUUGUUCCAAAGAGACAAACUCUAUACAAACCCUAGUUUUGUUGUUGCCUUUCUGAACUCUUGUUUCAGCCCCCUCUAUCUCAAAGUUUACUCUGAUACAAGGUCUAUAUUUAUAGUAAAAGUAUCGCUUAAAAUUUGGAAUAAAUCUGCACCCAAAAAUACACUUCUGUUGUUCGCUGCCAACGCCCCAUCGUGCCACAAAAAAUCCAGUAACUUGUCUCAAAACUGAAACCUCCAAUCGUGCCACGUUGCCCAGCCAUCGUACCACGAUUUCUGCGGAACCUGAUUUUAAGUUAACUCUCAUAUGAAUUGAAAUUGGUAUUUUGGAGUUUUUAACACUCACAAAUUGUGCACCAGGCACAUGCACCUGCCGUACACUUUGUGGCAUCUUUAACUAAAAGAAAGUGAGUACAAAGAAAAUAAUCUGCGAGUUCAAUCAUAAAUGGAAAAGAAAGUGAGUGCAAAGGAUUGCGUGUUUAAUUAAUUUAAUCAAUAAUAAAAACAUGUGAGUAUAAUUAAUCUAAGACUUAAUAACAUGGUGUAACACAAGUGAUAAAUACUUGAGUCAUCUAAUUAUUUUCACAAAGGAUUCGACCCAUAUGUAUGGAUUUGACAGAAUGAGUGUGCCUCUCUAAUUUCAUAUACUUUAGAGCUUUAACAAAAUCAUGAUGUCGUAGUAAGUUCUCAAUAUAUCCGUCAACUCAAACAUGCAUUUUCCCUAAUAUGAUCAAACAACCCAUUUUGGGGAAUUUUAAAGGAAUGUAUACAUAUACAUUGUAAUUGAGUGUUUAAAAUUUCUUUUACAUAUAUUUAUCUCAAAGAAACUUCCAAGCUGAGAUUGAAUGAAUUGGAGUCCCUUUCCAUCCAAUUAUUAAACACUUCCCAUUUUUGUCUAUAGUACAAAACUUCCCACAGUCAAACUUUUUAGUAACCAAAUUAGCUUGAUAAAUUGAAGACUCACUGAAUCCAGUUUCCACCAUUCUAUACCUUGCAAAGAACCUUCUCCAAACAUCAAUCUUCACAUUCCUAACCUUCCUUUCUUCAUCUUCCAAACCAACAAUGUUUCUUAUCCCUUCAGAUAAUAUUGCUUCCAUCAUUACUCUACACUCAUAAUCCUCUUUUAUACAAGUAUCAACACAGUCAAAAAAUGCUGAGUAAAAGAACAAUGCUUCAACAAACCUAUUCGCAAACAAAGGUGAAUUAUGGUUUGCUUCAAGUUCAAGUACUAUCAUAAUAAACGGUUUCAUUUUUCUUAUCACCUUCAUCAAAUUCUCCAAGCCAUCAGAAUUUGAUACCAUAGUCCUAAGUGAACAUGGAGAGUAAAUAGCAACAGCUUCAUCAUAUUCAAUGUCAAAUUGAUCUAACUUAAUCUCCAUAGCAUCCUCAACAAAAACUAUGUUAUAUAAAAAGGGUAUGUUCAAGGAUUCAGCAAAACUCAUUAAACUUUUGCCAAUUUCUUCUAACUUAGCCUUGUUAGAAAAUCCAAUAGCUGUGAUCUUCAGAAUUUCAACCGGCUUUUCCUUGCGGUCUACUAAUGCUUGCAUGAAACAUGUACUCAUCACUCCACAUCCAAUAUUAAGAUGAAUCAAAUGGAUUUUUGUUUGUGAUGCAACAUGUUCCACUAUAGCUUGUACACCAGCAAAUUGCAUUACUUGAUUGAAAGGAAUUUUUUGAUGACAUUUAACUACUAUGUUAGUAUCUAAUUCCAUUUUAUCAAUCAAUUCCGUCUCCUUGUUUCUCUCAUUUGAUCUAUGCAGUUUCAUCUUUCCUCGUCCGGUUUCUCUGUUGAUUCUCUCUUGAAGGGCUUGAGAGAAAUGGAAAAGAAGUCUCUGAACUGUGCUUCCAAUAUUUCCACUUUCAUUCAUGAGAUGAAAAUGUGAAAGUAACAUGUUUGCACGUUCAAAUUGUUGACAACCUACUCUCUCAGCUGCUGCUAGAACAAACUGAGCUAGUUCAACUUGUUUAUUUUCUUCCUCCGACAACAAGCUUCCAAGAACAGUUCCAUAAGGAAUGUAAAGAUUAUUAUCAUGCCACUGUGAUGAGUUCUGGAUAUACUUCGUUCCUGCAAGUGUUAUUAUAUCUUCUGUUGACAACUUUUGAGGACUUGCACAAGUUUCAACAUUGCUUUUGUUUUUUUGCUUAUUGAACUUGCUUCCAUAAUUUUUCAAUAGCUCAAGUGAUGCUAAUGAAGAUGGUGGUGGCUUUUGCACCUGCUUAAGAGUUGGAAUUGAUAUUAUAGCUUGAUUUUCUUGCUCCAUUGUUGUUAUUGCAAAGAAACUGUGUUCUACGUGGAAGAUUAUAUAGUAAAAUUCUCUUGUAUAACCGUCUUGGAAUAUAUUGAUAUUGAAAGGUGUGAGAGAAAAAGAAUGGUUCAGCAUGUUUACGGUAUGGAAUCUUAACAUUGGAGGAAUCAUGGGAUGAUAUAUGUUUCGAUGUUUUUCUUAAAAUGUAGCCGUAAUUCCAUAAUUUGUUUGUCGUUGUUGAAACAAAUGGGAGAGUCGAAACAAACAAUGGUGUAGUAUAUGGAAUAUUUUACCAUAUAUAGGUGUUCUUAAGAAGUUCUGUCCAACGUGGCUAAUUAUGGCGUUGAAUGAAAAUGUUUGAUGGAAUGUUACGGAUAAGACAUUGGAAUUCCAAUUGUUCUAGAUGACUAUGCGGUGUGUGUGUGUUUUUUUUUUUUUUUUUUUUUUUUUUUUGUUACAAAUAGUAUGUUUCAUAUUUUUGACAAAAAAAAUCGUAUAUUUCAUUUGUUAGUUUCAUAUUUGAAUUUGUUAAGGAAUUAUAUAGGUGGUGGAUUCGCUAAUAGGAUGAAGUUGGUGUAUUUUUCGCAUCACAAUCGACUCACAUUAGAAUUAGUUAAUGUAAAAUUCACUAACAACUUAUGCAAAAUCGAAUGAUAGCCGAAUAAGCUGCCGAUUGAUAGAAGAGAUGACUAUCAAAUUUAAAUAGGAAUUGGAUAAUGUUUAAUUAGUCUAAAAGACUCCAACAUUGACUUGACUAAGUCAAAAGGUCAUAUUACAAUUUUCCUAUAUAUGUGGCAUGAUAAAGUAAUGGUUAUGCAAAGAGAAAAGAUAAACUGACCCCAAGGUUGAUUUUAAUGACAUAGCAUGGUUAAUUAGACAUUCAUUUCUUAAAGAUAGGAAUAAUGUGUAGAACAUAGGUAAAUGACGAUCGAGCAAUCAACCAUACACAAUUAUGCCCUCAACUCAGCCAUAUCAGCCAGAUAUUAGCUAGUUAAGUCCAGAACAUGUAUGAAGAUUUAUUCUCUUAAUAAUAAGGCGAUGAAGGAUGUGGAUGCUGAUAUGGAAGUUUAUAAUUUAGUCGACAAGGCAGCUUUGGGUUGUAACUUAGCCUACAAGAUACUCCCUCCGGUCUCAAAUGUAGGGAAAAAAAUAAAAAAAAAUUGUGGUCUCAAAUGUAAGAAAAAGUAUAGUAAAAGCAACCUAAUAAAUGCUACUAUUCCAAUUUUACCCCAUCUCCAUGAGUUCAAGAGUCACUUUCAUUAAUUAUUACUAAAACAUGACAAGGCAAAAUUGAAAAGUUGUACUUUUUUAACAUGACUUCAAUGUAAUCAAUUCAUUUUCUUAAUUGGUGUACUUUUUUUUUUCUUUUUCCCUACAUUUGAGACCGGAGGGAGUAGUAACUUACACCCCCUAUAAUAUUUGCGAACAACCGAAAAAUACUUUGAUUUUAAAUGACAUCGGAUAACUUGUAAGGACAAUUUUUUUAAUGGCAAUAGAUGAUAUAAUUAAGGACUCCGUUGCUACUGAGUGAUAUUGAUUCAAGAACUAAUUUUCUAGUAAGUGGUAAAUUUAGCGAGUAGUUUAACAUAAUAUUAGAUGCCAGUUAAUAUAAGGAUCAAGUUGUUUGACAAAAUUCUAUGUUAGAGGAUCAAUUUUGCAUAUUCGCAAAUUUUAGAGGUGUGAAUGCUCGACUCUUACAAGUUGUGGGGAUGAAUGGAUAAUUUACUAAACCAUAAAUUUGACUUAAAAAUGCUUGCGAUUAAAGUUGUGGACCUUUUUAGGAGACUAAUAAAGUACUCAAAAGGUGCUGGAGUGUUGGGGAGACUAAUAAUUCAAGGCAAAAAAACCUUUGAUACCACACUUUUAUUAAUCUAAAUUUUAAGAAAUUAGAAAUCUAUAUCACCUCUUUGACAAUUGCUUUUUUAACAUUCAAUAGUUCCUAAACACAAGUAAAAUCCUAAAAUAUCUUAACGGUAGUUAAUUGCCGUUGACUUAUAACUAUAAAACCGGCAGCAGUUACCUGCCAUUGAAUUUUUUAGUUAUUUACUUAUGUUUCUAAGAGACAUUGAAUGUCGGAACAAAAAUUAUCCACCAAUUUAAGGAACCUGUAUGAAAUUUUACACUCACACUUUAAUCCUUUCGGAAAAGAAAAACAAAAAAAAAACACCGACACUUUAACAAAUAUGGUGGAAAUUGUAUUGGGCAAGUUAUCAACGUACCAAGCUAAGUUGGUUGCUAAAAAGUUUUGGUUGUGAGAAGUUUGUACUAUUGAGAAAUAAAGUUUCCACUCAUUUGCGAGUGGGUAAUUGAGCCUCUAUCAUUUUUGGUCCUCAAAAUAUGGAUGAUUGAUCCAGUUACGUCUCAUACUAAUUAUUGGUGUCAUUUAAUUUGGGAAAGGAAAGUUCUUUUUCACCAUGGGAAAGUUGAUCAUAUCCAUUAAAUUAAAUAAGGAACAUAUUCCUAUCAUACUCUCUCAACCACUAGAUUAUUUUUUUAUACUAUCUUUCACACUCUCUCUUUCAUGUUCCCACACACCCAUACCACCACCACUAAAUCACAAAUUCAACAACCACUUUGACCACCAUUGCACCACCACACACCACCACUGCACCACCACACACCACCAUGGUUGCUGCCGGAAAGAACUCUCCUUUCCCAAAUUAAAUGGCACCAUCAUUUUAAUCAAAACUCAAGGGUACCUGCAAAUUUUCCUAUAAAGAAUCUAAAUUAACCUAACGAUGCAAUAUUAUAUUUUUUUAGAGGGAUGCAAUAUUAUUUUGUUCAUAGUUUAUUUUAGAGGGAUGCAUAAUUAUCUUGUUGUUCGAAUUCCAACCGCCAUCGCAUAAACUAUACCUGUUUGUGAUCGUGUUUUUUUUAUCCAAUUAAUCCGUUUCUCUCCGGGUAAAAUGAUUGUAUUAUAUAAUUUUGAAUUAUAUUAUUUUUCUUCUGUUUUUUUUUUUUAUAAAAAAACAAAUGGGUUCAUGGAAGCAUAAAAAAGAAAAGAAAAGAAAAAAUGUUAAAAAAGUAAGGUUUAAAUGCAUUUUUGGUCUUUCUAUUUAAAAAGAAAAUGAUGUUUUGGUCUUCCUAUUUUAAAAAUCGUACGCUAACAAGUUUUCCGGCAGCAACCAUGGUGGUGUGUGGUGGUGCAGUGGUGGUCAAAGUGGUUGUUGAAUUUGUGAUUUAGUGGUGGUGGUAUGGGUGUGUGGGGACAUGAAAGAGAGAGUGUGAAAGAUAAUAUAAAAAAAAUAAUAUAGUGGUUGAGAGAGUAUGAUAGAAAUAUGUUUCUUAUUUAAUUUAAUGGAUAUGAUCAACUUUCCCAUGGUAGAAAAGAACUCUUCUUUCCCAAAUUAAAUGGCAUCUAGUUACUAACUUCUUUAGGUGGGGUUUAGCAUGAGAAAGGGGAAUUGUUUCCCACCAUGGGAAAGUCAAUUUGAACCAUUAGAUCUACAAUCUUAUCAUACACUCUCAACACUAUAUUUUUGUCACUAUCUUCCACUACCAUCUCUCUCCUUCAUCCCCACCAACCCACCACCAGCAACACCAUGAGAACUAUAGUUUUUACCAAUCAGAUUCAAAAUUUUAACAAUCAAUAUUCCAUGAACUUACUUUUUGCAAUUCAAAGUAAUCAAUCCUUGCAGGACACUAUAUAGGAACAAAUUGUUUGAUUUGAGGAAAAUAUAUUCUCAACCUCUGGCUGACGGAACAGUUGGGUCUUGAAUAAUAGAAGGAACAUAUAAAAAUUUACACAAGUUAGCAUACAAAUUCACACACUAUUGUGAUUAAUUUCUUUUGGAAGAAAAAAAUAUGUAUUCGUGCAGUCAGGUUAGGUUAGUUGCCUCAGCACUCAACACAAAUACAAAUGCAGAGGUUAGAUUUGUGGUCUAAUAAUGGAAGGGAAGCUUAGAUUGCUCCAAAUCUGAUAUCCACUUCAUAUAUAAUAAUAAACAAUCAAAACCAUGAGAAAUGUUUUAGAUUUGGAUUAAUACAUUGCAUCAAAGAAAAUAAAAUAAGGAUGAAGGAGAGACAAGGGAAAUUAAAUAAAUUAACAAUAAAGAGUUGGGACGGUGGUUUUGAUGAGUUGCUGGUUAUGGGUUUGUGGAGGAUGAAUGAAAGAGAUGGUAGUGGAAGAUAGUGACAAAAAUAUAGUGUUGAGAGUGUAUGACAAGAUUGUAGAUCUAAUGGUUAAAAAUGACUUUCCUAUGGUGGAAAACAACUUCCUUUUCCCAUGCUAAAUGCCACCACUUCUUUAACAUAUUGCCCCGUCAAAAUAUGGUUCCAUUUUCAUAGAUGUCUAUCAUUCCAUAGAAAAAGAGUGGAAAUAAUAUCAUCAAACACGCUUACAAACGAGAUCAAAAUUUAGAAAACAUUUAAAAAAAAAUAGCAUAGUUUGCAGUUAAUUUAUUUAAAGUUUAAUAAAUAAAAAAGCAGGGCAACUAUGAUUGGCAGUUGGCACGAGACAAGUCCCUUCAGUAGUAGUAGUACUACAGCAUUUGGAAAAAUGAGGGAAGCAAAGGAAUGAGGGAUAGCCAAGAAAGAAGGAAUAAUACUGUAAAGAGAUGACCCCACUCAAAAAAGGUACAUAAUCCAAAGUGGAAGAUGCGUCCACCCAAUUUCAUUUCUAAAACCGUGCGUCCACAGUUACUCUCUCUCAAUCGUUGAUCAACUCGCUCAACUCAGCAUACAAGAUCACAACAACGAGCAUCCAUGGUUUCCGAUUCUCCUCACAAUCUCCAUCGAGUCUCUUUCAUUUCUCUCUAUUUAUUCAAUUCAACUUUCACUAUUCCCUAUCAUAAACACCAAGUUUCAUUUUAACCACAAUUUCACCUAACCGCAAUUUUAUUUGUGAUUGUCGUGUGAGCAAGGAAAAUUCGGUGUCUAUGUGAUUGUUUAUUUUAUUUUAUUAUUAUUAUUUUUAUGGCGGUAACUGUAAUAUUGACAGGAAUUAGUUGAAGAGCCGCCAAAUGAUGAUGUGGGAACCUUGUCCAACAAGAUAAAUCAGUUGAAAAAGCAAAUCCAGGCCGAGAGAAUUCAAUCCAUUAAGGUAAGUUUGUGAUUUCGUUCUUGGAAUGGGUUCAGCUUUCUGUAGUUUGUUUGUUUGUUUGUUUGCUGGCAGGAUGUUUUUGUUUUAUCAUGGCUAAUUGUGGAAACUGGCGUUAGCAUACUGACAUUUAGUGUAUGUUUGGAUUGAUAGUGUGUUUGGCCAAAUCAAAGUGUGACAUCGUGAUUAUGACCAAAGUUACACUUUAGAGCUUCAACAAAAUCAAGAUGUCACAAUUUUUUUGUCAAACUCGUCCUGAUUCCAAACAUUUAAUUAUUAUUCCUUGCAAACUUCAUUUUGUAGAAACACCAGUUCAGCCAUAUAUGUGGAUAACUGGAAUUUAAUAGCUAGAGUUAGGGUGUGUUUGUUUUGGUUUUUUUUUAUUUUUUAUUUUUUAUAAAAGUCGCUUUUGUUAUUUUAAUAGUGUUUGUUACUUUGUUUAUAAUUUUAAAAAAUUCAUUUUUAACUCUAAGAUGAAAAGCUGUUAGGGUUAACUUUCCCUAAAAUCUAUUUUUUUUUCAAACAUGAACAAGCUAAAAAUAAUCUUUUUUUUUUUUUUUUUUAAAAAAAAAGUGAAUUUUAUGGGUAGUAAACAAACAGAAAUAACUUCAGUUUUUUUUUUUUUAAAUCUCUAGAUUUUUUAUAACAGUCUUUUCUUUUUUAAAGCUGAAGGGUGCCACACAAAAUCUAGAGCAUGCUAUAAGGGUGCCACACAAAAUCUUUCGAUUUCUGUUUGCUUCUACAUUGAGCUGAACUGCUAGUUGUUCUGAUCUGUUUUGGUUAUAUGGGUGUCACUUUCGGCAAUGUUUUUUAUUUAGCCGUGUUUAUCGGUUGAACUUUAUGUUAUGACUGUUAAAGUAAACUUAAGUGUCAAUUGAAAAUUCAAGGUUGAGAUAGCUUCUUUUUACACACCAUGCUGGAUGACUUGUGAUUAAUUGUAAUUAUUUUCUGUAGGAAAAACUUCAGAGGAACCAGAAGAAGCUGCAAUGUCAUACUUCAGGAAUAAUGUCAGCAGUAUCAACCAGGGACUCUUCACAAACGGAGGAAAAUACGACACGUUCAAUUCUUUCCUCAAGAAUGGACCGUCCUUUAUGUAAAUUCUAUGGUUUUACCCAGGGUCCAGGAGACAGAAACCAGGGCAAUCAAGACAUGUCAUCUGCUACAAGCAUCAAGAUUCCACGUAUGGAAAGAUUACCACCAUAUACAUCUUGGAUAUUUUUGGACAGGUGUUUUGACUUACAAAUAUUUAAUUUCCUAUGUUGAGUUACUCACUGCUUUAUCCAUUUUAUAAGAGAAAAUGGGAUUUAAACCUUAUUGAUCAAUGAGUAUGCAAGUUCAAUAAUAUAUUUUCUUCUAUUUUAAAAUCUUUCACACGCAUCAGGAAUCAGAGAAUGGCUGACGAUCAAUCAGUCGUUGGAAGAAGACGGAUCUAUUAUGAUCAACGUGGAAGUGAGGCAUUGAUAUGUAGUGACAGUGAGGAAGAAUUAACAGAACCUGACGGAGAAAAACAUGAAUUUUGUGAUGCUGAAGACCGUAUUUUAUGGUAAGUUAGUAUGAAGAUGUAGAAAUGCUACAUUUGCGAAGAAAGAUUCAACGAAACAAGACCAAUCGAUCUGGGUUUCAAUUAUUGUGGUUAGCUAUAUGAAUCAUUGAUUAACAUGUUUAGUUAAUGAGUCAUAUAGAUGCUCUGUUGGCGCAAACACGGAUUUUCUUGCCACGCCUUUGAGAAAUAAGACUUGUAUCACGAGUCAUGACCACACAACUUUUAAUACCAGAUUUUAACUUAUAAACCAUGAAUCCCAACUUCAUUCAAACGUUCAGCAUUUCUUCUUUCUAGAAUUAAUGUCUUGACUAUUGAAUUUCUAGUAUGGCAUUUGAGGAACAUGGGUUAAAUGAGGAGGUUUUGAAUGUUGUUAGCAAGUAUGUUGGGGGCACCAGUUUAGAAAUCCAGGUAAUCCAAAAUAACUUGUGGGAAUGAAUAUAAAAAACAAUAUAUUGCACCAUGGAAAUUUCUUUAUCAGAAACCAUUUUCAUUUCUUCGAGAAAUUGCUUUCAUAAAAAACACAGGAGAGGUACAAAAGCAUCAGAGGAAGUAAUAUUGGUAGGUUGGACCAGCAUCCUAAAAGCUCAGGAGAACAUGAAUUUCCUAUGAGCAUGUAUCUAGAGAAAAACCUGAGUGAUGCAUUAGAUUCUCUUGAUAACCUUUUCUGUCGUCGGUGCCUGGUAUGUACAAAAUCAUCAUUUUUUUAACAUUGUCAUCAUUGUCUUAGUGAAUGCGUACCUUUCUGCUUUCCUGCGGCAGAUUUUUGACUGUCGACUGCAUGGCUGUUCUCAACCUUUGAUAUAUCCCGUAAGGAACAAUGCCCUAAGUUAUUUUCAAAAUUAAUCUAUGUUACUUCAUCAAUAAAUUUAAUUUGAUGUUUAUUUCAGAGUGAAAAAAAGACAGUUUGGUCUGAGCCUGUAGGUGAUAGAAAACCAUGUGGUGAUCAGUGCUACCUUCAGGUAUUCUUCUUUGUUUGAGAUUGCAAGUAUUUUUUAUAUUUGAGGUGGGCGAGAAUUUUUGGGAGAUGAAAAUGGGUUUAUUCAAAUUAUAUAUAUAUUUUUUACUCUGCUGCUAUUUUGUUUAACGUUUUCAUUGACGUUGGAACCAAUAUACAAUAUAAAUGGUGGCUUUUCUAUCUUCUGUUUAUUAAAGAUGGAAUUAAUUCUACGCAAAAAAAAAUUGUAUGAAGCAUGUAGCUUUAACAAAACUUGCUUCCACUUUUCUGUGUGUAUACUAUAUCUUUUGCACCCAGUUACAAGUUCACUUUUUCAGUGCUUCCUUCUUAUAUAUUUGAUACGAAAGUGUGUAGAGUAAAGACUGACUGCUAUUUCAUUUUCAAGCAGUUCAAGGUUGUUAAAAGUUUUUCAAAAGAUUCAACUCCCGGGUCUUUUAGGGAUAAGAAAACUACAAUUGUAGAGGAGACAGAUGGGAUAUUGUCACCAUCCAGUGCAGAAGAACCUGGCAGUCAGAGUACUACACUUCCGACAAGAACUGAUUGUCAUGGAUAUAUCAAUUUAAAUGACCCUGACUCGGAAAACUUGAGUAAACGGAAAGUCACAAAUCAGUCUGACACGGCACAAUGUGACUCAAGAUCGCUUCCUGAUUCUCAGGAUUCUUGUAAAAAGCUGAAAAGAAUCUCAGAUGUAGUUACUGUAAUUACUGAUAAUAGCCAGAGCUUACAUUUGGAUGGACCAAAAGCUGUCACAAAUGUGACAGAACUUAAAAAUUCGUUGAAUUCAAUGGAAGAACAAGUUGAUGGAAUUCUUGGUUUCUCAGAUUGGAAACCUCUAGAGAAAGAGUUAUACUUGAAGGGAGUGGAAAUGUUUGGCAGAAACAGGUAUGUAUCUUUCUGUGUUCACCUCACAGGAUUAUGUUGAGAAAUGCUAGGGUGGCAUCAAAUUUAGUUUGAACUGUGUGGCGACACUUUCUUGUUUACAGUAUAUGUUUUAUGUUUCCCAUUUUGUAAAUAAUAAGGCAGAUUGUUUUUUUUAAUUAAAGUUUUUAUUACUUCUUAUUUUGCUUUGUAUUGGAACUAAUCCUUUAUUUCUCCAUAAAUCCUACAAUUCCGUCCUCUUUUUUAGCUUCAAUUUCAAUUAGUCUUCUUGAAUGCAUGAAUAAUUAUGGGAAAAAAAGGAAAAUAUGUAAACUUUGAAAACUCUUUGUAGUAAACUAUCUGGAAUGUGACCAAUGGUUCAUAAGCGAAUGAAACAAAAGCAUAUUUCAUUUUCUUGUCAUAAAUAUUGUACUCCACGUAGAGGUCUUAAUUUGCUUAAGUGUGUGCUUAUGUCAUGUGCAACUUAUGCUCUGCAGUUGCCUCAUAGCUAGGAACUUACUUUCUGGUUCGAAGACUUGCAUGGAAAUAUCUAGUUAUAUGCACGAUGGAGGCAUGUCAAUGCCCCACAGGUCUAUUAUUUCAGCUGGUUCAAUCAUGGACGACAAAGGAAAAUUUGACACAGAGUGCACGGUAAGAUUACAAGCUUCCAUGUUCCCAUCUUUUACCCUGCAUUCUCAUGUCUUGUUGUCUUGAGUUUUUUUCUGUUAUUUUCUUUUGGGGGUUUGGGGUGAGACUUUCUGAAGACAGAAAAUAAAAUUUUCCAUAUUUUAUUAUGUACGAAAAGGCCUCACUCGGUGAUAUAACACAUAGGGAAAUUGUAUGUCAAUUGUCUGGUUAGGUAUCAAACUUUAAAAAAGAUAAAUUGUUAUUAUGCUUGGGAUGGGAUGGGAACAAUUUUAUUUAAUGGAAAACUGGAAAGAGAUACAGAGAAACGAGCAUAAUGCUCCAAGCUAUGGAGGAUCUCUCUCUUACUUCUUAGGUUAGAGAAAAGCAGAAAAAACUUGUUAAUCCCAUGUAAAUCACUCCAUCCCUUAUACAUCAGAUUCAUCUUUUAUCUUCUCAAACUAACUAACUCUAUUACAUCCCACACUUUAGUUUCUGUACUUUCCAAUCAACCGUAGGUGUAUUAGGCCUUCAAGAAUGCACUCACAAGGCCUUGGGUUAGGGCUUCGGCUAAUGCAGAGGCAUUUUGGUUCUCAAUCCCGUAAUGUUAUCUCUGAUUUUAGAUUUUCCGUCAUUUUAUAUUUAGUUGCAUAAUAAAAAGGGUGUUGUCUGGGUUUUACAUGCAUAGUGACUGAGUUGUAUAUUUGAGCCAAUGUAUAUUUUUUUCUUUUUUCUUACCUCUGGUUUUUUGUAGCAUUGGGAAGAUUCCCUAAUCCUCCUGUUUUGUACAAUGAGUUCUUCAGUUUUGUUUUAACUAUAGAACAUUAUUAUAUCUUUUGCACCCUUUUUCCUCUCAACUUCUAGCAACUUAUACUAGUACGGAGUACCCUACUCUUUACUUGCCACAAAAGUCGUUUUGAAUGUGAAUGUUUGUGCUAGGACCAAGACAUGCCAUCUAGACCGAGGUUGCUGAGAAAAAGAGGCAAAACAAGGAAGUUCAAAUAUUCUUGGAAGUCUGCUGGUCACCCAACAAUAUGGAAAAGAAUUGCUGAUGGCAAAAACCAAUCUUGCAUGCAGUAUACUCCAUGUGGGUGUCAAUCAAUGUGUGGAAAGGAUUGUUCUUGUCUUAAUGGUGGAACAUGCUGUGAAAAAUAUUGUGGGUACGUAGCUUUUCAUUUAAUCGUGUAUCUUAGCAAUGCAAUGAAGGCGAAAAUUGCAUAUUUCAUAAUUCUCAAUGGCCGUGUGUUGGUCGUUUGAAUAAUAUUGUUAGAAAAUUAUGGGCUAUGGAUGAACUUUGACAAGGUUGGUCUGGAUAAGAUGGCCAAGUAUGGUUUUACCUGUUUAGAUAAAAUUUUGAACUAACUGUAAACGAACAUUUAUUUCAAACUGUUAAAAUAAAGCUAUUGACUCAAUGCUUCUUUUCGUGUUCGCAAAGUUUCUAUAGAAUGCUUUUCCAACUUGAUUUGUGAACUAUUAUCCUGACUUAGGUUUCUACAAAACAGGUUUUACCUGUUUAGAUAAGAUUUUGAACUCAUUAAACUAUAAACGAUCAUUUAUUUCAAACUGUCAAAAUAAAGCUAUUGAUUCAAUACUUUUGUUCAUGUUUGCAAAGUUUCUAUACAAUGCUUUUCCAACGUGAUUUUUGAACUAUUAUCCUAAAUUAAGUAAUGUAAGUGUUAACGAAUUAUAAUUUAAAUAUAACAAUUUCUCCUACCUUCAGUUGUUCAAAGAGCUGCAAGAACCGGUUCAGAGGUUGCCAUUGUGCCAAGAGUCAAUGUAGAAGUCGACAAUGCCCAUGUUUUGCUGCUGGACGUGAAUGUGAUCCAGAUGUCUGUCGAAAUUGUUGGGUUAGGUAAUGUACCAAAUAUUUUUACUUUAAACCUGAUGUUAUGCCUCUUCGGUUUUUGAAUUACAUGUCAUGAUUCUAUUACAUCACCUGAUUUAGGGAUUCAUUAUUCAUUAGUAAUAUUUUUACCCCAAUAAUUGGAGAGCAUCUACUGCUUGUUUAGAUAUAUCAUGUCAAUCCUUUGUGGUUUUUCUUAUCUUGCUAACCCCAUUGAAGAUUACUGCACACAUUGCCUGUUAGCCUAUCUUUUUUAUUAAGAUUAUUUUUCAUAUUUUUUUGUUAUUACGAUAAUUUAUUUCCAUAUUUUAUUGAAAUUUGUCUUGUAUUGACUAUUAGUACAAAUAAUGAUCAACAUUUAAUAUUUUUUGUAUCAUCAAAUCAUAAAUAUCAUUAUAUCAAAUUAUAUUCAUAAUUAUAUCCACUUGGGUUGGCUUGGGACCUUGGAGUGUGCUCCUCUCAAGGUCUCUGGUUUGAUUCUCCCCAAUGUCAAUUUCGGUGGGCUAGUUUGGCUUCUUCAAAAAAAAAAAAAAUUAUAUUCGUAAUUCAGAGUCUUUAACAUUUACCUUCCGCUCUUUAUGUAAAACCCUAUAACUUCAAUAUGUUAUCAAUCUAUCAGAGCGGUACCCUCUUCCCUGACCUGUCUUGUAACUAUUUUUAUAUAGAAUUCCCCAAAGUAUGAAACUCCAUUCAGAGUUGGAACUUAAAUCAUAUUAUUAACCAUACUCAAAUUCCAACCAUUUUUCUCUUUCCUACAUUAUGUCUGUCAUCUUUUUAGCGUGUCUUGAAGCGCUCUUCCUCCUCCAUAUCAUCAUUUUGACAUGUUUUGAAGCUCUCCUCUGCCAUUUUAUCCCUGACCUGUCUUAAUUUCGGUUUUGCAUUGGUUUUGUCUCAGUUGUAACCUGACACCAGUUCUGUUUUAGAUAUGGUUUGACACUGGUUUUAUUUUGGUUGCAGUCUGACUUCAAUUUUGUCUCUAUUGCAGUUUAGCAAGACUUUUUCCCCCAAUUGCAGUAUGGCCCUAGCUUUUGUCCCGACUGCAAUUUGUCUCGAUUCAUGUUCCAUACGUGAUCCGGCUCUACCUACUUUGAAUAUCAAAUUACACUACUAGUUUUAUUUUCCCUUUCAAAUGGCAUAUUUAUAACAAGCUUAGUAAGCUUUUAUAUUGAGUGUUAGAAUAUAUAAAAAUAUUUUAUAUUAUCUUUGAUAAUAUCUUUCAUUUUUCGAAAGUAUCUUGAUGUAUUCUUAGGAUUGGUUUAUUUCCCUAAUCAAUUAGGAUAUGUGGUCUUGUAUAAGCAUAGAUAAAGGUUAGUGUUUACUCUUUUUGUAUCAAAUAAUAACUUUCGAAAUAUCAAAUUAUAUUCAUAAUUUAAAGUCUAUUUUUUCUCUUCCCUCGUUAAUCAUGAAAUGAUGAUCUCCACUUCACCUUUAUCUUGUAGUUUGACACCACUUUUGUCUAACUUUUACGAUUUUCUUGGACUUUGAAUUCCACUAUCCACGUUAAAUCAUCGCAAAUGCCUUUAAAGAUCACACUUUUUGUACAGCUGUGGGGAUGGUACACUGGGGGAGCCACAUCGGCGUGGAGAAGGUCAAUGCGGAAAUAUGAGACUUCUUUUAAGGCAACAACAGAGGGUUAGUAGUUCUGAGUUGAUUUAUAAUUAUCUGCACGCCAUCGUCAUAAAUCAAAGUGAUGAGUACCUAAUGCAUGUGAUUUGUCUCGCAUUGUUUUUAUUUUUUUGUCAGAUUAUCUUAGGGAAAUCUGAUGUUUCUGGAUGGGGAGCCUUCUUAAAGGUUAUGAUUAAUGGAUUUCUUUGUUUUCUAAUUACGUUAGCUUCUUCUGCUAACUAACUGAUGAUUACAUUUCAGAAUCCUGUUAACAAAAAUGAUUACCUAGGAGAGUACACAGGUGAACUGAUCUCGCACAGAGAAGCCGAUAAGCGUGGGAAAAUAUAUGAUCGCGCGAAUUCAUCUUUCCUUUUCGAUUUGAAUGAGCAGGUAUGUGUCUCACAUGAUCUGCAUUCUCUUAACUUGAGCUGCUCUUGGUUCGUCAUUGACUUGAGUUCCUUGUAUUUUAUGAGUCUGAUCAUACACUGUUUUGCUGUAUUUCUGUUGGGUUUCGUCAAUCUAUAGUCCCUUCCCUCACAUUUCUUUCUUGGCAAGCUAUAACAUUUGGAUUUCAAACUGAUUAUUUUAGAAUUUAAAUCUGCUUUCUGUUUCUUCACCAGUAUGUUCUUGAUGCUUAUCGUAAAGGAGACAAGUUGAAAUUUGCAAACCACUCAUCAAACCCCAACUGCUAUGCAAAGGUGAGUCCAGAAAAUCAGAUUGUUGGGAGGUUUAAAACUUGUACCCCAUUUAUGUUGUGAAAACAUUUUCUAUUUUCAUUUCCUAAAAUAUGUGUUAGUUUACCUUGUUAACAAGGAGAAAAUAGACUUUUAAAGUGAGUGAUUGCGAUAGAGAGAUGAUAAAAUGUUAGCUAAAGAUGAAGCAUUUUAUGGAAAUGCAAAACAAUUUUUCACUUCAAAGAGUCUCUCUUCCCAUUGUUAACAAGUAAAGUUAUCACAAAUUUAAAAAAAUAAUAAUAAUGUUUUCGCAAAGUAAACGGGUCCUUCCAUUUUGGACUUUGUAGCUUGAACGUGAUCUUUGAACUGUCACAAUGAUUACCCUCUUGCACUGCUGCUAUAGGUUAUGUUGGUUGCUGGAGAUCAUCGAGUUGGCAUAUUCGCCAAGGAACACAUUGAUGCCGGUGAGGAGCUCUUCUAUGAUUAUUGCUAUGGUCCAGAUCAAGCACCUCCAUGGGCUCGGAAACCUGAGGGUUCCAAGAGAGACGAAUCAGCAGUUCCACAAGGUAGAGCAAAGAAACACCAAUCCCAUUGAUGAGCCAUGGCCAAUGUCCAGCUUGUAUAAACUUGUGGCUUCUACCAGUAUAUUCUCAACAGAGACAAACUUGUGACAUCUCAUGGGAAAGACUCGAGCAACUGUCACUGAAAAGGAAACUAAUAAUUAAUUUGUAGAUGCUAAUAUGCCCUAAAUUAUGGGUAGGGUAUAGUUAGAAAAUAAAAUGGGCAAGAGAUGAAGCAGAUCAAUGUUGAGAGCAAUAAGCUAGAAAUUAGGCUAGCAGUUGGUAUCCUGAGUAGAAAAUUUCCUUUUGGAUGCCCUGCACAUAUUAUUCUACAAACAUGUUUGCUUAUUUGGCAUAAUUUUUCAUAAGAUAAAUAUUCCUAAUAGAGAAAUAGAUAAAUCUUUCUUUGAGGGAAUUCCACUCUUAUCCUUCUACAUGAGUCAAUUUUGCUCAUUGCUGAUAGAUAGAAGUAGUGAUAUGACCUCCUCUAAGGGUUUUAUUUUUCAGGAUGAAUUGGAUCAAGGACUUUCUACCGAGGAGUUUGCAAAUUUUGAAACUAGAGAACUAGAUUGGGGGGUUAAUUCCCAAUUACCAAUUCUGCCAAAAGUUGUGUGAGCAGCUACAAUACAAAUAAAAUCAGCGCUGAUUUCCCAAUUUGUUAUUAGAACUUUGAACUCUUUUUAUGAGAAUAAGCGAAAUGCUAACUAAGGGCACAUGUAUGCACUAAUAGAAAUUAUAUAUUGAAAAUUGUGUUAAUUUAUACUUCCUCCGUUCUAUUUUAUAAGCAAAAAAACAUUAAUUCACACUUAUUAAGAAAACUAACACUUAGUGAUUUGAGGUAUAAUUUUUUGUGUUCUCCUUGGAAUAAGUUUCAUGGAAAGAUGUAAAAAUAAUUUUCAUUGGUUAAAAAUUAUGGAGAAAAUAAAAAGGAGAACAAAUUGAAUGCAACUUGCAUUUAAUUUUACAUUGGAAAAAAUGAUUUGUUUGAAAAAACAUAAUAAUAGCAUAAAAGUUGAUCUUUUUUGCUUAUAUUUUGAGACAAAGAAAAUGAGAUUUUUUUGCUUAUAUUUUAGGACGGAGGGAGUAGCUCAAAAUGUUUAAUAUUAAUUCUUUUUCAGUAAGUUCUUACUAUUAAUGGAAUGACAUUAAUGCUUAACAUGUGUCUUAAGGACGCAAGUUAACAUACCCCUUUAAAUAAUAUACACGUAAGGUUUAAUUACAUUUUUUUUUUCCCUAUUUUUACCUGUUCAUAGAAUUGGUCUUCCCUUUUAAAAUCUAAAUUUUGGUUUCUUCUUCAAAUUCCUAAACUCAAAAUAUGGGGACAUAUUCUAAUCACACAGACAUAUGCUUUGACAAUGUAGAAUCAUUCGUAUGAAUUUAACAUGUCAUUAAUUAAAAAUUCAAAAAUGAAUUUUUUUUAAGUUUAAACUGAGUUCCUUAUAAAGUGUCUUUUUUUAGUUCAAACAAAAUUUGAGGGAGGGGCUAAAAUUGAGAGAUUUUAAAAUAGUUGGACUAAAAUUGGGAGAUUUUAAAAUAGACCAAUUUCAUGACUGGCUAGAGAGACAGAAACUACAACUUUUUUUUUUUUGCUGAAUCAUGAUAAAAGGAAGACAUCAGGAGGAAAUUGCAAUAUUAACUAUCAAAAUUAUUAAAAGAUAAGGUAUCAUUAUAUUGAGUGUGUUUUAAUGAUUUAAUUUAUAUGCACCGUCAAUGUAAAAAAUAAAUUAUAUUUUGUAAUUUUUAGAUCAUUAUAAACGUUUGACUUUUUUUCUUAUAUCAUAAUAAUGUUUAAAGUGGUACACAUAAUUGGUUGUGAUGUUUUACAAUGUGCAUGAAAAUUAAAUUCGAUCUAAUUUGAUAUUGUGAUUUGACUGUUUCAAUUAUUAAUUUGUUGUCUAAUUGGAAACCCUACGAUCUGAUUGAUUGAGCAAAAAGGCGAACAAGAGAGUAACGAAGAAGAUAAAUAUGGGAGAGUAAGAACCUCAUUGUUCGGAAUUGGAGCAAAAGAGAAAAUUGGUGGAGUGAUCCUACCACAAACGGAACCAUAAAGGUAAGGUCAUUGGCUUUGGUUAAAUGGGUAGUGAAUCUCUUCCAUCUAUCAAUAAUGUCUUACUUGUUGAAGGAUUAUGACAUAACCUACCAGACAUAGGUCAAUAGGUAACUUUUAUUAAUGUAGUAAUAUGUGAAGAGUGUGGAACAGACUAACAAAAUCGAAGGGAGUGGGAGGUAGUAGAUUAUUUCACGAUGAAAGAAAACAUGUUAUCCUACCAUUGACAUUGAGCAUUAUACCGACAGAGACAAAAACAAGGACUACAGCAUUUAUGAACUUACAGUUACACCAAAUUUCCACCAGAGUUUAUUCUUUCUAGAUAGUAUCAAUAAAUGCUACGAAACCAAACAUAAAAAACCAAAGGAACACCAAAUUUCAACCAAAUCUGUUUAGAUUUAUGGAAAGUGCUAUGAAUUAAAACACAGCCUCAACAAUUGCAUGCUUCUUUUUAGGGUAUCCAAUACCAACCAUAUGGUUUAGGUACACUUUCCCAUCCUUCACAGUAGCUGAUGUAGCCAAACGAUGUUUAGGCCCUGAGAAUUUUGCAACAACAGAAGCUGUAUUCCAUCCAUCUAAACUCUCCACUAAUCUCCCUGAAGGAUUUCCAGCAACUACCACCUUAUUAGGAGACAAUAACUCUAAACCAUCUCCAAAAUAAAGUGGCCCUCCAACAACAUUUAUAAUCUUCACUUCCUCUCCUUUUGUUAAAUCAAUCUUGAACAAAUUACCACUAAAAGUGUGAAUUACUAUUAAGAAUCCAUCUGGGUGGUAAACAAUUCCAUUAAGGCCAACCAAUGUUUUGUGCCACUCUUUUGGAGUGAAUAGUGGGUUUCUAAUGAUUGAUAUAAGGUUUCCACCAACCCCAACUUUCCAUAUUUUACUUGCUUUUACAUCAGUAACAUAUGCAUUGCCUUCUGCAUCAACUGCAACAUCGUCUGCUAAGGCUUUCUCAUCACCUGCAUUGAAUGGGGAACCAAUAUUAAAUAAUUGAGUCAAAAAUUGGAUAGAGUUGUUACAACUUUCAACACUAGCUAGCACAUUUCAAUAUAGCGGCAAAUUUAAUAAUCCCAACAAUAUCACCAUAAAUUAGUAAUUAAUAUCUUUGAACUUCCAAAGUUCAACCAAUAGGUACUACCUCCAAUCCUAUAGUAUAAAGUUUGGUCAACAGAAGAAGUAGAUAUCAACUUCUAUUGACUCAACUUUUUCGUAAAUAAAAUCUAGUUAAGGAUUGUCUUAGUCAGAAUUCAACUCAACUUUUUCAAACCAUAUUUUUUUAAUGUUCCAAUUGUUUUCACAUUUUACCAUAAAAUUUACUAAUUGUCUUUUCCACUACAAUGGUGCUUGAAACGAAAAAGUUACCGAGUAUCAAGAUGUGAAAACUGAGCAAUUAAGGUUGAUUGUCAAAAUUUGGUGAGCAACUCGACAUCUAGAUAUGAGGUAUAACGUGUCUACCUACAGAGUUAUCAUGAAUCAAAACGAAAAAUAAUCCAUCGAUAAAAACAAAGAGAACAAUAAACGUGCAGGUCAUGCAUGGUUGGAAUAAUUAUAUUGAAAUAUUAAAAAUUGUGAAUAAGGACACACAACAAACAUCUAACCUUUGUUCUUCGUAUCCUCGACCUUUACUACGUUCCAAACAUAACAAACCAACCAUGCAUAUACAAUAUUAAAUUUCAAAUAACAAAGAAUAGAUCAAGUGGCCAGUAUCCCAGGGUGCAAGUGAUUGGUGCAUAGAGUGUGUGAACGUUGUAUUGUAUAUCUUGGACAUUGAGCUCGAUUCCAACAAAUAAAAAAGUAAUUUUGUACUACUAUUUUUCUAGUUAACUCUUGUUACGUUGUAGGUAGGAGUAUAACAUCUUUUACUGGACUCAAUCAUGUAACAUGGUCCAUGUAUUAACAUUUUAAACAUUAUAUUAAAUGAUUAGAUCUAUAAACAAAAUUAAACCGUUGAAUGGGUUAAUUUAUUUUUUAUCUCUAUGUAAAACGAUAAUCACCACAUGCUACUUACACACACUUUAAAGUUCUGAAUGUUCAAUAUAACAAUAUUAGCAUUUAUCAAUUGAGCUAUUUAUUCUUAGAGACUUGAAUUAGUUAUUUAUUUCGGUAAGAACUUGAAUUAGUUAUUCCUAACAUAAAAUUAUUAAUAUACUCUCUCUAUCUUUCUUUUUUUUUUUUAGCAAAAUACUCUGUCUAUGUAUUAAAUUAUAAGUCAUUUGACAAUUCCAAACGUAUUAAUAAAAUAUAGUUAAUUUCUUUUUUAAAAAAUUAAUACAAAAUUUAGUGAAUUGAAAAUAAGAGAGGGUAAAAGUUAAACUAAUACAAAAUACAAAUGCAUGAUGACAUUGAAAUAUUUGAUGAUAGUUAAAUACGUAUACCAACUAAACUCUCCAUUACAUCAAGUUUGUUUUAUAAAUUGGGACGGAAGAGUAAUUAACAAACAUAUUUCCCUAAAAACAUGAAUAUAUUCGGAUUUACGCACUCACGUACACGAGUUUAUGAAUAUGAUAGAAAAUCGAAUCAAAAAAAAAAAAAAAGGAAAAAAGAACAUGAACAUGAAGAAAUAAUAAUAGUAAAAUAAAGAAGAAAAAUACUUACUAGGACCCGAGAGUUGAGUAAGAAAGAGGCGUUUCCACGUAGAAAGAUCAUAAGCAACAAGCGCACUGUAACGAUUUCCUCUAACAUCAGCGUUUACAACCAAAAUCCGAUUCCGACUCCGGUCAAUCGUCAUCCCCAACGACGCAUUACCGGCCAACUCCGUUUCUUUCAGAACAGUCGCUUCCUCAAACACUGUUCCAGCUUCUGAUUCCUUCUCCGGCACAGAAAUUUGACCGAUACCACCUUCAAAGAAAGAGUUUAUGAAACGGUGGUUAUCGGAAUCCCACUUUGCACAUUCUCUGAAAAAGCCUUUGCUGUGAUAGUGGUAAACGUGAGUUGAGGGUUGAGUUCGUUCGAGAGAUAUGAUUAUGCCGAUGGGUAUGGCUGUGAGAAGGAAGAGAAUGGCGAGGAAUUUUGGAGAACAGAGACAUGAACAAGCCAUGAGAGAGAGAGAGAGUUUGGGUUUUUGUGAAAAAAGAUUUCCAAGAGAAAAAUGAAAAUGGGUAUUCGAUCCUUGUUAGGUGGCAAUUGAGUAUGGAAUUGUUUAAAUAAAUAGACCCCACUACCCAUACAUGUUUGAAAGUCGUGAUACUCUUGUGAGCAUGUUCCUCGUGUGACAUUUACACUAUUUUUGGUUUGAGAGAAAUUGUGAAGUGAUAAAUAGGUGAGAGAGAGUAUGGAAAGAGAGAAAGAGGUGAGAAAUAGAAUAGAUUUAAGGUAUUGUUUGGUAUAAAAGAAUAAGAAGAGAAAUAGAAAAGAGAAAAGUGUAUUAAUUUUUUAAAAGUACAAGAAUACCCUUAAAUAAAAAAAGAACAGUCAAAUUUAUUUUUAUCAUUAUUCAAUUAUUUAAUUACAUAAUCAAUUAUUUUUAUCUGCAACUAGACUUAUAAAAAAAAGUUACUAACCCAUUUAUUUUCUUAAAUGCAAAAUACAUUGUAAUAUUAAGAUGAAAAAAAACGUUACAAAAAGUGAGGACUCGUGAUAAAACGAGGGUAAAAGUGAAAGUUUGAGAAAAAAGUGUGUUAUUCUUCCACUUUCUUCGCAGGCCAGAGGAGAAAUUAAAAGUAAUUGGACCCUACCAGUUUUUAUCUCUCUUUCCUUUUUCUAUGUUAAACCAAACAGGAUAACAUUGUUGUCUCUCUUUUAUUUCUCUCUCUCCUAUUUCUCUCUUUGCAAGUUCCUCUUGCUGGGAAGAAUCGAACCUGAGACCUUGAGGAGGAGCACACUCCCAAGUCAAUACCUUUAGUGUGACAUUUAGAUCUAUUUUCAACAACAAAUAAAACACAUCCAAUUUAAAGACUUGUAAUUAAAAUAAAAUUAUUUUAGACAUAUGCUCCCUCUGUUUUAAACAUAUGGUCGCUUUAGAAAAAAAAAUUGUUUUAAAAUGAAUGUCACUUUCAGUAUCCAAUGCAAUAAUAUUUUUUCUUUAAUGAAAAAAAAUCAAUGGUUAAUUAUGGUAAUUUGGUAAAAUAAUAUCUCUCUUUCUUUUAAUUAUACAUUUCUUAAUAGGUGUGUGAAAACAUUAAACGACAUUUAUUUUAAAACGGAUUGAGUACUUUUUUUAAAAAAAAAAAAUUUUUUGAAGGAAAAAAAAUAAUUAUUUUAUACAUAUAUGUCAGUUUAAUAAAUAUGGAUAUACGUUAAUUAUCAUAUUCAUUGAUUUGUGUGUAAAAUAUUUUUUUUAAAAGAAUGUGAAAUCCAAACUCUUAUACAAUUCUCUUAAAAAAAAAUCACCAUAGAUAGGCAGAACUAGCCUUACAAAUGCAUCACAAUUAAAGUUAAAUAAAUGAGAAAUAUUAGAAACAUGCAUUUUAACACACACUUUUCAAUACAUUCUUUUUUAUUAAUUAAAAUUUAUACGAGUCUCACCAAAUUAUAUGGGUCCGAUAUAAUUUUGAUGGGUUCCAUAUGAAUUCUAACAAAUCAAAGAGAGUGUGUUAAAAAGUGUGUGUUAGAAUAUGUUGCUAACAUUUCUCUAAAUAUUAUAAUAUUGCUCAAAAAGUUUUUCAUACACAAUAGAAGCUUCCUUAACCACCUUUUAUAAAGCCUUUCCCCACAUAUAACUUCCUCAUAUUUUUUUUAAGAGCAAAAAUAAGAUUUGUGAAGAACAUUUAUGAGCACAAGAAAUGUUAAAAAAAUGUCCAAAAAUAACAAGAAUGUGUUUAGAGGACAUAACCCCUUACCAACAUCAAAUACAACAACAAGAAAGCCAUAGAACUUCUAUAAGAAUAUAAAAACUCGAACACCAAUAAACCACUAAUAGCCCCCAAUUCAAACAAGAUACCAAAAUAUGCUAAGAAAUUGAAAAAAAGAGUCAUUAGGAUUUCGCUCCAAAUCAUUAUAACAUCCUCGUGUAAUAUUACCCCACAUAAAACCUAUGCAGCCACAAGCUAGAAAAAAAAAAACAGGCUAAACUUUCCUAUUAAAUACACUCCAAAGACAAAGUAAACCUGUGAAGCUCCGAUACUUUAAAAUGGAUGACGUACCGUAUCCCCUGCGUAUCCUGCACCGAUAUCUGCCCAAUACUUCUCGAUACGUAUCCGAAGAAUAUCCAAAUAUUAAAUUUUAUUUUUUUAAAAAAUAAUUAUACGAUACUUUCCGAUACAUCCCGAUACGCACGGAUACUUGUGUUUUUUAUAUUAUUUUGAUUUUUUUUUAUAAAAAAUAAGAAUAGAAACAUUAUAUUACUAUAAUAUAUAAUAUACAUACAUUUCCUUUAUCUUUCUUUGGUGCCAGUACGACCCACACCACACAACCAAUUGCAUUUUUCUCUUUCUCUUAAUCGUCAAUAUUAUAUUUAUAUUAAUGUGCUACGAGCAUGGUUUCUUGUGUUUGUUAAUAUACUUGCAUAUUAAAAAAAUGGUUAUAAUUAUAUAGUACAUUUAAUUAUAUAAUUUUUUUUUUUAUUAACGUAUCCCAGCCGUAUCGUAUCUUAAUUUUUGAAAAUUUUCCGUAUCGUACCCGUAUCGUAUCUCGUAUCUGGACUUCACAGAAGUAAAUACUUUUCAGCUUUCAAACUAUUUCAAAUACAUGUUUGAAAGUCGUUUUCGCUCCAAAUCAUUAUAACUUCCUCGUGUAAUAUUAACCCACAUAAAACUUACGCAGCCAAAGCUAGAAAAAAAAAAACAAGCUAAACUUUCCUAUUAAAUACACUCCAAAGACAAAGUAAACACUUUUCAACUUUUAAACUAUUUUAAUUACAUGUUUGAAAGUCGUGAUACUCUCUUAAGCAUUCCUCGUGUGACAUUUAGAUCUAUUUUGAAACAAAAAACACAUUUAAUUAAAAUAAAAUUAUUUUAUACAUAUAUAUGUCAUUAUUAUCGUAUUCAUUGAUUAAUGUGCAAAAUAUAUUUUUUUAAAGAAUGUGUGAAAUAAUUGUAUAUUGAAAUUUUUUUUGAAUAAAUUAUACAUUGAAGAUAAAAUUAAGAGGUAAUAGUCUUUUAAAAUAUCCUCUGUACACUACGUUAGUUAAAACAAUCUCUUGCAUUAAAAUAUUUCAUUAAUAAUUAUCAUAUUAGUUCAUGAGUGUACUUUUUUUUUUUUUAGAGUCAUGAGUGUACUUAUUUAUUAUCAUAUUAAUCUCUAUAAAUAUUACAUAUUCUCAUAUCACUCUCUAUAUAUUAGUUCAUCUUCCGGUGUUGGAACCCAAAACCAAAAGAUUGCUUAUUGCGGUAACAAUGAGGUCCGGUGCUGCUGUUUUGAUAUGGAAUGGCCUGCUACGGUUUUCUUUUUCUGCUGGAUGCCAUCUUAGUGUGGUUGGCUGUUUUGAUAGGUGGCAGCUGUGUAGAGAUUGGUUAUAAUAGUGGGCUUAGGGGAUUGUUUUGCUUUUGUUUUUGGAUGGUGUAAUAAUAAUAGGAGUAUUACUAUUUCCAUCUUAUAGCAUUCUCGCGUGCCCUACGUUUUUUACAAAAAUGUCUUUGAGGUUUCCGGAUUUUAUAAUUCGGAAUGGUAUUUUCCUUUGUUAAAAGUGAAAAAUGAGUUACGGAUUUUUCCAGAUUUUGUAAUCCAAAAAUAGGGCGCGUUACAUGAUUUUUUCAGAUUACAUAAUCCGAAAACUCCCUAAACACUCUUUUUUUCAUGGUGUUGAUGCAAUUCGGAUUACGUAAUCCAGACAGCAGCAUCACUUGUGUAAACAGAGGGUGUGAUGGCUGGAGCUAAGGCAGCUGUUGUUGCUACUGUUGCCACUGUCAUUCCAACUGUAACCACUCCUUCCAAUUGCAUUUCUUUCUAGAAGUAUUGAGUCCUUAAAAGUUCUGCAAAAAUUAAAAUGCGUCUAGAAGCCAUUAAAAUUAUACGUAAAGAAGUGUUGGAUUUAAACUUGUAUUGUCCCCUUUACCACUUUGUAGCACAUUAUUCUGUUUUUUUUUUCCUUCCUUUUUUACUGUUGUAUAUAUUCUGCUCUAAUCUUUCUUUCUCUUUGUUGCUUCCUAAAUCUUUCUUCCAAUCCCUGUUAAAUGAUCCAUGUUAUUGAUAAACAAAAGACAAAGUAAAGCAUCAUUACAUGAGCAAAACUCAUCUUUAAAAUGGUGAUAACGGUUUGUAUCUCUUGCAAUUUUUUCAUGGUGCUGAUGCAAUUCGGAUUACGUAAUCCAAACUGUAAAUGGACAUUUUUAAAAAUUUUACAGAGCGCGCGAAAAAUCAACAAGGUGGAAAAAGUAACACUCUAAUAACAGUGGGGGGCGGUUACUGUCAUGCUCUUUGGGUUCUGUUUUGUUUUGGUGGUUUUGUAAUUUUACUUCUGUGCAAGCUAUGUGUUUCUUCAAUUAUAUUCACAGGCUUAACUUAAUAAAUUUGCUGUUUAAAAAAAAAAAAGUCGCUAUAUUAAAAUAGUUAAUAUCAGCAUUGAAUGACUAUUUUAACUAAUGAAAUGCAGAUAUUAUUUUAAAAUUUUGAUACAUUGAAGAAUUAUUGCGACUACUUGUUAUUAAAUUAGAGAGCAAAAUAACUCUACAUGUUUAAAUUUUAAGAUUAUACAUGUAAUUUAGCAAAUAAAAUUAUUCAAUUGUUUUUAAUAAAAAAAAAAUUAUAAUAGAAUAAACCAGCCUUAUUACAUUUAUUUUAGUUUUUGAUAACAAAAACAAGAUUUAUAGUCUUUUAGUUUUAUCAAUUACACUGUAUUGGUACACGCAAAACUGGGGAAAAUAUUAAUACAAAAUUCAGGUUGAAUUAUUUAUUUGAUUACCAUAAUAAUGUUUUGAAUAAUAUUAAAUAAUUUUAUUUUUAUUUCAAUUAAUGACUACCAUUUAAAUUUCAUAAAAAAAUUAUUUAUACUUCUUAAUCAUACAGAUAUAUACUCUCUUUUUUUUAAAUAUAGAAAUAUACAUAUAAAAUGGUUUGAUCCAAUGUAUAUCUACGUUGCAAAUCUAUAUCAAUUCUUAAGGAAGUUUUUAUUACUAAAAAUGUUCUAAAAUAUAAUUGUUUGGAAGGGAAGUUUACUGGAUAUGUUUGGGUGGAGGAAUUUGAAGAGUUGUGUAUAAAUUUUUAUAUUUAUUUAAGAUUUUAAAAAAAAAUUAAGUAUAAAAAAACGGUUUAUUUGCUUUAGAAAAACAUUUAUAGUUUUAUUUGUACCACUCUCGAAAAUUUAAGUUAACCAAAUAUAUGGUCUAUGAAACCACAUUUUUUUCAGCUGCGUGACCACUAUUUAGAAACUGAAAAAAAUAUAGUCACGCAACUAAAAUGCGUCUGACCACUAUUUUUCUACUUAGUUAACCAAAUAAAUUUUGGAGAAAUAGUGGUCAAGCAACUAAAAAAAUAUGGUCACAUAUACCAUACAUUUUGUUAACUGAAAUUUUUCAGAGUGAUACAAAGAGGUGUAUACUUUAAGGUUGUCUAUCUAUCAUUACUCUAGAUAAAAACAAGUCAUCUUUUCUCCUUGUCCCCGUAAUUAUUAAUUCAAGCGUACAUUAAAGGUUAAAUAUUCUUCUACAAAAAUAAAAUACAAAAUUAAAGGUUAAAUAUAUUUUUAGUUACUAAAAUAUAUGUAUUGUAUAAAUUUAGUUUAUGCAAUUUUUGUCGAAGUUUGAUUUCCCACUUAUUUCUUGUUUUCAAAUAUGGCCCGUUUUUGUUUAUGCUAAAUGAAUUAUGGGUGUAAAUGGAUCGAGUAAAUUCAAUGAACGUAAUUUUUUUUUAACUAAACUGAAAUUUAUGUGUUUAUUUCUCGCGAAAACCAAUUUGUGACGCACCCAUUCUCGCAAAAAUGAAACACUAACCCAUUACUCCUAGAACACUAUAUAGGAAAAGGGGCUGAGAGAAGGGGGACUUUGCAAACCAAAAAAAAAAAUAUAUAUAUAUAUGAAAGUUGUCCAUAUAAGGUUGCACAACUAGCGAUGAUGGUGAUCUAUAUCAAAAGUUGAUAAAGAGUCGACGAUAAAAUUGGUCUUGCAAUCUAUACAAAUCUACUUUACGAAUAUCUUCCUUCUUCCCUUGGAUGAUAUUGAAAUUUUCAUGCAUUCCUUUUUGGGGGCGACAAAUCUAAUGAUAGUAAAGGCAUUAGAUGGAUGUCUUGGGAUCACAUGGAGGAAUGGGUUUUUGCAAUUUAUACACUUCCAACCUAUCUUUGUUGGGAAACCAAGGAUGGCGCAUAAUGACUCAAUCAGACACAUGUUCAUGGCUAAGAUUUUCAAUGCUCGUUACUUUCCUUAAAAAAAAUUCCAAAUGCCUCGAAGGGGUGUAAUGCAAUUAUUGUUGGGAGGAAUCUUUAUUGAAGCAUUCCGAUUAUGAGAAAACGAGUCCGCGAUAAAGUGAAAAUUUUUCACGAUUAUUUCACUCCCGAAACUAUCUUAGUUCAACCAGCCUCGUAUGCUAAUGUCAAUAGUGAGGUGACGAUGCAAGAUUGAGAACAGAAGAUGAAAUUUGAAUGUUAUCCCUAAGUUGGUGGAACCAUAGUCCAUAAUGUCAAUUAUUAAUAGACUUAUGUUGGAAGUGGUUCAGGAAGACGAUGCAUCUUGGAGAACAAACUCGUGUCGAUAGUAUACGGUCUGAUCAGCAUAUCAUUUUGAUCAUAUCAUUUAUGUUUGGAUGAAGUGUUGGAUACUAGUUAGUUGACGGUAGUUAAAUGACAUUUGAUGUGGUGUGGAUGGGGGCUAGAAAUUGUUUCCGGGUUCAAGCUCGCUUGAGUAGCAAAUGUACCGCGGUUGGUACUCAAUAUUUGUGGUGUGAGGAGCAAUCUGAGACCAUUUAUCACAUAUUUCGUUACUAGCUCAUGUGUGAUACAAUCCGAGCUUGUGAUGGUUUUAAGGGAAUCAGAUUCCUUGCUGUUACAGCAGGGUGAUGUAAAUGAUCCAGGCCAUUCAAUUUUAAAUUGAUGGCUGAGAUUAUUUUACUGUGUGAAACUGUGAUUAAAUCUGGACCGACGGAUCUCAUAUUUACGGCUGAGAUGUGCUACAGCGUGCAACUGCGUGUAAAUUUACAGCAGCAAAUCCUAAUCCCAGUUUUAAGGAGGUCAUGUUCUAUCUUUUUGAGGUUUUUUCAUCAGAGAAUGAGGAAGUGUUGCUUGUGUUUAUAUGGAGUAUUUGGAAGAGCAGAAGUGCGACAACGUGGGAAAUCAAACGGAUAGACCAGCUGAAUUUGUUCAUUGCAGCAGAAUGUUUGUUGGAGGAGUUGCUACAAGCUUGUGAUACAUGUUUGCAUUGGACUAGUUCUAGUAAGAUUGUGAUUCGAAAAACCCACCUCAUUCUAGAGUUGUUGAUCGCACUGAGCUUGGCAACAUUCUUAAUAAGUAGAUUUAUCUUUACUUCUCAUUUUAACAAUCUUAUGUGAAGUAAUUUUCACCUUUAUUAUGAUAUUCCAGCAUGUAUUAUGUUUUAAUUUUCAAUGAGAUGGAUUAGCCAUUUAUCGUGUGUCUGUCAAAUGGACCCUUUAUUUUAUUUUUUACGAUUAAAAUGGACCUACUUGAUACACCACAUUCAAUUCAAUUGUGUAAGAAAGAAAUAAAUAAAGGAAUGAAACUCGAGUACACUACCGCGAGGAACACGUUACACGCAGUAAGAGGGGAACCAACCAAAGUACUAACAAAUUUUCAUUUCCUGAGUCUAUUAACUCUAUUGUUUAUUAGUAUUUACACAUCACACCAUGCACAAAGGAAAUAAUAUACACCAUUCUCUGUACGACAUUGCAAUUACAAAUAACUUAAAAAUAAGCACAAUCACUUGCAAAACAUAGGACAUUUAUAUCUUUAAAACAAUGAAGCAAAAGAAAUGACAAUCUCCUGCUUCUACUUAGCAUUAAAAUGACAACAAUUAUGUUUGGAGCUCAACCAAGCCGGUACACAUAAAUAAAAACUCAGCUUCCCAAAAAAAAAAAAACUCAGUUUAAAAAGUUUAGUAAUCAUCAUAUACAUCUUGAUAUUUAGCUUUUUAAUUAAACUUUAUUUUAGAAUUUUAAGAUUUUAAUUAAACAUUUUUCCAACCAUAAUUUAUUUGGUUGAACAGAGAAUUUUAAAGUUGUACCAUUACCGAUACAAGCGACGAGGUGGAAAUUAAGGUGUCCAGUCUUUUCGUUUUUUUUUUUUUUGUAUAAAAAUAUUAAAGUUGUAAAGUUGAGACGUUUAAAGUAAUUUAAAGGAGUGUUAUAUAUGUUUUCGUUCCGUAUAAAUAUUUCGAUUUUUGUUUUAGCUUUUUAAAAAAAUUUCUGAGUUUUAGUCCUUCAAACGUUUUCUAUCACCAUUUUUUUUUUUUUUUUAAGUCAAUUUAUAUGUAUUAUUUGAAAUUUUAUUUGUAUUCAUGUGUAGUACAUUAUAAAAUUCUCUCUUGCAAGAAUUUAAUAUUUUUUAACAAUUGAUGAAUUAAAUUUAAAUUUUUACAUUUUGUUUUUAUGCUUAAAAAUUCAUACUUAGAUCAUAUUUUAUUAGAAAUUAUAAUUUAUGUCAGAAGAGACACUCAUAAUCUUAUAAACAUUCCUUAAAAAAUAUAAAGGAUGCAUAUACCUAAAAUAUGAGCAUAAUACUUUAUGAGAACUAAAAUUCAAAGAAAAAUGUAAGAAAGAUUAAAACGAAACAUUUAAAUAUUUAUAAAGAACGAAAACAUAUUUAACCCUUUCAAGAAUUAGACAUACCUUUGGACAACAUUGGAAAAUAUGAGAGAAAGAGGGUGUAUUAAUAAAUAUGUGUAGUGCGAAUAGAAGAAGUUUAGAGCAAACCUAUCUUAGUUUGGGCUGACGAGAAUCUUCGGCCUGUAUUUUGCAUACUAGGUGGGUGGAUUGCUGUGUCCGAAAUCCUGUCGACAGCUUCGUCUUCGUGUGUGCCUCUCUCUCUCUCUCUGGUGAGUUCUCUUCUCUCUCCUUUUUCAAUCUUAUUACGAUCUUCAAACCCUAGCAUCCUAAUACCGUUUUUAUUGUUCAUAAUGUUGAUUUCUUUGAUUUAAUUGCAAUUUUGUGAAGAAAAAAAAUGAUUAAUUAGGGUCAGAUUCGAAUUGAAUUUUUCUCUUUGAAUAGUGAAAUUUAAUUUUUAAUUACAAAACAUUAAAUACUUGACCCCAUUCACGAUUUAUAUCUAGCUUCAAAUGUUUGUCAGAUCAAGUUCUAGACAACUAUCAUGAUCGAAUCUGGUGAUGAAGAAGUCUUAGAAAUGUUUUACUCUCACGUGUUUAUAGGGAAACAAUUUUUGUGUUAGUUUUCUAUUUAGGUUUUGGGUUGUAUGUGCUGCGUCUUCUGUAAAUUUAGUAGUCUAGAAGAAUAAGAAGCUACUCACGACACCUAGACAUAUGAUUGAUUACAUUGAAUUAUGUCAUUUUCAAACUUAUUAUUGGCGUCGACGUGUCCGGGUCAUGUCUGAGUCUGCUUGAUAGCUUAAGGUUAUGUGCAGUUCUUAAGAAAAUGAUUGAGUGAACCAAUUUCUCUUAUAAACUAAGCUCAUUCUUAGCAGGCUAGAUACAAUAUAUAAGUGUAUAUGAGUGGAAAAAUUUAAUCAAUGCUUCAUUGGCAUUCUAAAAUGGCAAGUAACAUGCCACAAACAAAUAUUCCAAUCAUGACAUUUAAUAUGAGAUGGAAAGAGUAUACAGACAUUAUACUGCAUGCUUUUGAGAAUGUGUAGAGCUAAUAUUUAUCGCCCAGUUUCAUUUCAAUGAGAAUGCAACUUGUAGCAUGUUUUAUUUGUUUGGUGGGCUAACAAGAUCUGCUAAGGGUUUGUUGAGCUGAUUGGUAAAUGAAUUCACAGUGACAAUGGCUCCCUUGUGUUUUCUACCUUUUUUUGAUCCAAGAGAAUGUUUGAAAAAAUGGAAUGUCACUUCUCCUGUCUUUCCCUUUGCUUUAUGUUUCCUUUCAUUCUCUUGUGUUCAACACACUGUCAGAUCAGAUUCGUUAUUUAGAUUGUUCAGUCUAUCUUGAACUCUAUUCAUUUUUUGUAUAUUUGUUUGUAACUUGCAGUAAUUACAACCUUCAAGACAAAGAAGAAAAUGUCUGGUCCUAGGAUUGCUCACGCUACCUUGAAGGGUCCAAGUGUCGUUAAGGAGAUAAUAAUUGGAAUCACACUUGGUUUAGUUGCUGGUGGUGUAUGGAAGAUGCAUCAUUGGAAUGAACAGAGAAAAACCAGGACCUUUUACGAUUUACUCGAAAAGGGUGAGAUUAGUGUUGUUGUAGAUGAAGAGUAAAAUGAUGUUGCGAUGCUUUCCUUCUGUAGACUGAACUCUAUUCAAGCCUUUUGUUUGUUGCUAUAUUCAAUUGGCUCGUGUAAAUGAGCCGAGCUACUUAUACAUUGCAAAUAAUAAGUUCUUGCUCUGAUUUUGGAUUAUGUUGUCUUGUAGAAAUUUCAUGAAGCAAUGUUAUAUUACAUGUUUGUGUUAUUUCAGCAGUAUUGAUAUUGGUAGCUUGUUUUUUUUGCAAUUACACUAGUCGUCUCUGUGUGUCUGAAUGAUGGGAAUAUAUAUAAUAAUUACUAUUAAGACUGUUAGGAUGAGUGUGUAUUAUUAGGAUGAGUGUGUAUUAUUAGGAUGGGCUUGUUGCAGUAUUAGAAUUAAUGUGUAUUGGGUCAGCAUGUUAUAUCACCACAUGACAAAUAUUAAGAGACUGUUGCUGACAUAUAAUCUUUGGUAACCUUUUCAUCUAAUCCAUAAAUUUCAAAUUAUACAACUUUACAAGUGUAGAGUUUAGUACUAGGAGGGAAGAAUACUGCUGAGCACUGCCUGGAACAUUUGAAUAUGCAUAUGUUCGCCUGGGGUGGUGGGAUACUAGGACGGAAAAAUACUGAUAAACACUGCCUGAAAUAUUUGAACAUGCAUAUGUUCGCCCGGGAUGGUGGGAUGUCUCGCCAGGAUUAGUCGGUCCUUAGGCUGGAUACCUCACUUAGGAUGUAAAAAAAUCCUUCCCAAUUGUGGUGUAUCCUCCUUUCUUUUGGGUCAUGCUAACCAUUGUUUGUGCAAAAAGAAAAGGCAAUCGGCUGAUAGGGAUGGAAAAUAAAUAGCAGAAGGUUACCCAAAUUGUUACGAUAUUUGACCAGCUACUUCUGGGACAAUAUUUCAAUGCUUUGUUUUGGUGUUGGGGAAUAUUAAGGAUAUGAUAAAGCUAUUCCUACCCCUUCAACAAACGGUUAGGAUUUUAGGACAGUUGGGCUAUGAAAUGUUAUUAGAUUUUCCUUGAAUCAGUGAUCAAGAGUUUAUUCUUACUAUUUCCAUUUUUCUCAAGUCCAACCACCCUACCCUGACAUUGAAACAAAGUGGGAGUUUAACCACCCUUGCUACUCCCUCAUUCAAGUCUCAACUCCCAAAGUCUUCGAAUGUUUCUUUCUAUCUUCAAAAAUUCUCUAAGGUGUUGUUUGGGAGUUUGGAAGGGAGGGGCUGACUUUGAGGGGUCGGAAAUAUAAGAAAAAUGAAGAAGUCUUUCACAUUUUUUGAAAGAGUAUUUUUUUUAAAAAUGAUAAAUUACUGCUUAUGAUUAAUAUAUUUUUUAAUCUUAAUUAUAUGAUACCAGCCUAAAUUGAAUUUGAAUAAUUAAUAUAAACCAUCCAAAAUCAUCUUUUAAGCCAAUUGAGUUUCCCCCAAAUUACGAAGGUUUUGUAGUCCGAAGAAAAAUAAACCCCCUAAUUCUUCCUCUUUUAAAGUCUUCUAUUUCUUCCAUUUGAUCAUGUUUUUUUCCAAAGCACUUCCCUCAUUUUCCCGUCAACCUUCCCGCCAUAGCCUAGGGUGCUCCUUCACUCGUAUUUAUUGUGACCCCUCUCACUUAAGUUUGAUUUACUGUUUUGUGAAUGGGAUAUUUUUGCUACCUCUAUGGCAGGAAAGGUCAGCCUUAUGUCUGAUAACCCUUCAGUUUGCUUAUUUAUCAACCAAUUUAUAACCUACAUAUUAUUUAGUAGCCUUUUCUUGUUAGGAAUACAAUGAAGUACAAAAAUUGUUUCCCAUUAGUUUAUGUUUUUACAAAAAUUGUUGCCAACUUGGGGACAUGACUUUGUUCUCUACAUUUACGUAUAAUUUAACAAGGUUACAGGAGAUUGAGUUGAGGCUUUCAAUACGUGGUUCUUAAUUUGAAUGUGUAGAAAGCUUAUGAAAGGAUUGUCUGUCCUAGAAGAACCAGUGAGUAGAUAAGAACUCUCGUUUGGUUAUUUGAUGACCCUUUUCGGUUAUGUAAUUCAAGUGAGUUUUGUGGAUUAAUUCUCAAGCCGUGAGUGGUAAACUCCUGCGGCAUGCUUCUUAACAUUAGUACAGUCUCAGGCCAAUAACUUUUGCCUUGUUGCCCAAUGUUUACAGAUUGAAGUUAACGAAUAGAUACGCAACAAUUUGAGAUGAUAUAUUUUGUUUGUAUUGUAUUAUUCUAUGACAAAUAUCAGAACAUCUGGUUGGCUAAAAUAAGAGACCGUAUUAAUAGACGGCUGAUAUUUUCACUUCCAAACAAACAUUUUUCUUUAAGACUACCAAAAUAUCAAGAUUUUAUUAUGACUAUUAAACUAAUGAUACAAAAUAUACAAGAAUAUUUGCAUGACUAAAUUCAAGUGAGCUAGAAAGGUUUCUAACAAAAAUGAAAUUUCUCUUGAAAUAAUUAGAAAGUAAUAAAAAUAAUAUCUUAAGAUGGGUCCAACGUGGAAGAUAACAAGAGGUUGUGAAAAGAUAAGAAGUAUGCGUCCAGAAAUAUUCACCAACAUUGGUUAUAUAUCCCGCCAUUACAUUCCCUAACCCCAUUAAAUUAAACCUCAUCUUUAUCACACCAACAAAAAAAAAAAAAAACAAUAGCUGCAGUUAUGGCAGCAACAAUGGCUGGUGUGAGUCUUUCAAGCCCUAGAGUAAUUUUCAAGGGACCAGAGUCUCUUCAAAAGUCUCAGGCCAUCAGGUCCGGACCGGUGUUCAUGCUCAACCAAAGAUGGACCGGUGCAGUCAGUUCCGGUAGGAUGGUAAGCAUUCGACCAGUGCAAGCAUCACCGGACAUAACCGGGAAGGUGGAAGAGAGCAUAAAGAGUGCGGAAGAGGCGUGUGCAGGAGACGCCACUAGCGGUGAAUGUGUGGCGGCGUGGGAUGAGGUGGAGGAAUUGAGUGCAGCGGCAAGCCAUGCAAG